CAGUCUUCUUUCAUUUUCAUGUCUCCCCAUAGGAUAGACAGAGAUUCCAAUAAACAAUAAAACCAUCAAAAGGUGAGGCAAAGAAGUAGAAGGAGAGGCAGUCUCUGGAUGGCACGCCGACAGGAGCCUCUGACUCACAGGCUGUUUCUAAAGGUUGGCAAUGACUUUGAAAUUUUAUCGAGUCCAUCUCUUUUCCUUUAGGCAGGACUGUUCUUACACCUUUCCCAGUAGAUGAUAAUCUGUCCUGUAUUUUAAUGAAACUUCCUUGCAGAGGACACAAGCUCCCCAGGGAACUCAUUGUGAAGUUAGAUGGAGUCUGUUGUCUCUUUUUAUUGUUCAUCUCCUUCCCAGGGAUAUAAAACAGGGUUGCCACCAUUAAGUUAACUAUUAAGUCAAGUCAUUCUACAUGGUUCUUGGACAGAUUGACAGAUCUUUAGAGAACACAACUACCCUAGGUAACAACUAGUUCAGUCCCUUCAUUGUGACUAGUUCAAGUCUUCUCUUCUCCAGGUUGAGAUUUGAGGGUUUUCUCAAACUCAUGUUGCAUCAUUGACUUAUGUUUUCUUUAGACCUUCCCAUCUUUUGCCCACUGUAUAUAUUGCUAGUAUUUUCUUCUAUGUGCUAAAAUCACACUGGUCUGUCAAUUAAUAGUCAAUGUUAUGUGAUUUUUUUCAAACAAAAAAUGACUGCGUUUUUAGUUAAUAGGACAUUUUCAGCACUGGAGUGACUCAGAACCUUGGGCUCCACUAUGUUUCUGUCACAGCUACUGGUAUGACUUUUGGUGGGUAACUUAGUAAACGUCUGAGCCUCACUCAGUUCAUCACCAUCAGAUAGCAGCUUUCCCCAAGGUGCUUCCCACGAGGUCUCAACACAUGUGAGACAUAUUUUAAAAUGGUUCCAUUUUAAAAUAGCUGGUGGGGGUGGGCAAAGAUUAAAUGAACCUAAACAGAUUUCUUUACGUUUCAGAUAAUAAAAAAUGCACAGCAUAAAUCUUCAAGUCUUCAAGAGAGGUGUUCUAAAGGUAUCUAACUAUGAUUUUUUCCCCCUUUAUUUUUAAUGCAACCUCAAUGCCACUUUCUCUGACCAGGCUUGUCUGCAAAGCAGUUACUCUUUCCUUGGUGCUCUUCCCAGAAACACAGGACAACUCAGGACUUUAGACUGGACAAUAGAUUGUGCAUUCUUUUGCAUCAUGAGCUUUUUGAGGGCAGGGCCUUUCCUUAUUUCUCUGUGUAAAGAGGGUCUAAUCCAAUGCUUUUAUUGGGAAAAUAUUUAAUAAGUAUGUUGAGUGAGUCAAGCUGUCCAUAAAUGGAAGGAACUACCUUGAAAAUGUUUGAACUUCCUGUCACAUAAAAUGUUCUUACAGACUGAAUUUUUUGAAAUGGGUGAAAUUUGUAGUAAAGAUGAUUGAUCAGGAAUCUAUGGGAGUUUCCUGAGGUUAUAAAGAUAAUAAAAGAAUAAAAGCACCUACAGAUAACCACAGGCAGUUUAGAGAAGGGCAGAGUACAGUUUUACAGGCAGCUUUUCCUGGCAUCCUUCUUAGGUCUGGAUGAAUUUUCCUAUUGUCUUGAGUCCAGAUUCUGUCUAACAAUAUAGAAUGAUUACUUAAGGAAAUUCACCCAGAUUACCAAUAUGUAAGUAAGGGACACAGUCCCAUGACAUUUAUCUUUCACCUUUUACAAUGUCACUGUGUACUUAUGAAUUCAAUUCAUUGCAUUUGUGAAUGAGUUAAUUUUCUCCUUUGCUAUUCUAUUACACUGUUCUAUUUCUUAGAUGCUUCUGGAAAGCAUGAAAUUUGUCUCACAAGCAAUUAUCUCUCCCUUGAUACCUGUUGUUUUGUGAUCAUAGGAAGAACUUGACAAAUAAUUACUGAAAAAAUAAAAAUGAAUAUGGUGGCUCAGAGAUGUUUUCAAUUUGCAUCUUAAGAUAGAUAGUUUAUAUUUGGCAAAAGUUUUUAAGUUCUGAAAGUAGGGAAAAUAAGGGGGCAUUUACCUAUUAUUCCACUCCCACCAGAUUAUUUAUAAAGAUAUUAAUAAAGAUAAUAAAAGAAUAAAAGCACUUACAGAUAACCACAGAUUAUCUUCCUCUAGAUUUCAGAUUAUUUUCCUCUAGAUGUAUUUUAUACAAAGGAAUCCCCUUUGAUUUAUCAUUGUAAUCAUAGUAUAUAUAUAAUUUUUCCUGAUUUUUAUCUCACUUGAAAUUGUAUGAAGUAUUUAAAAAUAUCAUAUAUAUACUCUUUUUUAGGUAGGAAAUAUUUUUACAAUAAAAUUUUGAAAAUUGUAGAAGUUCUGAGCAAAAAAGUUGCAGAAGCAAAAUAUUUAUUUAUUUGUUUGUUUAUUUAUUUAUUUGCAGUACCAGGAAUUGAACCCAUGGGCACUUUACCACUGAGCUACAUCCCUAACCCAUUUUACUUUUAUAUUUUUGAGACAAGGUCUCUCUAAAUUGUCCAAGUUGACUUCAAACUUGCAAUCCUCCUGCCUCAGCCUCCAUGUCAUUGGGAAUACAGGUAGCGGUAUAUGUUGGGAGUACAGUCAGUGCCCGACUCACAAAUAUAGUUUUUAAAUGUACCCACAUGGUUUUUCUUAUUCAUUUGUGCUUUUAUUGUAUUUCUUAGUAGGAUUUUUCCUCAUUUUACUUAACUCUUUAUUUUACCAUUAAAAGGGUGAAAUACACAAUUAUGGAAGUGAAAAUUUUCCUGCUUUUUCUUUUGAAUAUAUUUGCAAAGCAUCAAGUACUUACUGGUAAAUUACUUUUUCAGGAGUUUGUGUCAACAUUUACUAUUUUAACAAUCCACAAACAUUCCAAAUUUGUUCCAAAUUCACAAGCAACAAUUUUUUUUUUUUACUUUUUAAAAUACUGAAUUAUUUUAACAGAAAAAAAAUUGCUUCUUUAAUUUGUUGAAUUUUUAAGCAUGUGUUUUAGUUUCAUUACUGAGGUCAAAUCUUUUCUCAUAUUGAUUAUUUUUAUUCUUUGGUGGAUUCAUGUCUUUCUGUUUAUUUUUCUUACUGAACUAGAUGAAUGCUUUCAUGCAUAAAGUGUGUUCUUUCCUGAAGGUAUGUUCACACACCACUGCAUUAGCGAUGCCCAAGGAUAGUGUGUGAGGCUAGGAGAAGCCACCAGCAGUAGGUGGCCAGAGUAGGCUAUUAUUCUGUGUUGUAAUGCAGCCACCAGGAGGGAGCUGAGUUACUAAAUAAUUUUCUGUCAGUUCAGUAUUGCAAAAGCGAGGCUUGGCCAGCGAGGGGUGUGUGACAGGCUUCAUUCUUCCCUUUGUCUCAACUAUUCUUAGGUACAUCCAGAAAUUGCUGCUAAGUUGGGACUGUGGGCACAUUGGGUUCAUAUUGCUCUCUGAGAUAUGAAGUGUCGCAACUACUCAAUAUGGUUGGCUCUUCACUUGAGCAAAUUACCAACAGCUUGUGUGUGACUCCUUAAAAAUAAUGAGAACCUCAUUUUAGGAGAGGGGACAGAUUGUGUCUGUACUUGGCAACCCACGUUCCACUGCAGCUGGGAUUGCUCUAGACACUCCAUGGAGUGGUAGGGCCCAUAUUACAGGGAAAUGUCCAUUUUGUCUGAGGAGCUGUGGGGUCUGUCAGCAUCUGGCAGUAACAUUUUUUCUAGCACGACUUCCUGCCCCAAACCUCUGGAUGUGACAGAAGUUAAUGUAAGAUCACUGCAGUCUCUUUUAGUCCCUUGUCAUUUCAUCAGGGAGCUAAAUGCUAAAUGCAUUCAGUCACAUCGGAAGUGGUGAGCUCCCUUUACAAUAUGGAAAAUUUAAAAUCAACAUCAAAACAUACAGGUUGUAUUUUUUAAAUACUAUUUUUUUUUAUCUUGCAUGAAACAUUCACGAGUAGUUCAGGUAUGACCAGUAACACAAAAAUUGUCCUGUAGCAAAGAAAACAAAAGCUUUUUCACCUGAAUAGCAAUAGUUUUGGGCAGAAUGGGUUAAAAAUAAGUGGAAAUGACUUGAGGAUAAAAGAGUCUUUUCCUAUUGCAAUUUUUUUUCAUGCUGUAUUUUUUCUUCUUAAGGGUCUAUAAUGCCUCCUCAUUACUUAUAGGAUUAAAUUCAGAUUCUCUGAAGGAGUAAAACCCAUAUUGACAGAGACUGGAGUAGGUUUGCUUUGUGGGGAGAAUGUAUGUAUGUGCAAAUGUCCUGGAGUGUAAUCAGAAAGUUGAUUUUAGAGACUGUUUAAUAAGCCAGGCCCUAUGAUGCACAUCCAUUUCUCUGGAAGUGCUGAAACCACACUGCCAUUUGCAGUACAUUUUCUGUAUAUUAAUAGCUAUACAAAUUGUUCAUUUCUAUAUGCCAGGUACUACAUUAAGUACUUAAAGUAUAUUUUCUCAUUUAAUCUUUUUAAUGACUAUUGAAUGUAGUUGCUAUUAAUAUUCUUACUUCAUAGGUUAGGAAACUGAGGCUUAACAAAGGUUUAUAACUUACUAGAUCACUUAACUUAUUGCUGGCUAAGUCUGAUUAUAGUCAUCCCUGGUAUCCAUCCACAAGGCGUUGGUUCUAGGACCCAUAUGGAUAAUAAAAUCUGUAACUACUCAAGUACUUUAUAUACAAUGGCAUAGCACUUACAUAUAGUUGUUCAUAUUCUUCUGCAUCCUUCACAUUACUUCUAGAUUACAUAGAAUAUCUCAUACAAUGUAACUUCUAAACAAAUUGCUGUUAUACUGUACUCUAGGGAAUAAAGACAAGGAGAACAUUCUAUACAUAUUCAGUACAGAUGCAAUUUUUUAAAAAUAUUUUUGAUCUGGCCAGGCCCAGUGGUGCACAACUGUAACCCUAGCAACUUAGGAAGCAAAUGCAGAAGGAUGGCAAGUUCAAGGCCAGCCUUAGCAAUUUAUCAAGGUUCUAAGCAAUUUGGUGAAACCCUGUCUCAAAAUAAAGAAUAAAAAGAGCUGGGGAUGUGGCUUAUUGGUAAAGCUCCCUUGGGUUCAAACUUCAGUACAAAAAACAAACAAACAAACAAACAAACAAACAGCCCCCCUCCCAAAUUUAAAAAUUAAAUAUUUUUGAUCUAGAGUUGUUUGAGUUUGCAGCUGCAGAACCCAAGGAUACACUGGGCCAACUAUACAUCUAAAUAUCAUGCUGACAUGGUUUAUGAUAUUAAUAGUUACCUCUUGCUUCUUGUACAUUAAGUUUUGUGCAUUGUUUACCUAGAUGAUUUUGAAGCCCCAAAUUUGGCUCUAAGAUUAUAUGGAGGCUCAACUAUAAUUAAUUGCUAUUAAUUAGCAAAUUAGCACUAAAGUUUUGCUUCAGUGAAAGACACAUUGAAUUAGGCAUCAGCACAAGUGAAUUCUGGCAGCAGAUGUACUCUUGAAAUCAAUUUCUUUCAGCAAAGUAGAAUGAAUAGUGUUUUACUUGCCUGAAGGCAGGGGUAGACAAGAUGACAACUUUGACUGAGUAUCUGUGGGACAGGACAUCUCUAGUUGUGUUCUCUGGAAGAUAGCGAACAUGUAUGUGAAAAGAGCAUGACUUGAGCAUCUUAAGUGGUAUCAUGAAGGCAUUCUGGGAAAAAAAAAUGUACUUUUCUCUGAAAAUAUGUUAACAUUUCUAUUGAAGCAUGGCAUCUGCACCAUCAAGGCAUCAUAACCCAACUAAAAGGGAUGGUCAUUUGUCUUUCAUGUACUAGUGUCCCUCCAAUGAGAAAUGUGUGUCUUCACUUUGAAAAUGGUACAGUAUCUAUUUGCUUGUUAUCUCCUAACUAAAAAUAAUUUUAGAAAGGUAUAGAUAGAAGAGGUGUGUGUGUGUGUGUGUUUUAAAAUCAAGUUUGAUGGAUAAUUCUUUUCAGAAACAAGAAAUAUUCUUAUAAUAUGCCCAUAGCUUUGCUCAAUUAGCAGUUUACCAUAGCACAUAGUUCCCUGGGUAAUUUAGCACAUAGUUCCAUGGGUAAUUUAUCAUUGAAUCAAAUUCUUCUCUCUGUUUCAUUAUUGCAGGUUAUCUGGUAACUAUAGUUUCUAAAACAUUGACAAACUCAUUGUGACUUAUUAUUCUAGAAGCCAUCACACUUAUCUCUUUUUUCAUUUGAUGUCCUUGACUUCAGUGUUAACUCCAGGCAUAUCAGGUAACUGGUGUUCCCUGAGCACCUGUAAAGAUAGUGAAUAAUAUUAGUUAAGAUGGCUGUGCUUUUUCUCCUCACAGUUGAUUCUUUUGCUAGAAUGGUAACAACAGUGUUUUCAAUAAAAACAUCACCUGGGAUUUUUUUUUUUUUGUCCUUUCUCAUAAUAGAGAUUUUUUUCACUAUAAUAGUGAGAUAACCUUUCAAAUCUAUAAUACCUUCCAAUUUAUCAAAAAGGGACAAGCUAAUAUUCCCAGGCAAGCUCAAUUCUUUUAGCACAAGCAUUUUAGGUCCAGCUAAGGAAAAUGGUCUGCUCUGCAGGAAAACAUUGUUGGCCCAUUGUUAUUUUAAAUGCUUCCAGGAGACUACUGAGUAAGAGAAGAGUAGCAACAACCCUCAGCAUGCCUGGGGGAUGACUUGUUCUUUCAUAUUUGUGGAACCCUGUGUCAAGAGAGGAAAACAUCUAAAAAUAAAAUGCAUUUACUCAGAACCUCUGGGGCAAGGUGCAAAGAGCCUGUAUUGUGGGAGCCAAGAUUAAAAAUUAAAUGGUUGAAAUCUGCAGAGCAACUGCCAUCAGCAGAACCGUGGGCUCUUUCUGGUUAACUUUGUGUCAUCUGAUUAGUUUCGAUAAAUUGGCUUUGAGUACUAAUGUCCUUUGGUCUUUUCUGUUGCUGUUCAUAAUUCCUAGUGACCCAUUUGCUGGUGAGUUGUUUCUUCACAGUUCAGUGACGGUUGGCCCUUUCCUUCCUCCACCAGUGUGUGCAGCCGUCAAAAUGGGGUCUGAUCAGUUAACAAUCUAGUCAGGUCCCAAGUGGUUAGGAAUCCAAAACCCACCAUAGUCCACAUAUACUACUCUGUGAGCUCUUCCCUGAAAUGUAGCAUGGAAUGGAAAAUCAAGUCUAGGCAGGGUAUAAGCACUGUUCGAAACGUACUGAUGUACUGAUGGAGAUGGUGCCCACAAAGAGGGAAAAGUAAGCCAAAAGAAUUUUGCAGACUGUUUCUUCUAAUUGAUUCCUGUGCUCUUGUUUUGUUUUGUUUUGUUUUUUUUUUUUUUGCCCCCGUUCUCUUCUAUAUGAGUAAAUUUCUUAAAAGGCUGAAUGCAGUAGCAUUUUACAUUUCUGUAUAUUUCUUUAGCAGUCCAUACCCCUGCCAUUGCUAGUACCUUAUUUUUAAGAAUCUUUCAACUCUCUUCCAAAGCCUAAUGACCAUUUGAAAGGCUUAUCUCUUUCGUAGAACUUGAGAAAUAUUGAAUCAUCUUUAGACAGUCUGAACUAGAUGAACUGGAGCAAGUCUCCAGGGGGGAUGCCUUGUACUCUUGAAAUCACUUUCUUUCAGCAAAGUGGAAUGAAUUAGUGUUUGAACAGAAAAGUGAACAGUGUGUUGAAAAUUGUGAGUAUUGAUUGUGCAAGUUGGAAUGGGAUUUUCUUUAAGGGAAGUAUUUUGCUUAUAGGUGGGAAAUUUUCUUUGUUCAUAUUUCUUUGUUAAAAGUAUUGUUAAUGUUGUAUUCUCCACCUGUUUUCCAUUUAAUUUUAGCCAUGAUGGUCAGCUCCUAUGGUUUGAAUAUGUUUUGUGUUCCUCAAGAGUCCAUUGUGACUAAAGUCUUAGUGCUCAGGGUGGUGCUGUUGGGAAGUGGUGGAUCCUUUGGGAGCUGCACCCUAGCAGGAAGUUCUUAGUUCAUUGUGGGUGUUAGGUGGUUGGAGUUUUGAAUGUUGUUAGGGUCUGUAAACAAGUCAAGAUGGCGCCUGGCAUUUUGCCAGAGGGAGUGGUUUGUGAAGUAAUGCCAGCGAGCCAUUAAGUGUGGAGAUUCCUUAUUGGUUGACUGCUGUAUCUAGUUUAUGUUAAUUAAGAUAAGCUGUGUGGAAUGUAUAUAUACCCCUCCUGUCCUACAAUAAAUGGCUCCUACUCCUGCUGUAUCAAUGUACACAAGUUGUUCGUCACCCCCCGGUUAGUUUGCUGCAGCCAGACUGCGGCAGAAUGUAACCACUCAGUUGUUCUCAUAUGACCCCUUGAGUUCUUGCAAGAGGGUUGUUAGAAAAGGAACAAGCCUGGCCCCUCCUGUACUCUUUCUCUCUGCUCCUGCACAAGAUGUGAUUUCUUGGUCCUACAUGGAUUUCUGCCAUGAUAUACUGCCAUUCACUGACUUUACCAGAUCCUAAGAAAAUGGGGCAGUACAAUCUUGAACUUUGACACUCUUCUCUAAAACUGUGAUCUACAUAGACCUUUUCUAUUUAAUAAGUAGCCCACAUUGGGUAUUUUAUUAUAGUGAUGCAAAGCUAAAUAGUAUACCGUGCAAUUUAAAUAUUUUAAAAUAAUCAAAGUUAAGAGAUUAACUAUGCCUAGGGACACAGGGAAAUGUCUAUGUCAGCCUAUGCCUCUUUGAACCAAGCCAGAUGCAGACUGUUUCUUGGUUGGUGACACUUCCUUGUUGCCUCUAGAUCUAUAUCCUCAUUGGUUAUGAAUUAAGACACAUAAAUAGAGCCUGCAUUUAUGUGUAGUGAACUUCCAGAUUGAAGUAUUUUUUUGCUUCAAUAUUGUUGUUGUCAUAAUAUUUGAAGUCUUUGGAAAAAUGAAUGAUAACUUAUAUGUGAAAAAAUAUCCAUGCUGCAAAGAACUCUUAGCAUUGACUCCACAGAAUAAUGUGUCUGAUGGUAGAGUUAGUGUCUGCAGAAUUUUUUUUUUUGUCAGUUAGUGGCAUCAGAGUGUAUGUAGAAGCCCUGUGAAAAACCUUGAAAUUUUAGCAAAAGAAAACUUUUCAAAAUGUAAUUCAAGGAAUGGACUCGUAAGUGGAUAUUUUAAUAGUCACUUUAUAUUUCUUUUUAAUGCCGUCUGGCAUUAAAAAAAAUUCUUGUAAUAGCUCAUUGAAUCAGGGCUGUUAUUUUUAGCUUUAAUAGUCCUUAACAUCACUUCAGAUCUAGCUUAAUUUUCUAGAGUAUUAAGAUGUAUGGUGUGUGCUCCAUUUUUAAGUAGAGAAAAGACAAGCAAGAUGAGUAUAUUUUGAUUUCUGUUUUUUUUUUUCAUUCUAUUGUAUAAGGCAAAUGAAUUUUUUUUUCAGAAAAAGGUAUGCCUGGUUAUAUCUUUACAAUAUGCCUUUUCAGAAAAUAGGUUUUGAAUAUUCAUUUUAAUCUUAUUUCUUGUGACCUUUUGUAGGCUCUGUGCUGUUAAAUCUAAAGUGUAUGAGUUGUUAUAGCUGAGUGGUAAUUUUAGUGACAUUUUAAUGUCAUAUCUUCUCCUUAGCCUGUUUGCAUAUUGCAUGCAGACUAAACUUCAGGAAUUUUUAAAACAUAAGAUACAUUGGUAAAUGAUUUUGACAUGACUUCUUGCUCUUUUGGACCAACUAUAAUCUAUUUUACUGUUUUAUUCUUGAAUGACCCAUUGCACUGUGAGAGAGUUAACUGAGUCUCUGUCAUGCCAAGAUGACUUGGUGUUUACCUUGCUGCACUAGUUUGACUCGAAUGCUUAACAGAAUAUACCUGAACCUGAGUGAGUGUAAGAAGGAAAUAGGGCCAAAUGUUGCAGAAGUUGCAUUCACAUGCCAUUGAGCUAUAGUCAGCUUCUCCCUAAAGCAUUGUAACUCCCUUAGACAACUUCCUCUUUGGGGAGUUGCAAAGUGUAGAAACUUUUGAGGAAGGGGCCCAGCUGCAGGGAUCAGAUUAGGAGUUUUCUUCAUCAGAAGAGCCACCUUGCAUGGCAGUAGGCCAUGAAUGGAGGGCCUUUUCCGGUUGUGACUCAGACCUGCUCCCCCAACCAUUUACAGUCUUUGGGAAGAAGCAGAAAGAGUUACACUUGUGGCUGUUGGGGCCACAUGUUCAUUCUUUGGUGGUGCUCCCUGCAAUGUGAACGCCUGCUGCUCCUCGAUCAGGUAUGCUGCCAUUGUUUUGAGGGUGAUUUGAGACAAAAGUGGCAAGGACAUUUGUCAGGCUGUGGGACAUGUAGAUAUAGAUUUUAUGAAUGCUUAAUUUAGGACAAUCUGGAUAUUUCCUGUUGGAAUUAAAAAUAGGUAUGCAAAAUGACUCUGAUACCAGGAUCAACCAAGGUGGAGAAACGGGAGUUUGAAAAUAUAUUCAUGUGGGGAGAAGACAUUGAUGAGACAGAUAUGCUUUAAAGAAGAUAGAUUAGAAAGAUCAUUGAAGAAUUGUGCCAAUCCAUUCUCUCCUAUUUCCUUUGCUACCACCUAAGUUGAAGUCACUGUGCUGGGCAAAUGCAGGAUUCUUCUCACUAAGGUCCUAUGUCCAUUCUGCCCACGGAGGUUGGCUUUCACAUAUGAAAAGCAAUCAAUUUUGUCAUUCCUCUGCCCAAGGACUUACCAUGGCCAACUUGGCAUUCCUGGACCUGACUCUGACCCUCUUUUUUUUCAUCUUGCCUAACUUGUUUUCUGACUCAUUCCAUUUAGGUCCCUCUGCUUUCCUAGAUGUUCCUUGAAGUGUGAGCUACACAUUUCCUCCUCAGGCUUUUUACCUAUGUUUCCCUCUGAUUAGAAUGUUCUUCUUGGAGAUGUCCACAUUACUCACUUCCUCUUGUCCCUCCUGUCUUUAUUCAAAUGACACUUUGGAAGAGAGGGUUUUUUGGCCAUGCUAUCUGGAAUAGCACACUGCACACAGGCCCUGCCUCUUCCAUCUCACCCUGCCAUCUUCUUUCUCAUAGUGCUUACUACCUACCACCUGUCACAUUCUAUUUAGUUGAAUCAUAUAAAAUUUCCUGUUGUUGGAUCAGGAAUAUCUGAUUGGUCAUUUUGUGUGGUCCAACCUAAAUACAUAUUUAUUAACUUCUCUAUUAUUUUUAUUCCUUUCCUUCUGCUACCAUUUAAACUCUAAGAGUUCAGCUAUUUAUUAUUAUUAUUAUUACUAUUUAAAUCUGCAGUAUGUAGAAUAUAGUAGGCACUUAGAAAAGUGUUUUAAAAAAUGGAAAUGAAGAAGAAAAUUGUUGGAAUUUGUCGGUAAUAAGCAGAGAAAGUUUAUAUGGGAAUUCAUCUUUGUGUGUGUGUGAUUUGAAAGGUAUUCUAAAAAUGUUGAUUGGAAAGGCUUCUGAGUGAGUCCAGAAAAACUGAAGGAUAAAUUUGGAUCCAUGUUAAAGUAUAAAGUUUCUAAUUUAAACUGUGGGCUAUCUGUAGACUUCAAUUAUAUAUUUGUUUUCACCUUGUUUUAUAAAACAGAUAAGAGAGAUAAUACAGAUUUUGGAUAAUAUAAUUCUGAAAUUUUAAAGUUUUGCAAUUGGUAAGUUAUAGAAUUAGCUUUUCAAAUGUGACAUAAGUUGAUUUUGACUAGGAAAAAGAAAUUACUUUUUUACUUGUAGUUCUGGAAAUUUGGUUACUAAUCUUAAUACCAUCUCUACUAACAUACUUACAAACAUUAGGUAGAUUAAUAUAAGCAAUCUCUUUCUUGUAUAUCUGAAACAGAAAGGAAAAAAACCUAUAUCCAUGGAUUAAAAAUAAAGAUGGAAUGUAAAACCUCAGGGGUGAACAUUUAAACAGCUGUGGCUGUCCUUUGGAGGCUGUUAAUAAUCUCAGUAACCAAGGGCUUGGUCUUGACAAAGAUGUGGAGAUAUAAAAUUGAAAACUGAGACUAUGGAUUGGAGCAGAGAUCUUUAGCACAAAAUUGUGACCUAUGAAUAAAAGGGACUAAAAUAAUUUCAUCAGCAGCACAGUUGAGACAAGGAAGUGAUUUCUUAGAAAAUACCAUCUCUUCCAAAGACGUAUUAUGGUGUAUAUGUGCAUCUCUUUGGGGCUUGAGAUUUGAAUUUGUGUUAUUUAUAUAUUAUGGGAAAAUCACAGCUUGAGAAAUUAACCCAGAAGCACCUGGCAGAAUUACUUGCAAAUUUCUUAGAAGCAGGUACCAUUAAGGGAAGUUUCAUAAGUUUCCCUCAGAUAAAUACUCCUGAAAGAUUAAUCCACAGUCUCAAAUUAUAAAACAUGAGAAAAAAAUCUUCCAUGCAAGCAAACAUAGCAAAGAGCAGAGUCAGAAUCUAAGACCUUCAAAUGAUGAAACUAUUGCAUAAGAACACCAAAAUGAGAUAUAAUAAUUUGCUUAUAAUGUAAGAUAAACUGAGGUUUGUAAAGACAUGAGCAGGAAUUCUGAAAGUAAAAACACACAAUAAUUGAAAUUAAAAAUUUAUUGUAGGGGCAGUGGUUGUAGCUCGGUGGUACAGCGCUUUCCUAGCAUGUGUAAGGCACUGGGUUCAAUCCUCAGCACCAUGCAGAAAUAAAUAAAUAAAAUAAAGGUAAUGCAUCCAUCUACAACUGAAAAAUGUUUUAAAAAAAUUAUUGUAGGUAGGAUAACAAAUUAGAUGCAGUUGAAGAGAGAUAGUGAAAUGCAGUGUAAUUUGAAAGGACAACCAGAAGGCAGUGAGAGAAAAUAUGAGAGAGGAUUGGGCAUAGUGGUGCAUGCUUGUAAUCCCAGCAACUAGAAAGGCUGAGGCAGGAGGAUUUCAAAUUCAAGGGCAGCCUCAACAACUUAGAGGAACCUUGUCUCAAUAAAAAGGACUGGAGUUAUAAUUCUGUGGUAAAGCACCCCUGGGUUCAAUCCCCAUUAUCACAAAAAGAAAAAGAAAAUAUAAGAGAGACAUUUUGGAGAGAUUGAGAGAACUUAGUGAGUCUUUAACAGGCAUUCUAGAAAGCAAUAUCUGACUAUAAUAUAAUUAAAUUAAUAAUUUAAGCAAAUACCCCCCCCCAAAUCCUGAAUGGAUUUGAAAAUUAAUAACCACACUUGUAUCCAUAUAUGAAUACAUGACUCAUGAAACUCCACAUCAUGUACAACUGCAAGAAUGGGAUUCUAAUUAGAGAAAGUCAUACUCCAUGUAUGUGUAAUGUCAAAAUACACUCUAAUGUCAUGUAUACUAAAAAUAACAAAUAAAAAAGGAAAAAAGCCACACUUGUAAACAACUUAUGAGUUAACCAAGAAACAUAAUGAAAAUUAAAAAAAUACAUAAAACUGAAUGUUAACAUUAGUAAAAAUAAUAGGAAGCAAAACUCAUAGGCAGCACAAAAGUGGAAGAUUGAGAGUUAUAGCCUUAAAUGCCAGUAUCAGAAAAGAAAAAAAAGAAAUAAGAUUUAAUAACUCAACAUUCAAUAUACCAAUUUAGAAAGCAAAGAUCAUAAAAAGUGUAAUGAAUGCACAAUAUAUAUUGAUAAAAAGAGAAAACACAAAAACUGGUUCUCUGAAAAGACUUGUAAAUAGGAUAACUUAUAGCAUAUUUGAGCAAGGAAAAAAGUAAUCUAAAAGAGACUGGAAACAUUACAGGUAGUAGUAAUAUAUUACAAAUUAUAUUUUUACCUCUAGGACAAGAGAAUAAUGGCCGCUAGCUCUUUAUAUCUAACUGGUUAUCAGAGCCAGUGAUGUAAGUGAAGGAAAGAAAUAAGCAAAAGGUAGAAGGAAAGAAAAAGGAUAAAGCAAAAUUGCCACCAAUUAAAGAUAAUAAAUAAACUUUGCAGGAAAAAUACUAGAAACAACACAAAAAGUUCAGGAAAAUUAGCAGAUAUAAAACAAACCAAUUUUUUAUGCUCAGCAAGAAAUAAAAUUAAUCAGAAAGAUCAGUUUAGAAGCAGAUAAUAUGAACAUUAUCAAUAAAAACUAGAAACAUAUAUUAAUAAAUCUAAAAAAAGAUUCAAAGUCUAUUUCAGGUGAAGUUACAAAAAUUUUAGGCAGUCUUCAAGAAGAUUAAGUAAAUGGAGAGAGAUACCAUACUUCAAAUAUGAUACGUAUCAUAAUGAUUCCAGAUCUCCUUUUAUGAAUUUGUAAGUUCCAAUGAAAGCUAAUAUGGGGUGUUUUUGCUUGUUUAUUUUAAGGAUUCCUUAAAGGAAUUUGAUAAGUUGAUUCUCAAGUAUAUAUAAAUACCUAAGGGACAAGAAUAACCAAUAUAAAUUUUUAAGACGUUGGCAAGGUUAGUCCUCCACAUAGCAAGAACUACUAUAAAGCUAUGGUAAUUAAGACAUUGGAUAUUGGAGCAGCAAAAGAAAACUAUACCCAGUUUAGAAAUAUGCCCAUAUAUGUCUGAGGAGGAAUUACAAAUCUGUAUGGAAAUUUUAAAAUGAAUGUUUCUAGGAGAUAGAAUAUUCACAUGAGAGGAUAAAAGUAAUGAUAUCUUCCUCAAAACAAAAACAAAUUAAAUCCCUGGUGAAAUACAGGCUUAAAGGUGAAACUAAAAGUAAAGAAUUUACAUUUUUAGAGAAAAAGAAAAUGUAUGGAAUAGCUUAAGGCCACUGGGGAAGAAAGAAUAUCAUAAGACAUUAAAAUACCAGCUAUGAAUAAAAAUAAUGAAGAAAACUAAUGUAUAGCGAAAGACACAAAAAUAUUAAAAAGAAAAGCUUCAGACUAUAAAAGGAUAUGAAUAAUGCAUGUAGCCACCAAAAAAUGAGCAGACACUUUGUAUGAAGGAGUCCUACAAAAAAUAUUUUAAAAUCCUACCCAACAGAAAGAUGAAUGAUACAAAUGAUAAGUGGAUUAACAAUUCACAGAAGAGGAAACAAGAAUGACUGAUAAUUACAUAAUAUUUGCUCUGCUAUACUGGUGAUUUGGUUCAUACAAAUUAAUAUAUGAAAAUUCCAUUUCAUGCUCAUCAGUUUGGUAAAAAUUAAAGUCUGAAAGUACCAAAUACUGGAAAUGAUGUGGAAGAAUAACUCAGUACAACUAAAUACAAAUUGAUACAACAAUUUGAAGUUACUUAGUAAAGUUAAAAAUGGCAUAUAUUCUAGAAACAUGCUUGUAUGUGUUUGCCAGGAGAUGUGCAUAAAGAUGUUUAUUUUGUUAUGAUUUUGUAAGAGCAUAAUCCUGGGAAAAUCCGGUGUUUCCAUCAGUAGAAGAAAGUACAAUUAAAAAAUGGUAUAUUUAGACAGUGGACCAUAUAGUACAGCAGAUAAAAUGCAUAAAUUCCAUGAGAUGUAUUAACACAGAUAGAGGUCAACAACAUAAAGUUGAACAAAAACAACCUGUAGAAGGGUUAAUGUUAGAGUACCAUUUAUAUAGUUUAAUAACAAGCAAAUCCAUAUUCUGUAUUCAUAGAUCAACAGAACUAAAAAAAAGAAUAGAAAUCCUAAAUACCAGUGUUUAGUAGGCUUAUGUGAAGGGACAUAGGGAAGCAGGGAAAUAGCAUCAGGGAGGAAGGGUACACUGGGAUCUUCAAGUCUGUCUGAAUUGCUUUUUUUUUCCCAGCUAUUUAUUAGAUAUUAAUUUGAGAUUCUCAGGAAAGUAGUACAGAGAUGUUCUGUGUACCUUUUACCCAGUUUCCGCCAAUGAUUACAUCUUGCUUAGCUAAAGUACAAUGUCAAAGUUUGAUAUUUGAUAUUAAGUUGGAUAUUUGAUAUUGAGUUUGAUAUUGGUCCAAUAUGUGCAUAUACUUCUUUGUCCUUUUUAUCACAUGUAUAGAUUUGUAUAAUCAUCCGGUUAAUCAAGAUUUGUAACAGUUACAUCAUUACACAAAUCUCCCUUGUGUUAUGUUUUUAUUUUCACAAUCUUACAAGUUAUUGUAUUUAUCAGUAGUUCAUUUAUUUUGCUGAGUAGAAUUCUGUGGUGCACAUGUAACAAAUUUUUAAUAAUUUAUCUAUUAAGGGACAUUUUGGUCUUUUAAAUUUUUUUGCUAUUAUAAAUAAAGCUGCUAGUAACAAUUGUGCAUAAUUUUUUGUAUAAAAGUGAAUUUCUUGUUCUCUGGAAUAAAUGCUCUCCAGUGAAUUAUUGGCUCAUGUGGUAAAUGCAUGUUUAGUUUUUUAUAGCUUGUUUGUUUCGUGGUACUGAAGAUUAAACCCCGGGCCUUGCACAUGGUAGGCAAGCAUUCUGCCACUGAGUUAUAUCUCAACCCCUACAUAUUUAGUUUUUAAACAAAAUUCCAAGCCAUUUUCCAGCAUGACUAAAUCAUUUUAUGUCCCCUUAACAAUGAGAAAUAAUUCUCUGCAUCUUUACAAGUAUUAUUACUAUUUUUUUAUUUUAGUUAAUUUAGUGGAUGUAUAAUGGUAUCUUAUUAUAGUCUAUAUUUGUAUUCCUUUAAUGGAUACUUUAAGUUGUAAAGUAAUAUAACUUAUUAUCUUGCUGGCUGAAAUCAAAGCAUUGGUAGGUAUGUUCCUUUCUGCAGAUUCUAAGAGGGAACCCAUUUCCUUGCCUUUUCCAGCACAUUACUUGGCUCAUGGCUCCCCUUCUUCUGUUUUCAAAUCCAGCAACUGUAGUUUCCUAACCAUUCUGACCUCCUCUGUAUUGGUGUUCCAAUUUCAAGGGCCCUGGUGAUUCAACUGGACCCACAUGGAUAGUUUAGGAUAGAUUGUUUUAAAGUUAGCUGACGGAUAACUUAAUUCCAUCUGCCAAUGUAGUUCUCAUUUACUAUAUAAUGUAACAUCUUUACUGGUUGUGGGGAUCUGAAGAAGCUAUUUUUAAGGUGCCACUAUUUGCCUCUCAUAACUAGAAAAGUUGAGUAUCUUUUCAUGUGCUAUUUGCCAUCUGUGUUUCUUCUUCAGUGAAAUGUCUUUGUCUUUUGACCAUUUUCUAAUUGGAUUGUUUGCUUUAUUACUAUUGAAUUUUGAGAGUUUUUUCUUUAUGUAGUUUUUGUUGUAAAAGUGAGUCCUCUGUCUAAUAUUUGGUUUAUAAAUAUUUUCUCAGUUAUAGUUUGUCUUUUCAUCUCUUUAGCAGGGUCAUUCAUGAAACGAAAGGUUUUUAUUUUGUUAAAGUCCAAUUUAUUGAUUUCUUUCUUUUAUGAGUUAUACCAAGCCUUACGUACUGAAAAUAUUCCCCUAUCUAGCUAGUUUUUUUUUUGCCUUUUCCAUCUAACCUCACUCCCAUUUUGAUUUAAUUUUUGUGAAACUGAUGAGGUGCAAAUUGAGGUUUAUUUUAUUUUGUCCAUGGAUAUCCACAUGGACUGCUUUAACACACCUUGUUGAAAAGAUUGACCUCUCUCCAUAAAAUUACUUUUUUACCUUUGCCAAAAAUCAAUUGACCCUCCCCCCAAUUUUUUUGAACAAAUAUAUGGAAAACUGUUCAAUAUCAUCAGCAUUUAGGGAAAUGCAUAUCAAAACUUCCCUGACAUUUUAUGUCAUGCCAUUUGGAAUGACAGUCAUCAAGAAUACAAACAAUAAUAAAUACAGGAGCGGAAAGUGGAAAAAAGAAUCCAUUUUACAUUGUUGGUAGGACUGUAAAUUAGUUCAACAACUAUGGAAAUUAAUUUGGAGAGUCCUCAAAAGACUAGGCCCUUAAAGUCUAAAGCUAUUUGAACAAUAGGUGGUGAUGUAGUGAGAUGAGAAUUACAGUGGACUGAAGACUUAGAGCUAGCUGACUUUGGUCAAAAUCACUUCCCUCUCUGGGCUUCAGUUUUACCUCCUAAGAGCCAAAAAGGCUGGCCUAGAUGACCCUUAGAGCUUUUGCCCUGUUAAUGUUGAGAGAGUGUGUGAGAAGGCUCAAUAGUGAGUUGAGAGUGGGAGAUGAGGAGAGGAUCCAGGUGGAGGCUGCCUGGGCAUUAUUAGAGGUUCAUGGAGUGGGAGAAGCCCUGUUUUGAAGUACCUUGAAAGUUUUCAUUAUACCUCUAACUAAUCAUAAUAAUGUAGAAGAUUUAUCAUCUUACAAAAGCCUUACACACUUCUGAAUUUUGUAGUGGGUUACUACAUGGUGUGCUUCUUUAGAUUCAAUUGACACCUAAUAAACAAGUCUGAAAUAUAACUCAUCAAAAUAUAAUCUAUGAAAGUCCUAGGGGUUUGUUCAACAAAAUUCCCAAUAUGAGUUUAACCCUCUAUUGAGCAUUUAUAUUCUUAUAAGUAGAAACAUUAUAAAUUGAUUAUGUGAGAAUAUUUAUUAUAUACAUUUUAAUUAAAACACUUGCUUUUUAAGCAGGAAAAAAGAUUUCUACCUGCUCUGACUUUCAACCUAUCAUCUAGAGCACAUUUUAUAUUUUUUGGCUUCAUCUUGCCUGAAGAGCUAUUUGAGGAGGACUAAAGAAAGAAAUUAACCAAAGGAGAUCAAUUUCCUCAUCUCCCCUUGCUUCUUUUGACAAAAGCAAGAUUUUUGCUUUCUAGAAAUUUUCUACUGGUAAACUAAUAAAGAACAACAAAGUUCACAAAUUGUGUGCUAUUGUCUUUACUUUUUUAAAAAGAAAGUCAUAGUGAUAGAUACUCUUUCUACAGAGUGGCUUUUAACCCCCAGCAAGGAAGAAUCAGAUAAUUCCUAAAAAACAUUUUUGUUCAAGGAUGAUUUGUAUUAAAGGUGUGUGUGUGUGGACCAGCACUAGCAGCAGCAUCAAGGACAUUUUUAGAAGUGUAGGAUCUAAUGCUGAAUCCCAGACUUGCUGAGGCAGAAUCUGCAUUUAGAAAACAUUCCAGACUAAGUGCAACAUGGUAUCCUGAAAUAGAGAAAGGACAUCAGUGGAAAAGCUGGUGAAAUCCUGACAAAGUAGUUUAGUUAAUACAAAUUUAGCUAUGCUACUUAGUUUUGACAGUGCAACUGUCUGUGUAAGAUGGUAAUGUUAAGGGAGCUGUGUGAAGGGUAUCUAGGAAUCCUCUGUACUUUCUUUGCAACUUUUCUGUCGAGUUUAGAUUAUUCCAAAAUAAAAAUUUUAUUUAAAAGAUUCUCAGGUGAUCGGAUGAUUCAUUUGCACAUUAAAUUUUGAGAGGCACUGCUAGGAUACUCUUUAAGAAUAUAGUUUCUCUGGAUCUAUGCCAGAACUCUUAAAUCAGAAUUUCAGGGUGUGGUAAUUAUAUUCUAAAUUUUUAAACAAUAUUUCCUGGCAAUCCUCAUGUGUACUAAAAUGUAAGAAUCCUAGUUUAGAGUUCUCUUUAAAAAGUUGCCUUUCUUUGGAAAAUGUAGUAGAACUUAUUAGGCUUUGGUUCAUAGACCCCAGUCUAUGGUCUGACAUAGAAUUAUGAUAACAUUUUUGCUAGCCAAUAGUAGGAUGAGGAAAAAAUUUGUGUUCAACUUCUGAAAAAGCAGGAUGAGGAGCUCUGUGGAUCAGCCUAAUGAAAUAGCUAUAUCUGGUGAAAAUCAUUUAAAUGAUUUAAAAUCUAAUCAUUUAAAUCUCUAGAAAUUAUCCUAAAGAUAUAAAGUAAGUGAAGAAAAAUGUAUUCAAAAACUCUAUUAAAUAUGGGUUACAAAGUGAGAGUUGAUGGUUUUUAAGUCAUAACCCAGGCCUCUCUCAGACUUACCAGCUCAGCAUAAAAGAAAUUGCAUUCUGGGUGGUUCUAGCCAAAACAUGGGGCUCCCUCUUUUCCAAACUUCCAGUCCACUUCUAUACAUCUCCCCAGGAGAGACAGCCCACAAACAUUUCUGAUUCUUAUCCCCAGUUCUAUGUUAGAGAAGCUGUAUUCUAGGUAAAAGGUCAGGCUCCCAACUCCUGUUAUCCACACAUCUUAGGGUAAAAGCCUAACCUCAGGAUAAUUGGUCAGGAUAACUGGCUUAUAGGACAGAAGUUCCACACCAGGACAGGCAAACAGAAGAACAGAGAGUACUGGCCCUGGUGAGCUAUCUGCUUGUAAAGCAGAAGUGAAUCUGAGAAGAAUCUUUGCACCCAAAUCUGGAGUGGUGGUACCUCUCCCAGGGGGAGAGGCAGGCUACAAGACAAAGAAUUCCAUAUUUCUCUCCAAAUGAACUUAUUUUAUUUGGAACAGGAUGUGAUGAAGUUAAAGCCUAAAGCAUUGUUGAAAAUAAUUGAGGUCUUAGUAGUAAGUACUUAACAAGGGGCUACUAACUCCAUGGUAGCAAAAAGGUAAACUAUAGGCCAACUAGAAAUUUAACACCGAUGACCAGAAAAAGAGAGAGCUAAGAAAAGUCCUUCUGGGGUCAUAACAAGUCUCAAACCCAUACUACCCCUGGAUGACACAGGAACAAGGCAUUGUUGAAAACUAUAGAUCAAUCAGCCAGUAGUUAGUGAAGUUAACAGUCAAGAGUGAUGCCAACAGAGGCAGACAGCUUAACAGAGGUGAGGGAAACAUGUGGUCAAAAAGAGCAGUGCUAAAACCACUGUCAUCUCUUUGUGACUGUGGACGUGCUUAAGGUUCUGUCCUCUGUUGGGUGACAUCAGAGGUUGCGAAUUCCAGGAGAAAUUGGACUCACAGAAAUAUUCUGGCCAAGUUGUGAAACAAUGAAACAAGAUAAUUACAAUGACAGUUCCCAGGACACAGGAAUCAGCAUUCACAGUUGCUAUAACAAAAUAUUUGCUUUCAACAAAAAAUAGUUUUCAUCAAAAAAUUAAGAAGCAUGAGAAGUGUGAUCGCGUACACAAUGAGAAAAAAUGAGGCAAGAGGAACUACAUCUGAGAAAACCCAGAAUUCAGACAUGGCAAACAAAGAUGUCAAAGCGACAAUUAUAAAUAUUUUCAAAAAAUUGAAGGAUACUAUGCUUUAAAAAAAGUAAAGAAAGGUGUAAUGGCAAUAUCUCAACAAAUAAUGAAGGCCAGUGAGGGGUAGAGACCAUAAAAGUGAAUCAAAUGGAAAUCUACUAGAGUUGAAAAUUAAAAUACCCUGAAUAAAAAAUUCACUUCAGAGGUUUAACAAGAGAUUUACCUAGAAGUGAGAAAGAAUCAAUAAAGAUAUAUUGAUAGAGAUUAUGCAAUCUAGGGAACCAAGAGAAAAAAAAAUUAGAAAAUACGAACAGACCUUCAAAGAAAGUGGGAACCAUUAAAUGUAGUAACAUAUGUAUCAUUGGAAUAUCAGAAAAUAAAGCAAAUGGAGCAAAAAAAAAAUAGUUGAAGAAAUAAUAGAUGAAAAUUUCCUCAUUUACACAUCUAAGAAACUCAUGAAUUCCAAGUAGAAUCAACUUGUGUGAUCCAUACCAGGCUCGUUGUAAGAAACAUUGAAAGACAAAUACUGAGAGAAAACCUAGAGAACAGCAAUGGAAAAAAAUAAUUUAAAAAAUCAUAUAGAAAAGUACCCAAUAAUAGCAAUAGCUGACUUCUCAUGAAAAACAAUGGAGGCCAGAGGCAUGGCUAAAUAUUGAUAGAGCUGAAAGAAAAAAAAAAUGUCUACAUAGGAGAUAACAUUCAGACUUUGGUUUUGGGGGACUGGCUUAUUUCACUUAGCAUAAUAUUUUCCAGUUCCACAAGGGAGAGUGUAAAGGGGAAGAAUAGAAGUUCAUUAGAUUAGACAAAGGAGACUGAAGAGAAGGGAAAAGGAGGGGAAUUGAAAGGAUAGUAUAAUUCAUCAAACGUAACUUUCCCAUGUUCAUAUAUGAAUACAUGACCAGUGUAACUCCAUAUCGUGUACAACCACAAGAAUGGGAUCCUAAUUAGAAUAAAUUCUACUUCAUAUACUCCAUGUAUGUAUACUAUGUCAAACUACAUUCUAUUGUCAUGUAUAUCUAAACAGAACAAAUUAAAUUUUUCUUUCAUAAAAAGUCAACCAAGAUUCUUACAUUCAACAAAAUUAUUUUUAAAAUGAAGGUAAAAGAAAGACAUUGUUAGGCAAACAAAAAUUGAGAGAUUAUGUUGCUAGCAGAACUUUCUUCUGUAAGAAAUAUUUAUGGAAGUUCUUCAUUUGAAGGGAACAAAUUAGGUAACUUAGAUGAAAUGGCUAAAUUCCUAGAAAAUCCCUAAGUACCAAAAUUGAUGCAGGAAGAAGUAAAAAUUCUGAACAGACUUAAAACUGGUAAAGUGAUUGAGUUAGUAAUUUUCCCCAAAGAAAUUCUCAGGCCCUGAUACUUUCACUGAUAAAUUCUGACAAAUAUAUAAACAAGAAUUAACACUUAACUGUUCAAAAAUUCUUACCAUAAAGAAAGAAAUUAAAACCAUCUUGAUUGCUGGUGGGGAUAUAAAAUGGUUCAUCCUCUUUGGAAAAUAGCUUGGUAGGUCCUGAAAAAUGACACACAUAAGAAUUAAUACAUCACCUAAGUUAACUCUGUACUUAACAUUUUUAUAAGACAAGAGAAAUGACAACAUAUGUCUAUAUAGAAACUUUUACCUAAAUUAUGGCAUUAUUAAUAACAGCUGAAAAGUGGAAGCAACCUAAGAGUCCAUCAACCAAUGAGUUGAUUAACAAAACAUAGUGUAUCUAUAAAGUAGAAAAUUAGAAAUAAAAAUAUUGAUACAUGCUACAACAUAGACCCUUGAAAAUGUUAUGGUUAGUGAAAGAAGCAAGUCACAAAAGAGCACCUGUUGUAUAAUUCCAUUUAUAUGAAGUAUUCAAAAUAGACAAAUCUAUAGAAAGCUGAUUAGUGGCUGCCUAGGGCUAGGAGAUUUGGGGCAAGUGGGAAAUAAUUGCUAGUGGGUAUGGUGUUGAAGUGUUAUAAAAUAGUGAUAAUGAUUGCAUCACUCUGAAUAUACUAGAAAUCCUUGUUUGCUUCAAAUGGUAUGUGAAUGCUACCUCAAGGAAAAUGUUUCUAAGAAGUAAAGAAAAUAUGUAUGAAGAGGCAGCAUGGUAUGCAGGAGUCAUAUAAGGUUGUGGUUAAGGUUACCACCUGGAGCCCAGGACCAAACUCAUCAUAACAGCUGAGUAUCCUUGCAAAUUUGUUAAUUUCUCUGUGUCUCAAUUUUCUCACCUGUAAGCAUAAUAUUUGUAUAUGUAUCAUAGUAUUAUUAUAAAUAUUAAAUGAAAAAUAUCUUUAAAAUAAUGCCUGGUAGAAUAUAAUCACCAUGUGUUUGGUAAAUAAGUAACUAUGGUGUGGGAACAAUCUAAUAUUUGUUCUUGGGAAAUUAUCUUUUAUUCUGAGAGUUUGAUCUUCAUUUCUAUAUUGUUAAAAUUUCCUUUGGUCCAGGUACAGUGGUACGCACUUGUAAUACCAGUGACCUGGGAUGCUGAGGCAGGAGGAUGGCAAAUCCAAGGCCAGCCUCAGAAACUUAGUAAGACCUUAAGAAAUUAGUGAGACUCUCUCUCAAAAUUAAAAAUAAAAAGGGCUGAGGAUGUGGCUCAAUGGUAGAGUGCCCCUAGGUUAAAUCCCUAGUACAAAAAAAAAAAAAAAGAGAGAGAGAGAGAGAGAGAGAGAUUUCCUUUGGUCAAAUAAAGGAAGUAAUAGAGCAGAAGGCAGUUAUUUCAUAAUGGUAUUAAUUUGCAAAAGGAAAAGUUGGUACUCUUGUAUCAGUCUAUAAGUAUUUUCUUAAUGCUUUUUGAAAUCAUGCUGAUCCCUGAAAUCCUCAAUCAGGGAACCAUUGGUUUAAGAACCAUGUCCUUUGUUCAGUGACCCUUGGACCAAUAAUGACUUUAGAAAAACAUCAUUAAAGUUUUAGCAUAGAAGGGUAAUAUAAAUAGAAAGCCAACUACCUUGCAGAAUGCUUAUCACACAGUAGGUGUUAAGGAAUGCACACUGGAAUGAAUGGCAAGGGUGGUGUGUAUUAUGAGUAUCCUUAGAGUGUGUGUUUAUGUGUGUGUAUAGAUGUGGCCUUUUAAUGCUGCUCAGUGGCAUAUAAUUGUAUCUCAUAUGUUCAAGUGUGCAUAUUUCUGCUAACUUUAUUCAAAGUAUUUAUAUGGAUUCCAAUCAUUCAGUUGAAUUUCAGAACCCCUCUUCCAGAUGUGUUAAUGAAUAAUUAGUUGUUCUUACCCCUAUCCCCAAUUUUCAGCAAUGUUUUCUAUUAGUGAUAUGGCUGCUGUGGGAUUUGCAAGUAUUCUCUCUUUUGAAUUAUAAUUUUCAUGUUUCUUCUUGGUGUCUGAAGGCCCCUUAAAUUAUCUUAUUUAGUUGGCUUUACCCAGAAAUUCAAGUGUCUGACACUUUUAAUAUUUUUGAAGAGAAACUGGAAAAUAUAUCAACUCCAUAGAAGAGGUUUCCAUUUACCUUUUAUAUUCUGUUGGUUGGGUAUAGGUAGCAAUUCUUCAUGUGUUGAGAACAGUUUGAACCAUGCUGACUACUAUGAAAGUGCUUAGAAAUAAUUAUGCUUCUGAGACCUUUGUGAAAUAACCUGCUUGACUCAACAUGUGUUUGUGGGAAGUUUGUCUUCCUUUGUAGUGUAGGAGGAGGCAGUAUAGGACAGUGGUUUGGGGACUAUCAUGUCUCCCUGAGAACACACCUUUGAUUUUGUUUCCCAAGUCUGGAUUUGCCAACACAUGAGACUAAAGCAUAAAACUGUAGUGUUUUGUGGUUUCAUGUGCAACUAAUGUAAAACAUCAAUGACAGGAAAAUUAUUUCUGAUGCUCUUGGUAAUCCAAGAAGAAUUGACCAGAGACUUAAAGGAUUUAAAGUUGCAAGAAAGUAAGAUUAUUCAUUGAUUCAAAAGGCUUAGUAUAACCUGCUUGCACCCUAAAUUAUUGUCUUAAGAGAACAGUACCACAACGAUAACCAGAGUAUUGCUUAAUAUCUGCUGCUAUUUUUAAAAAGCAUUUCCCAUAGUCUUUCAUUGUGUCUUAAUGUUACCAAACUUUAUAUUGCAAUUGCUUAGAACUGUUCUAAUUGAGGCAAUUUUAAUUUACAUAUCCCACUAUACCACUUUGUCCAUGAAGCACUACAAUGUGAUAGUGGCUCUUUAUUAUAGAUGACAAAGUUUGAACAGUUGGUUCUACAUCCUAUUUGUGAAAAAUCAGCCUUGAACAGGGUUAAUGAAAAUGAUUAUAUGGAAUUUAUUAAAUGAUAGACUUGGGAAGUCCUUCCUUCAUACUAUGUCAAUUCAUGGUCUCUAACCUUUGCUGUCUGAGUAAUUCAUUUUUGACACAUAAUCACUUAAACUUGUAUGCAAUUGUUUCAAAUAUUUCAUCUUCACAGUUGAAUUAUGAUACUGAUUUCAUACAGGUCCUCAUGAUGUCAAGGACAGAGCUAUCAAAAUCAUAGGUGCUCAAGACGGAAGGAUUUGGGGUCACUGUGAGAGACCAGCAAAGUCACAGCAAAGAAUGAUUAUAUAGAAUUAUUCUUGUCUCAUUUAAAUAAUUUGCUGUGGCCACUUGAGUGUGUGUUUUAUUUUUUUAUUUUUAUUUUUUUUCAUAUAUAAAUUUUUUAUUCAUCAAUUACACCUCAAUAAAGCUGAAGGGGGGAAAUAUAGCACAGUCCCUGGCUGUCCUGAGUCCUCAAGAACAAGACCUGAAAAUUGCAGAUACUGCUUUUGCUCACAUUCCAUUGGCUGGCUUUCUGUCACAUGAGUGUGUGUUUUAUUAUAUAAAGUUUGGUUACUUUGUCUCUGCAUUGUCAACCAUGUAUUUUUGAAGUUAUGUGUUUUUCUGGAGAUACUUGUUGCAAGUGAUCACAAUUUAACUUAAAUGGAUCAAAUAAUUGAAAAAUCCUAGGGGGUGGGUCUGGACUCAGGACCUCAGAGAUAUUAUUAGGAUCAUAUCUCCAUUGAACAGCUCAGUUUUUCUCUGUAUUGGCAUAAUUCAAGCAGACUGUUUUUAUUAUAAUCCUGUCACCUAAACUUACAUACUAUGCCACAAAGUUUACAUAUAUUCUGUUGUUUCAGCAACCUUAACAGAAUUAUAGCUUCUCUGUUCUAAUAGUUUUAAUAAAACUCUCAGGAUUUAACUGUAUUGGACUAACAGAGGCCGCCCAGAUCAUCACUGAACCACUCAUUCACUGUGACCAGCAGAAGGUCAUGUACCAAGACCCUCUGAGAUAGGCAAGUAUGAUUUCCUCAAGGAAACUCAUUGUGUAAUUAUCAAAAAAUGGGAAAAUGAAUCUGUUCCUCCUGAAUACACAAAAAAUACAUAGUUUGUUUCUUAUGAUGUAAAGUAUUACACAUUAUAUAUACCUGUUUCCCUUUCUACAUAAUAUUUUCCCUGAAAUAAACUUACUUUUGAAUAUUCUAGGUCAUCACUGAAUUCUGCAUGGAAAGAGAUAGGAGUAAUGAGAGAUCAGAAGAAGAACAAACCUUAACCACUAUUCAUGCCAAAAUAAAAUCUUCUGGAGUAUGUGCCAAAGCCUACCUCCCUCUGAUGGACGGUUUUCCAAGAUCCAGUUUAUUUUGCCUGUCAAGUUAUUUUCAGAAACUCCUCAGUAAAGAUUUUGUAAACAUAAUAGAGGUUGAGACCUAUUCUUAAGAUAGUCUACUCAUUUUGCUUAAUAGUUUUUCUCACCCUUGAACCAAAGUUCAUCUCUUUAGCUAACAUCACUACAAAGAUCAGGUAAUACUUCUGUAAUAUUGAAAACUCAAUUCCUCCUUUUCUAAAAGUGUUUUAUCAACCUACACUAAAAUCAAUUGUCCACACUGUCGUUUUUGCCAAAAUAAGAAUGAUUAUUACAUUGUUAGUGUGAGUCCUUCUUCUAGAGAAAAAAUCUAGAAUGAUUUAUCUACUUAGGAUGUGAAUAGUUGUCAAGAAGAUAGAAAUAUAAAGUAGAAAAAAUGUCUACGUUGCAAAGGACAUUAUACAUUCUAUUUUUAUUUAGACUGCAGUAUUCAGAAAUAAGGGCUUGUUUUUAUUUUAGAACCUCUAUGUCAGUAAUUUUGUUGAAUACUUUCUAAAUAUAUCCCCCCCACCCACUAUUUCAAAAUAAUUAGAAACUUAUUAGGACACCAUUAAAGGUCUUGGUAAGUUUUUAAAAGUUUCUCAAUUCACAUUUGGUUUUUCACUUCAGAGCCAUUGGGACUUUUUGUUAGGUUUUGGCCUUUCAUAAUUUCUUGCCAAUUAAAAACAAGAUCAACAAUAAGCAUAAAAUAUAAAUUCCAGUCCAGCACAGCCUCCCAUGAUGCUUGUUGCCUGACUAUUCUGAUGUGUUCUUUGAAGAGCUUGGGUGUAAUGUGGUCAGCACUCUUCAAACAAUUAAUGUAACUGAGUGAAAAUCCCCCUUCAGCAGAAAUAGCUUCUUCUGGGAGGAGGCUAGACUGCUGUUAAAAUGAAGAAGAGUUAUGUAAGACCGUGUUUUUGUCCAAAGUGAUUGGGCUGAACUCCAAAUUUCUCUAGUGAAACCUUGCUGAAUAACUGUUAUGCCGGCAGCUUCAAAAUCAAGUGUUGAUUCUUGCCACUUGAUCAACUACCUUAAAAUUAAGAGUUCUAAAAGUCAAACUCAAGUGGUUAUUCAAAGAAAUUGGUUGUGCAAGAAUUUACUGUUGAUGAUAUUGAGUGGUCCAGAAUCCAGAAUGUGAGCAUUUUCGAUGUUAUGACUUUUGUUGAAGGAGAUCUGUCUGAUGACAUGGAUUUCUCCAUCAGUCUCUGGCAAAUAAUGACAUCUUUUAAAACUCAGAAGAUCAUUUAUAAAUUAAGGAUGAUGAUACUUAUAUCUCCUUAACUUCUCUGAAAUGUUCUGAAAACUUCAGCUCAAGGGCUAAAUAUUUUUCUGUUCAUCUGUAAAAUAACUAUACCAAUCUCUGAGAACUUUGAAAACAAAUUGAAUGUCCCACUUUCAGAAGAAAACAUUGUGAUAUUCAAAAAUAGUACUUUGUACAAGAAAGGUAGAUAUGUUGUUCUUGUGAGAGGAAUGAUUAGAUUUUAUAGUUUUUAUUUCCAAAGGCAAAUAACAUGUCAUAAUUUUUUUUAAAAAUACCGGAUAAGAAUUGGUACUAAAGAGGACUGGCAUUCUGAAGUAACUAUAUCUGAGUGCCAGAAUAUUUAUUAUUUAUGAGUACUUAUAUAUUUCUACUAUGGUGUCUCAAAAUUCUCAACUUUACAAUUGUUUGGAUUCUUAUUCUAUACAGAAAAAUAUUGACAUGUUAACAUUCAAAAAAACCUGGAUUCAUCAGUGAAAGGAUGUGGGAAUUCUUAAUGAUUCUUGGUUCUUAACUAUUCCAUUACAUAUAUUUCUGAAUAAUAAACUACUCUAAAACUUCAUGGUUUAAAACAGCAACUAUUCACUAUAGCUUAAACAUGGUGCCUUUCCAAAAUUCACUAAAAUUUGAUCCCCAAUGUAACAGAGUUGGAGCGGUGGGGGCUUUUAGAGAUGGUUAGGUCAUUAAGAGGAAUGCAUGCCUUUCUUGCAGGAGUGAGUGCUGUCUUUUGAUGGGUAGGAUCAGUUAACCUUCAGAGCAGAUUGUUGUAAAGUGAGUUCAGCUUCCUUUGCUUUCUCUGUCUUCCUUUCUCAGCACAUGAUCUCUUCUUUAAGUCCAUGCUUCUGCCUUCUGCUUUUCCACCAUGCACACAGCAAUAUGAGGCCCUACCAGAAGCUGAGAAGAUGCUAGUGCCAUGUUCAUGGACCCCCAGAACAGCAAGCCAAAUCCAACUUUUUCUUUCUAAGUUCCCCAGUCUCAAGUACACUGUCAUAGCAAUAGAAAACGUUCUAUGAAGCCAAUUCUACUAUAUCUUCAAUCUGGACUGGGCUCAGUUGGAAAAGUAUUCACCUGUUCUUGUUGGGGCUCAUUUAUGGGGUGAUAUUUCUCUGGCAAAUUGGCAGUGGGAUGGAUCCAGGCCCAGUGGAACACCGGGUGACUGGUCUUCUCUCUCUCUCUGUGUAGUCUCUGGGCCUUUCUAAUUUCACACUGUCUUUCAGUGUGACCUCUUUUGUAGCUAAACUGCUGGCAGAGCAAUUCUAAGUGCCUAAAAGUACAAAGGUAAAAGUUUCUAAGUCUUGUUAAUUUUUAGACCCAGAAGUGGUACAAUGUCACACUUGCCACAUUCUGUUGGUUAUGUCAAGGAACAGGACCAUCCCAGAUUCAAGGGGGAAAGACUGCACAAGGAUGUGACUACUGGGAAGCAUGGGCCACUGGAGACCACCAAAAUCAUAACCUCCUGCAUUAGCAUUUACCGAUUCAUUCAAAUGACAUGCAACAUUUCUAUAUUCAUUAUCAGAAAUACAUAUUUUCCGGUCAUCCACACAUGCUCUGUUGUGUUCUGGGUACAUGGAUUGAGUUAGACUUAAUUCUUAUUAGUAGGACUUUAUAUAACCUUUCUUAGUCUCUGUAAAAUGUCUGGAUGAAUAAAGUGGAUAUGAUCUUGAUUUUUAUGGAGGCAAGUUUUUGAGGAGAGACGGAUGUGAUUAAAUUAUUAAACACACACACAUACACACACACACACACACACACAUAUAUAUAUAUAUAUAUACACACACACACACACCUAUGUGUGUUUAUAAUUAUAAGCUAUAUUAUAUAUGAUAAAAGGAAGGUCUAGAGUGCCAUGAGUGUACAUGAAUACCAAAGAAGAAAAGACAGGAUAAUAUUAUCUGAGGAAGUGAUGUAUGUUUGGAUUAAGGUUUGUAGGACGAGUAGAGCAAAGUAGAAAAAUAACAGGGAAGGGAAAAGAUGCAAUCCAGGAGGUGAACUUGAGGUAGGAGAGACCAUGGAUUGAGGGACACUGAGAAUUUGAGGAAAUGAAACCAGACACUGUGAGUGAGUAUAAUGCAAAAAACCUGGGCAAGAAGUAAAAUGAGGCUGUAAUGGAAAAUGGAGCCAGAGCACAGAGGGCAUUAUUGGUCAUAAUGAGAAUUUAUUAGAGUAAUAGAAUACCACUGAAGAAUUUAAGAGGUAGGUAAGAAGAAUCAAAAAUAAUAAGAUUGCCAAAUUUAUAAAAUUAAAUCUAGUUUCUAUGUGGAGAAUCAAUUUAUGAGGCCAAGAAAGAAUGUGGAAAGGCUAAUUAUGCGGUUAUUACAAAACUUAGAUGAGAUACAGUGAUAGUAUAGUAGAUGUGAAGAUAAGUAAGCAGAUGUAAGGGAUGUCUAGGAGGAAGAAUGGAUAGGAAUUAGAAGCAUACAUGCCUUGUAUGGUCAAAGAGGAAGGAAAGUGAGAGGUGUCUCCUUGUCUUCUUGUUUGCAGAACUACAUGAAUGGCAUGUAUGUAUGAACAUAUAUGUAUCUGUCUAUAUCUGCAGGAACAUCAAAUGUUAUGUCAAUAUGGAGAGAGGCAAUGGAAACUUGAAUUUACAGUAGAGUAGAGGGAAGGGAUGUUGGGGGACAGAAAAGGGAAAUAUUGGGGACUGAAUUAGAGCAAAUGAUAUUCUAUGUCUUUAUAAUCAUACCAAAAUGAAUCCCAGUGUUACAUAUAACUAAAAAGAACCCAUAAAAUGGAAAUAAAAUAACAUUAAAACAAUUUGGAUUUAUAUAUAUUUACAUUAAGAUGCUUUUGAGAAAUCCAGUGGCUAGGUGUGGUGGCGCACACCAGUAAUCACAGCAGCUCUGGAGGCUGAAGGCAGGAGGAUCUUGAGUUCAAAGCCAGCCUCAGAAAAAGCAAGGCACUAAGCAACUUGGUGAGACCCUGUUGUCUCUAAAUAAAAUACAAAAUAGGGCUGAGGAUGUGGCACACUGGACUAGUUCCCCUGAGUUCAAUUCUCAUCCCCCGUUCCCCCCAAAAUUCAGAAAGGGACCUUGAAUUGGUUUCAAUGAUUUGGAUUUCAGAAGAGAGGUCUGUUUUAGAGAUUGAUUUGUGAUCAGUGAUGAUUGAACCUGGGAGCAUAAAGGACACCAUUUAGGGAGAGACAAGAGACAGAGAGGCCAUAGGAUCAGAUCUCCUACCUUCUCAGUGCCUUCUGCCUGCUCAUUAUCCUCAGCUCAGGGAUUUAGAGGAAAUCCAGAAGGGUAUGAUAUUACAGACAGCAAAGAAAGGAAGAGUUUCAAAAAGGAAGGGUUGCACUAUUAGAGCUAAUAAAUGAAUUCAGCAAAGUGGCAGGAUAUAAAAUCAACACGCAUAAAUCAAAGGCAUUCCUGUAUAUCAGCGACAAAUCCUCUGAAAUGGAAAUGAGGACAACCACUCCAUUCACAAUAUCUUCAAAAAAAAUAAAAUACUUGGGAAUCAACCUAACAAAAGAGGUGAAAGACUUAUACAAUGAAAACUACAGAACCCUAAAGAGAGAAAUAGAAGAAGAUCUUAGAAGAUGGAAAAAUAUACCCUGUUCAUGGAUAGGCAGAACUAACAUCAUCAAAAUGGCGAUAUUACCAAAAGUUCUCUAUAGGUUUAAUGCAAUGCCAAUCAAAAUACCAACGGCAUUUCUUGUAGAAAUAGAGAAAGCAAUCAUGAAAUUCAUAUGGAAAAAUAAAAGACCCAGAAUAGCAAAAACAAUGCUAAGCAGGAAGUGUGAAUCAGGCGGUAUAGCGAUACCAGACUUCAAACUAUACUACAGAGCAAUAGUAACAAAAACAGCAUGGUACUGGUACCAAAACAGGCGGGUGGACCAAUGGUACAGAAUAGAGGACACAGAAACCAAUCCACAAAACUACAACUAUCUUAUAUUUGAUAAAGGGGCUAAAAGCAUGCAAUGGAGGAAGGAUAGCAUCUUCAACAAAUGGUGCUGGGAAAACUGGAAAUCCAUAUGCAACAAAAUGAAACUGAAUCCCUUUCUCUCGCCAUGCACAAAAGUGAAUUCAAAAUGGAUCAAGGAGCUUGAUAUCAAAUCAGAGACACGCCGUCUGAUAGAAGAAAAAGUUGGCUACGAUCUACAUACUGUGGGGUCGGGCUCCAAAUUCCUCAAUAGGACACCCAUAGCACAAAAGUUAAUAACUAGAAUCAACAAAUGGGACUUACUCAAACUAAAAAGUUUUUUCUCAGCAAAAGAAACAAUAAGAGAGGUAAAUAGGGAGCCUACAUCCUGGGAACAAAUCUUUACUCCUCACACUUCAGAUAGAGCCCUAAUAUCCAGAGUAUACAAAGAACUCAAAAAAUUAGACAAUAAGAGAACAAACAACCCAAUCAACAAAUGGGCCAAGGACCUGAACAGACACUUCUCAGAGGAGGACAUACAGUCAAUCAACAAGUACAUGAAAAAAUGCUCACCAUCUCUAGCAGUCAGAGAAAUGCAAAUCAAAACCACCCUAAGAUACCAUCUCACUCCAGUAAGAUUGGCAGCCAUUAUGAAGUCAAACAACAACAAGUGCUGGCGAGGAUGUGGGGAAAAGGGUACACUUGUACAUUGCUGGUGGGACUGCAAAUUGGUGCAGCCAAUAUGGAAAGCAGUAUGGAGAUUCCUUGGAAAUCUGGGAAUGGAACCACUGUUUGNNNNNNNNNNNNNNNNNNNNNNNNNNNNNNNNNNNNNNNNNNNNNNNNNNNNNNNNNNNNNNNNNNNNNNNNNNNNNNNNNNNNNNNNNNNNNNNNNNNNNNNNNNNNNNNNNNNNNNNNNNNNNNNNNNNNNNNNNNNNNNNNNNNNNNNNNNNNNNNNNNNNNNNNNNNNNNNNNNNNNNNNNNNNNNNNNNNNNNNNNNNNNNNNNNNNNNNNNNNNNNNNNNNNNNNNNNNNNNNNNNNNNNNNNNNNNNNNNNNNNNNNNNNNNNNNNNNNNNNNNNNNNNNNNNNNNNNNNNNNNNNNNNNNNNNNNNNNNNNNNNNNNNNNNNNNNNNNNNNNNNNNNNNNNNNNNNNNNNNNNNNNNNNNNNNNNNNNNNNNNNNNNNNNNNNNNNNNNNNNNNNNNNNNNNNNNNNNNNNNNNNNNNNNNNNNNNNNNNNNNNNNNNNNNNNNNNNNNNNNNNNNNNNNNNNNNNNNNNNNNNNNNNNNNNNNNNNNNNNNNNNNNNNNNNNNNNNNNNNNNNNNNNNNNNNNNNNNNNNNNNNNNNNNNNNNNNNNNNNNNNNNNNNNNNNNNNNNNNNNNNNNNNNNNNNNNNNNNNNNNNNNNNNNNNNNNNNNNNNNNNNNNNNNNNNNNNNNNNNNNNNNNNNNNNNNNNNNNNNNNNNNNNNNNNNNNNNNNNNNNNNNNNNNNNNNNNNNNNNNNNNNNNNNNNNNNNNNNNNNNNNNNNNNNNNNNNNNNNNNNNNNNNNNNNNNNNNNNNNNNNNNNNNNNNNNNNNNNNNNNNNNNNNNNNNNNNNNNNNNNNNNNNNNNNNNNNNNNNNNNNNNNNNNNNNNNNNNNNNNNNNNNNNNNNNNNNNNNNNNNNNNNNNNNNNNNNNNNNNNNNNNNNNNNNNNNNNNNNNNNNNNNNNNNNNNNNNNNNNNNNNNNNNNNNNNNNNNNNNNNNNNNNNNNNNNNNNNNNNNNNNNNNNNNNNNNNNNNNNNNNNNNNNNNNNNNNNNNNNNNNNNNNNNNNNNNNNNNNNNNNNNNNNNNNNNNNNNNNNNNNNNNNNNNNNNNNNNNNNNNNNNNNNNNNNNNNNNNNNNNNNNNNNNNNNNNNNNNNNNNNNNNNNNNNNNNNNNNNNNNNNNNNNNNNNNNNNNNNNNNNNNNNNNNNNNNNNNNNNNNNNNNNNNNNNNNNNNNNNNNNNNNNNNNNNNNNNNNNNNNNNNNNNNNNNNNNNNNNNNNNNNNNNNNNNNNNNNNNNNNNNNNNNNNNNNNNNNNNNNNNNNNNNNNNNNNNNNNNNNNNNNNNNNNNNNNNNNNNNNNNNNNNNNNNNNNNNNNNNNNNNNNNNNNNNNNNNNNNNNNNNNNNNNNNNNNNNNNNNNNNNNNNNNNNNNNNNNNNNNNNNNNNNNNNNNNNNNNNNNNNNNNNNNNNNNNNNNNNNNNNNNNNNNNNNNNNNNNNNNNNNNNNNNNNNNNNNNNNNNNNNNNNNNNNNNNNNNNNNNNNNNNNNNNNNNNNNNNNNNNNNNNNNNNNNNNNNNNNNNNNNNNNNNNNNNNNNNNNNNNNNNNNNNNNNNNNNNNNNNNNNNNNNNNNNNNNNNNNNNNNNNNNNNNNNNNNNNNNNNNNNNNNNNNNNNNNNNNNNNNNNNNNNNNNNNNNNNNNNNNNNNNNNNNNNNNNNNNNNNNNNNNNNNNNNNNNNNNNNNNNNNNNNNNNNNNNNNNNNNNNNNNNNNNNNNNNNNNNNNNNNNNNNNNNNNNNNNNNNNNNNNNNNNNNNNNNNNNNNNNNNNNNNNNNNNNNNNNNNNNNNNNNNNNNNNNNNNNNNNNNNNNNNNNNNNNNNNNNNNNNNNNNNNNNNNNNNNNNNNNNNNNNNNNNNNNNNNNNNNNNNNNNNNNNNNNNNNNNNNNNNNNNNNNNNNNNNNNNNNNNNNNNNNNNNNNNNNNNNNNNNNNNNNNNNNNNNNNNNNNNNNNNNNNNNNNNNNNNNNNNNNNNNNNNNNNNNNNNNNNNNNNNNNNNNNNNNNNNNNNNNNNNNNNNNNNNNNNNNNNNNNNNNNNNNNNNNNNNNNNNNNNNNNNNNNNNNNNNNNNNNNNNNNNNNNNNNNNNNNNNNNNNNNNNNNNNNNNNNNNNNNNNNNNNNNNNNNNNNNNNNNNNNNNNNNNNNNNNNNNNNNNNNNNNNNNNNNNNNNNNNNNNNNNNNNNNNNNNNNNNNNNNNNNNNNNNNNNNNNNNNNNNNNNNNNNNNNNNNNNNNNNNNNNNNNNNNNNNNNNNNNNNNNNNNNNNNNNNNNNNNNNNNNNNNNNNNNNNNNNNNNNNNNNNNNNNNNNNNNNNNNNNNNNNNNNNNNNNNNNNNNNNNNNNNNNNNNNNNNNNNNNNNNNNNNNNNNNNNNNNNNNNNNNNNNNNNNNNNNNNNNNNNNNNNNNNNNNNNNNNNNNNNNNNNNNNNNNNNNNNNNNNNNNNNNNNNNNNNNNNNNNNNNNNNNNNNNNNNNNNNNNNNNNNNNNNNNNNNNNNNNNNNNNNNNNNNNNNNNNNNNNNNNNNNNNNNNNNNNNNNNNNNNNNNNNNNNNNNNNNNNNNNNNNNNNNNNNNNNNNNNNNNNNNNNNNNNNNNNNNNNNNNNNNNNNNNNNNNNNNNNNNNNNNNNNNNNNNNNNNNNNNNNNNNNNNNNNNNNNNNNNNNNNNNNNNNNNNNNNNNNNNNNNNNNNNNNNNNNNNNNNNNNNNNNNNNNNNNNNNNNNNNNNNNNNNNNNNNNNNNNNNNNNNNNNNNNNNNNNNNNNNNNNNNNNNNNNNNNNNNNNNNNNNNNNNNNNNNNNNNNNNNNNNNNNNNNNNNNNNNNNNNNNNNNNNNNNNNNNNNNNNNNNNNNNNNNNNNNNNNNNNNNNNNNNNNNNNNNNNNNNNNNNNNNNNNNNNNNNNNNNNNNNNNNNNNNNNNNNNNNNNNNNNNNNNNNNNNNNNNNNNNNNNNNNNNNNNNNNNNNNNNNNNNNNNNNNNNNNNNNNNNNNNNNNNNNNNNNNNNNNNNNNNNNNNNNNNNNNNNNNNNNNNNNNNNNNNNNNNNNNNNNNNNNNNNNNNNNNNNNNNNNNNNNNNNNNNNNNNNNNNNNNNNNNNNNNNNNNNNNNNNNNNNNNNNNNNNNNNNNNNNNNNNNNNNNNNNNNNNNNNNNNNNNNNNNNNNNNNNNNNNNNNNNNNNNNNNNNNNNNNNNNNNNNNNNNNNNNNNNNNNNNNNNNNNNNNNNNNNNNNNNNNNNNNNNNNNNNNNNNNNNNNNNNNNNNNNNNNNNNNNNNNNNNNNNNNNNNNNNNNNNNNNNNNNNNNNNNNNNNNNNNNNNNNNNNNNNNNNNNNNNNNNNNNNNNNNNNNNNNNNNNNNNNNNNNNNNNNNNNNNNNNNNNNNNNNNNNNNNNNNNNNNNNNNNNNNNNNNNNNNNNNNNNNNNNNNNNNNNNNNNNNNNNNNNNNNNNNNNNNNNNNNNNNNNNNNNNNNNNNNNNNNNNNNNNNNNNNNNNNNNNNNNNNNNNNNNNNNNNNNNNNNNNNNNNNNNNNNNNNNNNNNNNNNNNNNNNNNNNNNNNNNNNNNNNNNNNNNNNNNNNNNNNNNNNNNNNNNNNNNNNNNNNNNNNNNNNNNNNNNNNNNNNNNNNNNNNNNNNNNNNNNNNNNNNNNNNNNNNNNNNNNNNNNNNNNNNNNNNNNNNNNNNNNNNNNNNNNNNNNNNNNNNNNNNNNNNNNNNNNNNNNNNNNNNNNNNNNNNNNNNNNNNNNNNNNNNNNNNNNNNNNNNNNNNNNNNNNNNNNNNNNNNNNNNNNNNNNNNNNNNNNNNNNNNNNNNNNNNNNNNNNNNNNNNNNNNNNNNNNNNNNNNNNNNNNNNNNNNNNNNNNNNNNNNNNNNNNNNNNNNNNNNNNNNNNNNNNNNNNNNNNNNNNNNNNNNNNNNNNNNNNNNNNNNNNNNNNNNNNNNNNNNNNNNNNNNNNNNNNNNNNNNNNNNNNNNNNNNNNNNNNNNNNNNNNNNNNNNNNNNNNNNNNNNNNNNNNNNNNNNNNNNNNNNNNNNNNNNNNNNNNNNNNNNNNNNNNNNNNNNNNNNNNNNNNNNNNNNNNNNNNNNNNNNNNNNNNNNNNNNNNNNNNNNNNNNNNNNNNNNNNNNNNNNNNNNNNNNNNNNNNNNNNNNNNNNNNNNNNNNNNNNNNNNNNNNNNNNNNNNNNNNNNNNNNNNNNNNNNNNNNNNNNNNNNNNNNNNNNNNNNNNNNNNNNNNNNNNNNNNNNNNNNNNNNNNNNNNNNNNNNNNNNNNNNNNNNNNNNNNNNNNNNNNNNNNNNNNNNNNNNNNNNNNNNNNNNNNNNNNNNNNNNNNNNNNNNNNNNNNNNNNNNNNNNNNNNNNNNNNNNNNNNNNNNNNNNNNNNNNNNNNNNNNNNNNNNNNNNNNNNNNNNNNNNNNNNNNNNNNNNNNNNNNNNNNNNNNNNNNNNNNNNNNNNNNNNNNNNNNNNNNNNNNNNNNNNNNNNNNNNNNNNNNNNNNNNNNNNNNNNNNNNNNNNNNNNNNNNNNNNNNNNNNNNNNNNNNNNNNNNNNNNNNNNNNNNNNNNNNNNNNNNNNNNNNNNNNNNNNNNNNNNNNNNNNNNNNNNNNNNNNNNNNNNNNNNNNNNNNNNNNNNNNNNNNNNNNNNNNNNNNNNNNNNNNNNNNNNNNNNNNNNNNNNNNNNNNNNNNNNNNNNNNNNNNNNNNNNNNNNNNNNNNNNNNNNNNNNNNNNNNNNNNNNNNNNNNNNNNNNNNNNNNNNNNNNNNNNNNNNNNNNNNNNNNNNNNNNNNNNNNNNNNNNNNNNNNNNNNNNNNNNNNNNNNNNNNNNNNNNNNNNNNNNNNNNNNNNNNNNNNNNNNNNNNNNNNNNNNNNNNNNNNNNNNNNNNNNNNNNNNNNNNNNNNNNNNNNNNNNNNNNNNNNNNNNNNNNNNUGACUACCAGGAGACUAAAAGGGCAAAGACUCUCCUCCUCCCUCCCUCCAUCUCUCGCUCUCUCCCCCUCUGGGAGCCAGACAUUAAAGAUUAGAACAUUCAAAAGCAAGUGCAUGUACGGAGAAAAAUACAAGCAAACACAGCUACCCAGAGAAAGGCUAAGGUUCCAUCAGCAAACAAAAAAAAAUACCCGAGAACACCAUGAAUUUAUAUUCUAAGCCUGGGCACAAAAAUCACCCACAACAAUUUUUUUGUAAUAAUAAAAAGUCCCAAAACCCAAGGAAACAAAAAAACACAAUUACCAAAGUUAACACAAAAAGCAACAUAUUUAUACUCAAAUGUCAGCUUAAAAAUAACAACAAAAUCUCAAGCAUAAAAGAAACAAGUAAACAUAGCCAAAAAAAAAAAGUAAACCAACAGAAAUUGUACCUGAAAAAACAUCUGUCAGCAUAUCCACUAAACAAAGACUCUAAAAGAACCAUCUGAAAGAUGUCAAAGAACUAAAGAAAGAUGUGAAAAAUGUGAAGAAAAUAAUGCAUAACCAAAAUGAAAAUAUGAGUAAACAGAGAAAACCUAACAAAAAAAAAAUCUAGCACCGCAAUAAUGAAUUUAGGGACAAUGCACAACUGAAUGUGUAUCUCUCCACAUGCCCAGGCAUAUUCUGCAUCUGAGUAAAAAAAAAGGUAGCACCAAGUUGCUAAUGACUGGAAAUUAUGAGAACAGAUUUCAACUCGUGAACCUCCUGCCUCUGCCUCCCAAGCUGCUAAGAUUACAGCCAUGGGCCACCAAACACAAAAAAAAUCAGUAAAAAAAAAAAAAAAACCAAGAGAAAUCCAAGAACAAAUUGAGAAGAUAUAAGAAUGAAUCAGGAAAUGUGAACAUAGGAAAAUGAAAACGCUCAAGUCCGAGGAAAUGAAGACAAAACAAUGAAGAACAAAAGAACAAACGAUGGAUUGGAAUUGAAACAGAUCUAAGAGAACCUGUAAGAUACCAUUCAGCCCACCAAUAUACCCAUCGGAGGAGUGCCAAAGGACAGAGAACAACAGAGAGAAUAUUAAAAAAAAUAAAAACAGAAACCUUCCCAUGUUUGAUAAAAGACAUAAAUAUGAAUGUCUAACAACCCAAACAAAUUCCAAGAAAUACAAACACAAAUACAACAACACUGGGACACAUUACAACCAAACCCACCCUGCCUUUAGCUUUUGGUAUCCAUGUAGCUUUUUCCUGUCUAUAAUUUUUUCUUGGAGUGGAAAAUAAAAAGGAAAAUCUAAAAAGCACCAAAAAAGAAGACAAAGAGUUAACCAAUCAAAGGAAUAGACUUCAAAAAGAUUACCAGAGAUAUUUAAGUAAGUAUCUGCCAGAAGAGAACAGGCCAAUAAAGAUAAAAUGAUAAAAGAGCAAAAAGACCAAAAAAGGAUCAUCUUUUUGGGGGGGGGUAGGAAGAACACCAUAUCCAAAGUAAGGAAGAAACUAAGACAUGCAAGACAUAAUCUGGGAGAAAGGAACAAACAAAAAGCAGAGGGAAUUUGUGACUACUACACCAACACUAUACCUCUAAUCACGCAAUCCCGAAGAAUGAAUUGAAAGGACAUUAGACAGUAACUCUAAAGUGGUAUGAAGAAGAUCGCAAUGAAAGUAAACAAAUGGGCAAUAACAAAUUUACCAGCAUUGUUACCAGACAUGAUUCAUGAGACUACUGCACGGAAAUAAAGAAGUAAUCCUUUGUUUUGUUCCAUUUGGGAGGGUUACCAAGGAUUGAACUCAAGAGACACUCAACCACUGAGCCAAAUCCCCAACCGUAUUAAAAAUAUUUUAUUGAGAGACAAGGUCUCAAUAAAUUGCUUAGCACCUUACUAAGUUGCUGAGGCUAACCUUGAACUCGCGAUCCUCCUGCCUCAGCCUCCUGAGCCACUGGGAUUACAAACAUACGCCAACACACAUGACUAACAUAGACAUAUUAAAAAACACUUUUCAUGUCAAAAAAAAGCAAAUAGUAGAAAAAACAUAGAGUAUUAUUUUAAUAUUUAAGAAGUAUUCACCUACUUUGGUAACUCCAAAAUUUGUUUCAAGUUAGGUAUUCAAAUGAUAAGCAAAAUGGACAGGAUUCAGACUAACGCGCCUUUCUAAAGUCAUUUACAUUUGAGAGAAUGAAAAACAUAAAAAUUUUCCUACUCUAACUAUAUUCAAUCUUUAUAACAGGUACUGAUAAUUUAAAAUAACCAGUGAAAAGGGUGGAGAAAAAGCUGCAAAAAAACAUACUUAAAAUAGAACCAAAAUCAAGACGCCAAAAAUUAAAAUUAGUGUUUUAUAAACAAAAUUUUAAAUCAAGAAACAAUGGUAACCACAAAGAAAUUACAACUAUGGAAUAUGUGCAAAAUUAAAUCUUGCUGCAGUUUUAAGACAAAUAUUGAAGAGUUGGUAGCACAGUGGUUUAGAGCAUGAGCUCAAGAGCUAUAUUACCAAGGUUUAAAUUCUGUCAUUGUGUGAACUUCUGUAGGUUGCUUACAUCUCUGUGUGUCUUGGUUUCUCUAUAUGUAAAAUGGAAAUCAUAAUAUAUUUUACAGGGUUUUCAUUGUGUUUAAAUAAGUUAAUAUAGGUACUGUACAACACUUAGUACAAUGCUAGGUACCCAUUAAAUAAAAGGUAGCUUUGAGUUAGCAGUAGAGCCCAGAACAUGUUCUUGUUAAAAUUCCACAUAGUGGGGAGUUAAGUUCUCAGUUUUUCAGGUAUACAGUUGAGUUUUAUCAGUGCUCCCAAAUAUAAUCAGUUCACAGUCUUUCAGAGAAGGAAUUGAACAUAUGAGCUCACAAAUGACUUAAGUAAAGUCAAAGCCCCAUUUAUAAAAGUGACAGAAAAAUAGUUUUUAACAAUUACUGAGGUGAUUUCUUUUAUUUUGCAAUUCCUUUUACCUAUUUGCCUUUCCUUAGAGAUCUUAGUCUUUAUGUGUCAUGGAAAGGAGUUUUCAGUAGACCAGACACACACACACACACACACACACAUGUGCGCGCGCAAAGACAGAGUGUGUGUUUAUUAAUUGUCUUAGAAUUCUAAAGCUCUAGAAUAAAUACUAGGCAUAUAAGAAAUUCAUUGUCUUGCUGCUAAGUAAAGAUGAAAUCAUUCCUGGUAUAGGCAGAGGAGAAGAGCUGAGGAAGACUGAUAGGGAAUAAAGACAGAUAUAUUGGUCCCUGGAAAGAAGUUCUCUGUCCUCCCUGUACCCCUCCAAAGCUGAGCCCCGAGGAGGUAAUGCUUAAAGACCCCAAUUCAUUUGGGGCCCUAGGUUGGUUCUCUCCUGUGCUUUGCUUCCCAGGUAGUGCUCAGGAAAGCAUCAUGCUGCCAGAAUUUCAUCCUAUCCUGAGAGACAAUGUCACCAGUUGAAUGGGGAUGAUGGUACAGCAUGACAAGAGGUGGUAUGUGAGGACAAGACCAUCUGAGCUAACUUUGUUCAGUUUCUUAUUAUCCUAGAAUGGCUUGGAAAACAACAACAACAAAAAACAAACAAACAAACAAAAACUUGCUAUUUUCUUCUCUAACCCAGAUGAAAAAAUGGUCACAAAUUCUUUUCUCUUUCCCCUUGAGAUAUGGAGUCUAAUUCCCCUCUCCUUGAAGGUAGGCUGGCCUGGUGACAUGCUUGACCAAUAGAAUUCAGCAGAAAUGAGCAUCUCUAACUUCAAAAGCUAGCUAACAAGAAGCUAUGGGGCUUCCACUGGAUCUCUUAGAAUGUUCCCUCAGGGGAAAUCCAGGUGCCAUGUAAGAGGACUGUGACCACUUUGCUUUAUAAGCUUACUUAGGAAGGACCUGAGACUCCCUGGAGAAGAGAGAGAGGGGCCUAGCUAAACCCAGAAUCCCAUCCAUCCCCACCAAGACAGGAGGCAUGUGAAUGGGGCCAUCUUGAACUUUCAAACCUAUUCACCACCAAAGGACCCUAAGGGAAGCAGAAGGAUCACCUAGCUUCAUCCUUGAAGAUUGGACCCAUGAGCCAUGAACAUAAUAAAAUUAUUACUAUUGCAAGACAUUAUGUUUUUGAUGGUUUGCUUUACCACUAGACAACUAGGACCCAACUCUUCAUAUGCCCACACGAGUCUUGAGGUAGGUAGAGGAGAUGUAUAACUUCAACCAGAAGAAGGCUAUUGCUCAGAGGGGAAUUUACAGGAUGAUUUUCAGGGAAACAAUUGGGAACAAUGCUAUUGAUUAUACUUUGUAAUUAUGUAAUUCUUACCUUUGAAAGAACCAGAGAGAACUCUUUAUUUCUAUGUUUUAACAUGCAUUUUUUUUUUCAUCAGGAGUGAACAUUAGCAUGGGCAAAUGUUGAUGGAGAAGCCAUGAUUGGUGUGUCCUUAGAGUUAUACAGUAUGAUGGCCUUGCCAACCAACCACCUCCCAAGCUUUAGAUUCUAUCCACAAAGAGUGGAGGGUGAGAAACCUUGAUUUCUCUUAGAAAAUCUCACAUGACAGAAGAAACUAUGAUUUGACUGAAAAAUACCUGAAGUGACCAAGUAGGUUAUUUGCUACUAGGGAAGAAUGGGAUUUGAGAUAAGGAUUAAGUACAGUAAUAGAAGAGUGAGAAGUUAUUUUUUAAAAAACAAUUGAGUUUAUAGCUUGUGAAAUCAAUAUUUAUCAUAUUAAUGAAAUAUGUGAAAUACAACUAAGCCAAUUAGAAUAUGUGCAUUAUCUGAAUAGCUCAUCUCUUCCUGGAUCCACUUAUUCUUUCACAGUGGGAAUUGUUUCUUUUGUAACGUCCUCUGCCCUACAGUAGGGUAGAGCUCAUUAGUGAUUAGAGUUCUUAUAUUAUACUCUGAUCUAGUUGGUAAAAAUACUAAGUAAAUUUAACAAAGUCUGGUUCCUUGGAUAUUAGUUUACUCUUUCUAACAUGACCAUUCCAUCAGUAAAAAAACAUUUAAUCUGUAGAUACAAUUACACUGUUAAUUUGUUAUAUAUACUCAAGGCCUCUGUUUAUCUUCAUAACAUUAAGUCUUUAAAAGCUGUCCUCAGAUAUCAGAUUUCAUUUAUUAUAUGUUGAUUUUGCUAAUUUAUUACCUAGGCACUAGUCCUAGGCACUUCACUGUUGCCUCCUUGUACUGCUCAAGAGAAAUACUGUCUCCUUCUAUCUUGCAAGCAUUUUAGUACAGUGUCUAAUGCACUAGGCAAGAAAAACUCCAGUUAAUAAGAAAAGUAAAUAUGGACAUAUUUUCCCUGAGGAAAUAAAAGGAAUUUUAAAGGCAUAGAAUUGUAAGUAAUUAAAUAUAAAAAUUUAUAGUAGUGUUUCUCAAUCUUGACUGCUCAAUAGAAUUAUCUGAGGGAGAAUGUAAAAGUCUAGACCUUACCUGACAAAUAAAAUCAGGAUGAUAGGAUGUAGAACUCAGGCAUCAGUAGGUUUUAAGUCUCUGGGUGAUUCCAAAGUGUAUGCAAAAUUGAAAACCACUUGGAUAGAUUGAGAUAGGAUAGGGUAGGGCAUAAUUAAAGAUAAAACCGGACAGAUGAAGACCAGAUGUAGGAAGGCAUCAUGCUCCAAUACAAAGGAAGGACUUUCUAGAGAAUUCAGUGAAUGACAUUAGGGUAGUUUGUCUUCAUUAUCAUCUCAGAGUCCUUUACCUUUUUUUACAACUAUGUUAUAUUAUUCCCAACAAAUAGCUAGCAUGUGUAUCUCCUUAGGGAUGUCUACCAGAUAACCCUACCCUGCCAAGCCUGGAGAUCUAGGAAUUUUCAUACCAUAUCCCCAGGGCACCAUCCUUAAGCACUAAUUGAUGAUGAUAGAAUAUAAAUAAUCUAGCUUCCUUUCUCCUGAUUAAGAAAAUUCUGAAGUCUGAUCUCUGCUAGUGUUAUUCAAAGUAAACGACAAGCAAACAUUUCAUUAGAUCCAGGACAAGAUUAGCUUGGGCCAAAAUGUAAAUCUGUACACUGCUUUCUUUACAAAGAAAUAGUUCUGUGAAAGAAAUGUCAGCGGAAAUAGUGGGAGUAGUGAUUUAGCUGUAACCACAUAUCUCACCAUGGACCAUAGAUAACACAUGGUUCAGAGGCCAUAGGGAUCUGCAUAUUGCACUUGGGGUGACAAUAAUACACUGUGUUAAGAGUGGCCUGCAGCAGUGAGUCAGAGUUAAACUUUCACCUUGAAUGAUGAAUGAUUGCCCAGUCUUCUUCCUUCCCUUUUCCACUUCCUGCUCCUUGUUUUUCUUGGUAAUUCUGUUAUAGAUGACCUUGAUAUGCAUUUUGGUGUCAGCACCUGCUUCUAGGAAACUCAAUUAAGAUAGGCAGUAUUAUAAUUUAGAUAUGAGGUGUCCCAAAAAAGCUCAUGUGUGAGACAAUGCAAAACAGUUUAGUGGUGAAGUGAUUGAUCUAAUCAGUGCUUAAAUCCACUUGAAUGGAGUAAUUGGGUGGUAGUCAUAGGCUUAGGAGGUAGGUCACUGGGGACAUGACUUUAGGGUAUACAUUUUGUCCCUAGUGAGCAGAGCUCUCUCUCUCUUUCUCUGCUUCCUGGUGGCCAUGUCCUAAGCAGCUUUCCUCUGCCACACACUUCUACCUUGAUGUUCUGCCCCACCUUGGGCCCAGAUCAAUGAAGUUGGCAGCCUAAGGACUGAUACCUCUGAAGCUGAGCCCCCAAUAAACUUUUCCUCCUCUAUGUUGUUCUUGUCAGGUCUUCUGGUCACAGAGGUGAAAAUUUUGACAAAAAGAGGUGAUGAGGAUUAUAUUGGAGGGUAAAAUCUGCAGUUUAGGAAGAUAGUACAGGUUAUUCUGGAGAAUUACCCCCCAAAAGAUUGAAUUUAGGUAGAAAAUAAGAUUGAAGACCAUUGCAAUAUAUCACAAGCCAGGAAACCCAGGACUUAUCCUCCUCUAUUAUUCAUAUUUAAAAAGUGUCCCCCUCCCCCUUUUUUUUCUUUUUGCCAUUUUCAGGGCUUCUGCUUUAGUUUUAGGCCCAUAUUUGUUGUGAGGUUCAGAACAAUUGUUCUGCAUAUUGGAUGUAAGGUCAGGACCUUGCCAAUGUUUCAGUGGAAAUUAACUAGAAAUGGCAGAUUCCCCACAAUUUAUAAACUAAACUUUCCUUUGUGAAAUAUGUAUAUUUUCCUUUAAGCUUUAUAGCUUCAAGGCUAGUUUUAAAGUACAUUUGUAAGGAUACCUAGGCAUGCCCCAAAUAUUUGACCAGGUGCAAGUAAUUAAAACUUUCUGGCCCACAAUUUUCUUACCCUUUGAAUGAGGGUAAGAAAGAUGCAUUAUAUUAUACCCAAGGUCUCUUCCAGUUCUAAAAUGUUGUGUUCAACAAUAGCCACUAGAUUUCCUCAGUAAAACAGCAUAGAACAGCCGAUUCCAGUAGCAAUUGUCACUUCUCAAAACAAAUUGACAAAAAUCAGACACUUCUUGCAAGAAUAAUUCUCCAGGAAGCUAACCUUUGCCCAUUUUUCUUAAUGAUGUUUCCUGUUUUUAACUUGGCUUUGGAAAUGGGUAACCAUCUAAUUGGGUUGAUAAGGUCAGCAUGCAAGAGCCUUGAAAAGAGAUUGAAUAAUAUUUGUGAGCAUGUGUAUUUGCCUAGACAUGCUUUUUGUCAUGUUUAUUGUACUUUAAUGAUUAGCUAGAAACAAUAAUACUGUUGUACAUUCUGUUUUAUUAAUGCUCUGUCAUUUAUGGGGCUUUCUAAGAUAAUUUGAAAAUAAGAGAAAAUAUAAUUAUUUGAGGGUGCUUUUGGAAGAGGUGGAUAUAUUUAUAAAAUUAAAUAGUAAUGUAAUAACAGUACUCUCAAGGCAGAGUUCAGCACAAUACAUAGUUCUUAGAGAGGAUUUCUAAAGCUAGAUGAGAUGACUUAUAUUUUCCCUGACUUGCAAAGAACAUGUUAAUUCAGCUUGUUGUGAUUUUGUGGGUCAAGAAAGGUGAUAAAUCACUUCUGCUCAUUGGUUUGUCACAUCUUGUUCCCAAACUACUCUCAAAUACUUACUUUGUAAACAGUGUCACCCGUUUACUUAGGCAGAAAUCUGGGCUUCACACUUGUACUGCACACACUCCGUUUAAAAUUAUCUCAAUUUCACUCCCUUUGGGUGACUGUUUUUGCAUGUUGAAAGAUAAAUCAUUAAAAUGAUAAAACAUGGAAAAUUAGGACAUGUUUUUGGUAUUUUCUUAUUUUCCCCCAAUGAGAUAUAACAGAAAAGUAUGUAAAUCUUAAGUGUACAGAUCAGUGAAUUUUUGCCUAUGUGUAACUAUGUAAUCAAGAUGCGAAACGAUAUUUUAAAAUUUCCACAUUUUGCCUUCCCAGUUAAAUUGUCCUCUUGUCCUCCAUUUAGAGGUGACUGCCAUCCUUACUUUUGUCAUCAUAGCUUGGUUUUACAUUUUAUAGGAUGGAAUCAUGCACCAUAUCUGGUUUCUUAUGCUCAACAUUAUUGUCGUUAUGCCUUUGAGAUUCAUCUUUAUUCUUGCCUGUGAUAAAUAAUAGUAUAUUCUUUAUUUUUAACUGUGGUUAGAGUAUUUCACUGUAUGGAUAUAUCUCUCUACUCUUGAUGGAUGCUUAAUUUUUCGGUUAUGACAAAUGUCUAUUGGGAUUUUUGAUAGAUACAUCUCAUUUUAAUUUUAGUAGCUAGCUAGAACUAGAACAGACAUACAUGAUUUAGCAAUAAUAAAUGCUAAGGGUCUUCCAAUAAUUUUUAUUCCUACUAGUGAUGUAUGAAAACCCUAGUUCUUUUGCAUUUGUGCCCAUAUGUGAUGUUUGUCAGUAUUUUUAAUUUUAGUUGGUCUAGUGAAUGUGUAGUAGUAUCUCAUUACAGUUUUGAUUUUUUAUUUCUCUAAUUAAUAAUUAUAUUGAACACAUUUUUAUAUACUUAUUGGCCUUUUGGGAAUCUAAUUUAUGAAAUUCUGUUCAAAUCCUUUAACUAAUUGUCUUUUGUUAUUGGUUUGUAUUCUAUGUAUUCUAAUUUAACAAAUCAAAAGAACAAAUAUCUUUUCCCAAUCUGUGGCUUGCUUUUUCUUUAUUAAUGGCGUUUUAUUUUUCUUUAUUCCUUUUGUAGUUCUGGGGAUGGAACCCAUGACCUCAUAGCCUCAUACAGGCUAAGCAACCACUCUACCAUUGAGCUAUAACCCUAGCCCUAAUGCUGUGUCUGUCUGUCUGUCUGUCUAUCUGUGUGUGUGUGUGUGUGUGUGUGUGUGUUACUAGGAACUAAAGUUGGGGAUCCUCUACCACUGAGUUACAAUCGUCAGUCCUUUAUAUUUUUUGAGACAGGCUCUCAUGAAUUUACCCAUGCUGGCCUUGAAAUUGUGAUCCUCCUGCCUUGGCACCCUGAAUAGUGGGAUUAUAGAUGUGUACCCUAAUGACCAUCUUAAAAGUUCUUAAUUUUAAUGAAAUCUGACAUAUCAUGUUUUUCUUCUAUAGAUCAUGCUUUCAGUGUUCUGCUUUAAUAUGCAAUUUGAAAACCUGGUCACCUGUAAUGCAGUCAGUUUGAAAGAUGGUAGGCUUGUUUUUUUCCCUCAUUUUUUUUAUUGUGAUAGCAUUCAUAUACAUAUAAUUUACAUCUAGAUAAUUUUUAAUUGUACACUUGAGUGUUUUUAAAGACAUGCAUAGUGUGCAAGCACUACCACUACCACCUAUCUCCAGAACUCUUCAUUUUAUUAAACUGAAACUUUAUACUCAUUGAUCAAUAACUACCCAUUUAAACUGUUAUAUCUUCUUUCUUCUUUGAAACUUACUAACAUAUAGUAUCCUUCUUUGUCUUUGGAAACAUUUUUGAUUCAAUGUCUGCUUUGUCUGGUGUUAGCAUAGCCACCGCUGCUUUCUUUUUGUUACUAUUGUUGUAACAUAUCUUCUCCCAUCCUUUCAUUUUCAACUUAUCUGAUCUACAUUUUUUUAAAAAUUUAUUUUUUAGUUAUAGGUGGACACAAGAUUUUUUUUAGUUGUAGUUGGACACAAUACCUUUAUUUCACUUAUUUAUUUUUAUGUGGUGCUGAGGAUCGAACCUAGGGUCUCGCACGUGCGAAGCAAGUGCUCUACCACUGAACCACAACCCCAGCCCUAUCUGGUCUACAUUUUAAAAAAUUUAUUUUAAUUUGUUCUUUUUAGUUAUAUAUGACAGUAGAAUGUAUUUUAACAUAUUAUACAUACAUGGAAUAUAACUUAUUCAAUUAGGAUCCUAUUCUUGUGGUUGUAUAUGAUAUGGAGUAACCCUGGUCAUGUAUUCAAAUACAAGGCUAGGAAAGUUAUGUGUGAUUAACUCUACUGUCCUUCCUAUUCAACCUCCCCACUCCUUUCAUUUCCCUUUGUCUAAUCCAGUGGACUUCUAUUCUCCUCCCUACCCUCCCUUAUGGUGGGUUAGCAUCCACAUAUUAGAGAAAACAUUUGGCUUUUGGUUUGGGGGAACUAGCUUAUUUCACUUAUUUCAGUUGCAUCCAUUUAUCAGAAAAUGCCAUAAUUUUAUUCUUUGUGUGGUUGAGUAACAUAGAGUGAAUAUGUCUAAACAGACAACAUUGGAUCUUGGUUUUUAAAAUCCAUUCUGCCAAUGUCUCUUUUGAUUGAAGAGUUUAAUCCAUUUAAAGUAGUUCUUGAAAAGGGGGGAUUUUAAAAAUUCUAUUUGUUUCCUAGUUUUAUAGCAUUUUUGUCCCUUACUUCCCAUACUGCUGUCUUCUUUUGUGUUUAGCUAAUUUGUUGUUGUAAAACAUUUAAAUCACUUUCUCAACUUCUUUGGCACAUAUUCCAUAGCUAUUUUCUUUGUGGUUACCAUAGGUACUACAUUUAAAAUCCUAAUUAUAAAACACUAAUUUGAAUUUAUACAGUCUUAACUUUAACAACAUACAAAGUAUGCUCCUUUGCAGCUCUAUCUCAACCCUUUUCACUGGUUAUUACAAAUUACAUCUUUAUAUGUUACAUGCCCCCAAACAUAAAUCACUUAAAAAAAAAGCGUUAGUCACUUGAAUUAAAUAGAAACAAAAUAUGGAGUCACAAAAAAUAUUAAAAUAAUACUAGUUUUUAGACAAAUUGCUUUUUUUUAAAAAAAAAAAAGUAUAGCAAUUUAGUCAUGCAUCUUGGCAUAUGCUGAAAAUCCCAGUGACUCAGGAGGCUGAGGCAAGAGGAUCGAAAGUUCAAGACUAGCCACAGCAACUUAGUAAGACCCUAAGCAAGUAAUUGAGAACUGGUCUCACAAUAAAAAAUUUUUAAAAAGGCUCGGGAUGGAGCUCAGUGGUAGAGAGCCUCUUGAGUUCAAUCCCUAGUAACCCUCCCAAAUGGAACAAAACAAAGGAACAAUACAACAGUACAGUACAGUAGUCUCAUGAAUCAUGUACAAUAACAAUGCUAGCAUUUAUUAUUGCCCAUGUAUUUACUUUCAUUGAGAUCUUCUUCAUACCACUUUAGAGUUACUGUCUAAUGUCCUUUCAAUUCAUCCUUCAGGAUUGCCUGAACAAAAGUACAGGGUAGGUGUAGUAGUCACAAAUUCCCUCUGCUUUUUGUUUGUUCCUUUCUCCCAGAUUACCUCUGGAAUGCCUUAAUUUCUUCCUUACUUUGGACACAGGAUUCUUAGAUGAUCAUUUUUUGGUCUUUUUACUCUUUUAGCACUUUAACUACAUUGGCCUAUUCUCUUCUGGCCUCAAACAUCUCUGAUAAUCUUAUUGAAGAAUAUACCUUUGAUGGGUUAACUCACUUCUUUCUUGCUACUUUCAAGAUUUUCCCUUUGAUUUUGGAAAGUUUGAUUCUAAUGUGUCCCAGUGUGGUUCUAUUUGUGUUUGUAUUACUUGGAAUUUGUUGAGCUAAUUAGACAUUCAUAUUUAUGUCUUUUAUCAAACAUGGGAAGGUUUCAACUAUUAUUUCAUCUAAUAUUCUCUCUGUUCUUCUCUCUCCUCUAGCACUCCCACAAUGGGUAUAUUGGUGGGCUGAAUGGUAUCUUACAGGUUCUCUAAGAUCUGUUCAUCAAUCGUUUGUUCUUUUGUUCUUCAAUCUUUUGUCUUAAUUUCCUCAGACUUGACAAUUUUCAUUUUCCUAUGUUCAAAUUUCCUGAUUCAUUCUUAUAUCUUCUCAAUUUGUUCUUGAAUUCCUCUUGGUAUUUUUUUUUUCAUUAAAAAUUAUUUCUGGGUGUGGUGGCACAUGCCUGUAAUCCCAGCAGCUUGGGAGGCAGAGGCAGGAGGUUCACGAGUUCAAAGCCAGUCUCACAACUGCCAGGCACUAGCAACUCAGUGAGACCUUUUCUCUAAAUAAAAUACAAAAUAGGACUGGGAAUGUGGCUCAGUGGUCAAGUGCCCCUAAAUUCAAUACCCGGUACUAGAUUUUUUUUUUGUUAGGUUUUCUCUCUUUACUAAUAUUUUCAUUUUGCUCAUGCAUUAUUUUCUUCACAUUUUUCACAUCUUUCUUUAGUUCUUGAACAUCUUUCAGAUGGUUAUUUUAGAGUCUUUGUUUAGUAGAUAUGCUGACAGAUGUUUUUUCAGGUACAAUUUCUGUUGGUUUACUUUUUUCUUUUGGCCAUACUUACUUGUUUCUUUUAUGCCUAAGAUUUUGUUGUUAUUUUUAAGCUGACAUUUGAGUAUAAAUAUGUUGACCUUUGUGUUAACUAUGGAAAUUAUGAUUUUUUCCUUCCUUGGGGUUUGGGAAUUUUUAUUAUUAAAAAAAAAUUGUUGCAGGUGAUUUUUCUGCCCAGGAUCAGAACAUAAAUUCAAAGUCUUCUCAGGUAUUUUUCUGAGUCUGCACCUGAGCCUCCCUCUGGGCAGCUGUGGUCACUUCUAAUUUUCCCAGUACAUGCACUUGCUUUUGAAUGUUCUAAUCUUUAAUGUCUGGCUCCCAGAAGAGGAAAAAGCAAAAAAUGAAGGAAGGCAAAAGGAAAGUCUUUGCCCUUUUAGUCUCCUGGUAGUCAUUUCAGCUGGAGGGGGAGGAAGUGGAACAAUGAGAGGAGGAGCAACAACAGUGACCUUAUGCCUCUUUGUCUUCACCUCUGUGAUCAGAGUAGCAGUUAGAUGGCUGGGGUUGUGGCUCAGUGGUAGGGCAUUAUUUGCUUAGCAUGUGUGAGACACUGGGUUUGAUCCUUAGGAUCACAUAAAAAUAAACAAAUAAAAUAAAGGUAUUGUGUCCAUUUGCAACUAAAAAAUAUUUUAAAAAAAAGUCAGAAACCAAAGCAGAGUUUUGCAAUAAUUGGAGGACAGUGUGCUUUUUGGCCACUCUGGCUCCUGUAAGCUGUGUGUAUGCUGCUCCAGAAACAGAAGCACAGCUGUCUGCCAUGGGCUGGGGGGCAGGGAUGCCUAGCUGCUACUGCACAAAGAACUGAAAUUGACUGUCCAGGACUUCUCCCAAAAGUUCCAAGCCUUCAUUAGACUCCAUUAUCCCCAAAUUGUUGUCUGGGUCCGGGAGAGAUUCUUGUUGCUCUCUACGCUGCCAUCUUCCUAGGAUCCUUUCUUUGGAAGCUUGUUUUGAAAGAUGAUAACUAACUAUGGCAUUGGGGAAAAUAUUUUGGACUCUAUGAAGAUCUAGGUAUUCUGUCUUUUCCAAUUAUGAAAUGUGUAACUGGGGCAAUUUACUUAAUUCUUUAAUUGUUUUGAUGAUUCAGAAUAUGAUUUAUUAGUUAGGACUCUUUCAAUUGCAAGUGGAAGAAACCUAAGUUACCCCAUGUAAGAAAAGGGUGUCUGGAAGAGGGCAGAUCCUAAAUCAGAGGAAGAGCUGGAGAAACUACUGUGCCUCUGUGACCUUAGGGGCCCAAUCACACUCUUAUGUCUGCUUUUCUCUGUAAUGUUCUCAUUGUCAUUGAGUACAGAUAGGUUUAUCAGGCAAGAAAAUACUGCAGCUAGUAACUCUAGGCUUACAAUACUGCUAUUGAGAAUUUCAAAAGGAAGGAGAAAGUAUCUUUCUGUUUCUUUCACUUCAGUAUAUAAUAAUCCUAGUGAAGGAUUGUGGGCAGUCUUGAGUUAGAAUUUACAAUUCUGAUUUGCUUGAGAGUUGGGGUGAAGGGUAGAUCUACAGAUCAAAUCAAUUUCUUGGAGAUUUUAGGACUUACAGAAUGAGAGAAAAAAAUGUCCUGGUAAAUAACUUAUUGAACCCAUGGGGAUAGCUUUCUACCUGUUCCCAUGGAAAAUAACCUUAAUCUUUGUUCUAAUAUUCCCUGUAUGUUCAGCCAGCCUAAUAGAACUUUCUGUUUUGUUUGUUUGUUUUUCUUUUCUUUGUGUGUUCUUGUUGUAUAUGUACUAGCAAUCGGUUGUCUCUAAACAGAAUUUCCAACUCAGAUUAAAAGGGCUAAUACUAAAGUCAGCCAGUUCCAGACAUGGUCACAAGAUGAGUCAUAGGAACUUCUGCAAAGGACUGAAUCACAUUGCUCUCUUUACAUCAAUCAUGGCCAAGGAGAUUCAGUUAGCCUACCUUAGAAAUUAAAAUCUGAGAGUAAGAAUUUUUUUUUUUUUUUUUUUUUUGUGAAAGUUGGUUCGGUAUCAACAUACAAGAGAUCAUGUUGAGAGAGGCAUGAGGGGAAGGAAAAGUAGAGAUUCUACAAUAAUAACUGCACCAGAUGAUGAUGAUGUCCACCAGACACAUCUCAAAGGAUGGAAGUUUAAGUACUGACUGGACCUGAGGCCCUCUGGGACUUAGAAACCCACUUUGGAGGCUUGUUUUCUUCCAUGAAGUCUUUGAGGUUUAAAUGUCUUACGUCCAACUACUAUUUAGAAUGGCCUUUGGCAUUUUCUCCCUUCUAAUAGAAACGAAGGAUCAAUAAGGGCUACUACUUUCUAUUGAGUUGCUGAAGGAAUGAGCAAUGUAACACACCAUCAUGCAUGGGGAUCCCUGUUAACAUCAUUAUUUCAUACUUUCUGGUUCAUGCUUUUACCUUUUAAAGAAGUAAACUUUAAUCCUUCUUCAAGCAUUGAGAAGGAUAGGAUUACUAAAAUGGUCUGGUAGUUACACUACAUAUUUUUUUUAUUAAGUUUACUAACAAUUUCCUAUUAGUGUCUAUCACUUUAUUCCUAGAUAACAAAUGUGAGACACCUUAAUUUAAAUCAAGUUUAGAGAAAUUCUAUAAAUUCUAUAAGUGCACAUAAUAGAAAGCUUUGAGGAUAACAACAGAGAAAGAUUAUUAAAGUAGCCUAUCUCCUUUCUAUGAAUUUGAUGGAGACACUGGAAAGGCAGAACAUCUAUGGGGAAGAAUUGAGGUUGUGUGUAUUGGAGGGACACAGUUGAAGUUUCCUUGACUUUAGAUGACUAUGUAGUGGAGCCUGGUGAUGGAAAACUUUCUUGAAGUUCUAAAAGAAGUGACGCUAAUAAAGUUUUCAUUUGUAGGUAAUGUCUUCUCGAAGUAGAAACGUUUUACUUCUCAUUUUAUCAUCUCUCCCAGGAGAUGGAACUGAAAGGAAUUGAAAUUAAACCUCUGUACCAUUUCAUAAAUUGAGAAGGUUUUUUUUUCUGUCCACUUAAAUUUUGUAUACUAUAAUAGGCUCAGGGGAAACUGAGAAAAAUUCAGUACCAUGCCUUCAGUGAAUUUUAAUUAUAGUAAAAAGAUAACCAUGAAAACAAAAGUUAUAAUACAUGAAUCUGAUUAUUCUAAAAGUGUUUGGUAUGAACUGUUAUCUUACAGACAACUAACCUCUCUGUAAAAGUUUGUGAAGGCUGCAUAGAUAUUUAUCAGGGAAUCAAGAGGGAGAGCAAGGUCCAGGAAAACAGGGUAACAUGUGCCACUAACAGAGACAUAUAGGAGGACUUGGCUUAUCAUUGUGCGAAGGUGUACAGGAAACUGGCAGGAGCCAAGGCUAGCCUGGGAAGUAGUAGGCCCAUCAAGCUUGGCCUUAUGGACUAUAGAACAGUUUUAAAAUUUUAUCCUCUUGUCAAUAGUGGAGAGUGGAGUUCUAGAUAUAUUGGGUGGCAAACACUCCCAGCAUUUUACAGAAUUGCAAAAUCAUUCAGAAGGCUGAAGAAGUAGUCUUCCUGAGAUGACCCUCAGAACAAGACCUUCUAAUUAGUCCCAAGAAGAUGGUCCCAGAAGGUUGCCACCAAACCUCUACAGUUUGAGAAUACACAGUGUGACUGGCAUCUUGGGAACAGGGGACUGCUACCACCAUGGCUGUCAUAAUCCUCUAGACACCAUGCCAUCAUACAGGGAUUCCACAUAGGGAAACUGCUGCCCCAAACCCAACAUUUCCACAUCCAUAUUUGACAACAACAAUAACCAAACACUAUAAGAAAAUAGCCCCUGCUCCACUUCUGUCUUCUAAAUAUUUCACUGGAUCAUGUCAGGCUUUGGCACCUAAUAUGUAUUCAGAACUCUUACUGCAAGGUAGCCUGCAAAAUGUAGUUUUUAUCUUUCCAGCCUCUACAGUACAGGUGGACUCUCCACAAGGAGAAUGGAAUCAAUGCUAAGAACCAAUUCAUCACAUGUACUAGACAUAAGGUAGGUAGAUAAAAUCAGAUGAGGAAAUAUGUAGAGGGACGCAUGCAGCUGAAACCAGGAACACAGUACAUCAGCCUUCAAAGAACAACUGGGGAGACAAAGAAGGAAUGAUCACAAGUUCAAUGGAAGAACUAGGAGAGUGUGCCAUUGUGACAACCAAGGAAAGAUAAGAGUUUAGAGAGUAGUGCAUUGGUCAUCCAUUUUUGUAGUUUGAAAUCUUUUAGUAACAAACAAGUUUUUUUCAUGCCUAGUAUUAGUCAAGAUUCUCAUAAAGUAAACCAAAUUAAAAAUGACUUUAUUGACUCACAUAACUUUAGGUCAAGCAGGAAUAGUUAAGCAUCAGGAACUUAAAUGGUAUUAUGGAGCUAUUUUUCUUUUAUUUUAUUUUCCUUUUUUGCUUUGCUUGCCUGCCCUCUGUAUUGGCAUCAUGUGAGGCAGUUUCUUUGAAGCUAGGAAACAAAACAAGGCCUCAGGAAACUAAGCCUACAUAUUAUUUAUAGCCAGUGGUCUCCAAAGAGAAAACAAACCCUUUAACUCUUUCUGUAUCUGACCACCCCUCCCCCCAAUCAAAUCUUAGAGAUUGAUUGGUCUAUCUUGAGCCACAUACCUUUCACUGCACCAAUCACAGGACAGAGUACCCUGAUUGGGUAGGCCUGCAUUACAUGCCCGCCCCUGCUUGUGAGAGGGGAUAUAUAUAUUGGGUUAUGCCCCAAACAUGGAAAGGAGUUUCAAUAAUGAUCAUAGGAAUUUAUGUAGUCAGAAAAGGAACAAAAGAUGCCAGGAAGGCAAAUUUUGAUAGUUGCAUCAGUUUUUGAUAGUUGCACAUGAGAAUGGUUAUAUAUUUAGAUUGUGUUGCUUGGGAUGGGGGGUGGGUGGACACACACAGCAAGAGUCACUAUGAAUUUAGUGACAUUCUGACAUUCAAAAAUGAAUUCUUAAAUUCAUAGCGGCCUACUACAUUUUAAAAUUAUUUACAUAAUUGAUAUCUUUUUUUCUACAAGUAAUGCUUGGGAGCUUCCAGAUUAGUGAACCUCUUUCAAUCAUUCUAAAACUUCCAAAACACAGAUUUCACGUCUUAAAGUCAAGUUGAUCAUGGAGUUCAAAAGUAGUCUAUGCACAAUUUCAAGUAUCACUAAAUAUAGAAAUUCUCAGGGAAUGUUACAAGUUUUAUUUUCAUUUAGUAUAUGGAGUACUAGUAGAUAUUUCACCAUACAAGUGGGUACUACUAACACCCAUAUAGCUAAUGUAAAAACUAGACUAAAAUGACCAUGUAAAUGGGUUUGGGGGAAGCACAUACAAUUAUACAAUAUGUUAUUUUAGUUUUUCUUUUUCUAAUUCUGUCUUUUCUAUUUUCUACAUUUUAGUAUAUGUAUCUGACAUUUGGACAUCAAAUCUGAAAAUGAUGAAAUGAGGAAAUGAUAUUUUAUGUGUAUUUAUUUUCAAAAUUUCUAAAAGAGGUAGCUUUCUCUGGAGGAUAGCUUAAGGGAGUGUGGCUUAUGAAAUGCCUUCUGUACCUACCUCUGCCCCUAAGAAGAAGGGGUGCUCUGUCAUUAGCUCCCCUAUCUUCAUAAUGGAAGGUGCUUAACUUAUCUUCUCUUUGCCUCCUGAGAACUGGUUAGGGUUCACACAAAUUACUUCCAUUUCUAUGGAAGAGAAAUGACAUCUAUGAGCUUUUGCAACAUGGGUUCCUGGGUGCAGAGAAAUGCUUUGGGUGCAGUGUUUCAGGAACAACUGGUUUACCAUUCCUUAGUGUUUCCAUGCCUGAAUGCAGUCCUUCUUGUUAGCAGAGUGAGGGGAACAGAUUUCCCUGCUGAGGUGGAGGAAAGCACUGCAGGGCCUGGCCUGCAGCUUGCAGACUCCUGCUGGCCUCCCAAUUGUGGGGAGCGUCAGCCAGUAUGAUAGGGACAAAGCCAUUAGAAAGAGAAGCACCAAAGUGAAACCAGACUUGGUCACCAAGACUGCCUGGUCAACCUCCCUGAUGUUCUAGUCCCUCAUUAGCACACACUCAGCUUCUAGUUUUUGUAUAAAAGAAAGAAAAUAACAACAGCAACCACAAAACACAGUACUAUAAAAAUAGUACUGUGCCAUGAUGGACUAGUAGAAACCAUGAAGUUUGAAAUAGGUUUUUGUAUACCCAAAUAGUUUCCAGAUUAAGUUUUUCUUCCUUCCUUCCUUUCUUUUUAUUUUGCGCUUUUAUUUUAUUUUUUGAAGAAAACACCUCUUUUUAACUCAGAGGUGUUUUCACUUAGUUGUUGGGAAAGCCUUCACUUAGAAUCCACAAAUUUUGUGCUAAAUAGAGAAUUUGGUGUAAAAAAGCUUAAUUCACUUCUUAAUGAAAUCCAGUUUCUUUUUACAAAUCUGAUGUAGUUGUUAGGCCUUUCAUUACUUUGCUGUUUUGAAAUUAAAAUUUGAUUGUAUAAUUUCAUGCAGCUGUAUUUCGUUUUUAAAAUCACGAGGUCUAAAAAGCCUGUGUAUAUGUGUGUAUGUUUGUAUGUGUAUGUUUAACAAAAGGGACGUCUCUUCUUAGAUAUGAAACACAUACUUGAAUGUUCAUAUUUAAUUUUUUCUAAUUCUCAGUUUUUGUUUGUCAGCAUUGCUGGAUUUUAAAAAACCCUGAAAAUCACUAUAAAUUGCCACAGUCACAAUUUUGCUAACACUGUGGGUUUUUGUUGUGGUUGUUAAUAUGAGACUGGGCAUGAUUGUUAGGUAGUAAAGGAAACUGGCAAUAUUAUUUUUAUCCCAAACUUAGGAACUAGUUUGACAUUGGUGGAUUCCAAGUUGGAAUGUGCUGCAAAAUGUGCUCUUGCAAUUCACAUUAGGGGAGACAGAGCUGCUGUGCGUUUUAUUUCCUAUGAAGUGUAUUUUACCUUAGAGCUGCCGAAGGAAAGUAAUUACUUACAAAUAAACAAUUUACAUGCUUUCCAAGGCUUCUGAUCAUGUUAUGGUAGCUUUAUUAAAUUUUCCACUAAGAUAAUUAUUGCAGGGAAUUUCACAACUUAAAGCAAACACUUCAUUUGGCUCAAGAUAAUUAAAAACACAGGCAGUUUAUGCCUUCUUUAGGAUUCGACCCCACCCUGACCCCAGUUCUCUGUCUCAUCUCCCAGUGUGUAAGCUAGUAACCUCUGAACGUGCCUUAGGAGAUGAAUGCUAUGCCCAUACAAGGGGAAAAUCCCACACUAGAUGGGAAAAUAGCUAUAAGAUAAUGAUGACAUUUCACCAUCCUGUGACAUUAUGCCUGGUUUCUCCUCUGUGUUAGUUAACACUGUGCAACAGUAGGCAGUUUAUUGGGCUGAAAUGUUGCCAAAAUUUUAGCUUUUUGUUUUUGUUUUUAGAUGAAUGCCAGAAUUGCUAAUAGGAAGCAUUUCCUAAAUCCCCAUGACUAGCCAGGGAGAAAACAAUGCACAGCCAUGUGUUUAAUGUUUCAAUAAUAUGAUUAUCUUUGGUUUCCUCUGGAUAGUGGGAAGCUAUAUAUCACCAGGAAUUUCCUGAUUAAUUCAUAUAAGUGCCUAGUGCUAAACAGGGAGCCAUCCAGGUGACCAGAUCACUAACAACAACAACAACAACAACAUCAUCAUCAUCAUCAUCAUCAUUUCUUUGGGUGAAGCAGACUUUCUAAGUUCUUGCUGGCUGUGUUAUCGGACUCUACGUGGAGGUUUCCAGUACAGAUUUCUCUUCUAGGUAAUCACUGAAAAUAAAACUCCAACCUGCCAACCAUUAAAUCUGUGGAUGAAAUGGCGAAGAGCUCAGAUUUCCAGUUUUAAUCUGUAAGCUUUGAGUUGCCUUUUCCUUCACCUUUUGUGCUAAUCAUUGGCUGCCCAGUCCCAGUGAGGUAGGCUUCCUGCAGAUACCAUCUGCCUUUGCUGGCACCUCUUGCCCUUCUUGGCAACUCCUGCCUGCUGGAUAGUGUCCUGUCACAUCUUGGGUAGUGGUUUUCAAAGGAUAGCCUGCUACCUUUGUUAGUCUGAGGACUGCACUUUGAUUCAUUAGUGAUGUUGAAUGCAUAUUUAUAUUAUAUUACAUUAUUUAUGUAUAUUUAUAUUUAACGUUAUUAUAUUUUCAUUGUUGCUGCAAGAAUAUAUUGAGAGGAGGUUCUGAGUCUGGGUUCUAGAGGGAGCAAAACUGGGUGUCAUCAGGUUGGAACUUGGUGCUACUUCCUGCCUCUCCCAUGACAUCUGUGUCCUUGAAAGGUCAGUUUCUAUUCCACUAAGGGGCUGUGUCUAAAUAUGUCUUGCAAGAUCCCAGUUACACCUGACCUCUCAGACCUCUUCUUUACUCCUGUCUCCCCUGAUCACUCAGCCCCAUCUGCAAGCUGUACUUCAAAUUUAUCAUGACAUCUCUGGGCACUUGGGCACCCUGGCAGGCCUGGCUCCCACACCUCCUUCAGACUCUUAUUCACAUCUUAUCAUUUUAGAGAAUGUCUUCCUGACCACUGCAUUCACUACGAAUUUAGGUUCCUCCUUUUGCUCACUUGUUAUUUUUAUCCUUGUACAUAUCACCAUCUCACAUCAUAAAUUUUACUCAUUAACUAUUAAAUUUAUUUUACUUAUUAGUUUAGUGUUUACUUAUUAAUACGGUAUCUGUCUUCCUCCUCUAGCAUAUAAGGUAAAUAGGCAUAGGGAUUUUGUCAUUUUGUUCAUUGCUAUAUUCCCAAAACAUUGAGCAAUGCUUAGCACUUAGCAGGUACUCAGUAAGUAUUUGUUGAAAGGAUAAAGGAAGGUGGAUGGGAGCCCCAUACUUGGGACAUUUACUUCUUAAUCUAAUUCUACACGAAGCAGCAGUAUUACAAGUAGUGUUUCAUUUAAAUUGGGGGCAAUAACUCAGUAUAUGUCGCAGUCUGGCUGGGCACAAUCAGGAGCCACUUGUCAAAAGAAACUAACUUUAUUUUUAGAACCACACACGCCAAACAAAACAGCCUCUCAGGAAAAACCCUCAGAGCCUCAACUGCCACCACCGGCUUUCCACAAGCCUCUCUCUCCAACACAAGCUUCUAUCCACCUCCCACAAUCCUCCUGCUCUUGAGGCCGAUUGGCUGGGUCACGUGGGCGGAGCCAAAAAAGUCCCCCAAUGAGCAGCUCCGUGGUCUGAAAGGGCAGGGAAACAGCCCAAUGAGCAUCACCGCAGAGGAGCCAAUCAGCUAGAUGUUGCUGGGGCCGCUGUGAGCCAAUCAUCAGCCGGCAGCUGGAAGUUUGCUGGCAGCCGGAAGUUUGCUGGGGCCCCUUCGGCUGUGGCUCUCAACAAUAUGUAUUUGUGAAAUCAUUUGAAAUGAACAAGAACUCUUAGGUUUACACUGAUCACACUGAAAUAACAUCAGCUCAUUGAUUGAUUAAAUAAAAAAAAUUGAUUGUUCUUUAAGUUUUUGGAAAUUCCACACAACAGAUUGGCCUAAACCUCAGAAUCUUAUAUUUAUAGCUCAUCUUUGAAUAUUUGUAGGAAUUGCAAUUGCUUAGUGGGGAGAGAACUGAUGUUUAUUGAGAGCUUUCUACAUGUCAGUCAAUUCCUGUACAUGAUUUAACAUAAAUCUAUAAAACAAUUUACCAAAUACAUUAUUAUUCCUAUUUGAACAGAAAUUCUGAAUACAUUUGGAAUAUCCAAGGUUUCAAAAAAAAUGAGAGGAUAUUGUGAUCUUUCCAGGCUGUGCUGUGAAAUGCAGACCUCUAUAAGAAAACAACAAACUGAAGAAUUACGUUACCUCCCAUUUUAUUCACCCUCCUUUGGCUGAGUAUUCUCAAAGCAGAGGCUGCCCAUGCAGAUGUCCUGGUAGGUGUCUGCAUUGGCUUCCUACUGGAUCAAGUUCAAGCUCCUAAAACUGGACUCAAAGCUACAUAGUCUCCUCUCCACUUAAUGAUCCUAGGUUAUUUCUCUCUACUGCCUGCAACAAAUCCUCUGCUGUGGUGUAGAAGACUAUUCUUUUUCUUCUCUUCCUUCUCCUGCUCUGCUACCCUUCCCCCAUUAUGCACCUGUUUACUGAUCUCUGACCUGCUUCAGCAACUUAACGUGUAUUCCUCUUAUGCUGCUUCUUUAAAGAAUGAGUGUCAUUCCCUUUCUUUUCUGCCCAUCCAUCAUUUAACCAUUUUUUAAGGACUACCUGAAAAUUACACGUUUUCUCUAUUUUUCAUGUUCCUGGCCUCCUCACUCCUUUUUCUUAAUUACUUUUGAAUUUAUCAUUCAGUUUAUUAAGCUCUAAUCACAGACUGGUAUGUUCUGUGACUGUUUCUAGUAUUAGUCUUGAGAUCUGAACAAGAUUGUGUUAGAGAUAUUUAUGUCUUACAUUUGUUUUCUUCCUACAAUAUUUUCUGGCAUAGAAGUUGUAUCAAUAUGAGAUGCUCAAUAAAUUCUUGGCCUUGCAUCCUGAAUUUUAUCAAACCUUGCUAGAAACUGUGACAUCAUUUUAUGUCAGAAAAUAAAACGUGGUUUAUUCAGCAGCAAUCUAAUAUUGUCUCUGUGCAUCUUGUGUGUAAACAUAUUUUCAGACAGUCUCUGGAAGAUUUGGCUUCUAUUUUGUUAUUUCUGAAAUUUGAAUACCAGCAUCCAUAUUGUAAAAUAUUUGUGUAAAUUACUUUUGAGAACUUUAGGUGAGAGGUGUAUGUAUGUAUAAAGUACUCAUCUGUAGAAAGCAAAAUGAAAAAUGUGAAAGAAAGUUCAGAACAAAGCACUAGAAACUUUGGAUGUAUGAUGAGGCCAAAGAAUUCAUUGUUUCAUUUUGAAUGCAGUUUAGGGAAGACUGCGAAAUACGUUCUUUGAAGUCUCAAAAAAAUAUAUAUAUAUAUAUAUUGUGUGUGUGUGUGUGUGUUUAUCCCUGUGCUACUGAAGAUACUUUGCUGUUUCCAUGAGGGGGUUGCCUGUAGCAUCAAAGAUAAUCUGGAAGGAUUUGAACCUUUGAGGCAGUUGAGCACUUAUUAACAUAAGAUUAGAGAUGGCAAAAUAAAACUACCAAUAAUCUUCAGGUGAUUUCAAAUCAGGCGUCAUGCUGCAAAUCCUUCUUUUUUGGCAAGGAGAGACUGGUGAAGUGCCAGUGAAUGUAUUUUAGCAGAAAGAAAAGAAGCAGAGAAAUUCAGCUGAGGAUUCAGAGGUCAACACUGUCUGAAGAAAUACUUGGGAUGUGGUUUCUUAGACUGAUUUAUACCACAUUUUGGUGAGAUAGCUCAGUGACAUAAAUUCUGUGCAGUUUAUCUAAUUUUUAAAAUUAACUGCAUUUAUGAUUAGUAUCGUGUAUUGCCUUUUCAGGUAGGUUUUUAGGGUACCCUAGAGAUGGGAGGGGUCCACAUUCUCUACCUUUAAGAUCUUUCUCUUUAGUAUCCCUCCAAAUGCCAUCUUGAGUUUGAUGGAUAAACAGCAGGUCAGGCUGGUGUUGUGGUGGCAGAAUGUGAAAACAGGGACUGCACCAAGGGAGGAGGGACAGGUCCCCAUGCUGGAGACAAAGGAUGUUUUCCAGUUUGCAAGCAGAGGGUAUUGAGAGAGUGGUGACAAGUGGUGGAUGGCACAGCUAGGCAAGCUGUCACCAUGAAAGGUCCUGCAAAGGCUCACAAGUGGCACCCCACAGUCUGGCAGAGAAAAGCAAGACAGGGCCCAAGGGUGGGCAGUCUGUGGCACUCAGGGAAGCAGGUGUGGAGGUGGCUCUGUGAAGGCCUGGCAGCAGGUAGGGAACCCAGCCUCUGAGCUGGGAUCAGAAUUGCAGUCCUGAGAAACCAGGGAGAGAAGGAAGCCAGGGGAAUAAGACAAAGUCCACCUGUUGAAAACAACACAAAGGAGCCAUGAAAAUGGCCAUGAACAACAAUAACAAAGAUAGCCAGCACUUAUUAAUGAUUACUCUAAGUCCAGGAAAGUCCAGACUCCUUUAUACUCCUCGAUUCUAUUAAUUCUUGCAACCUGUGAGGCUGGUACUUACUCGCACCCCACCUUACAGGGGAGGAAAACUGAGUUGCAGUAGGUUGCACAGAGCCAUAGACCUAAGAAAUGGCAGCAUGGGCAUUUCAUCCCAGACAGUGUGUUUCAAAAGACUCUGUGCUUAACUUCUAAGCUAUCCUACCUGUGACUAUUUUCAGGUGACAUGAAAUCAUGUGUUUUUACAGCCUUUUGGAAUAAUGCUAGCUUGAAGCCAGGUAUGGGUUUGAAUGUCACCUCUCCUGCUUAUUACUUGAGACACUUUGGGAAUAUUAUUUAAUUUAUCCUAGACUCGAUUUCAUCUCUGUGGAAUGAGGGAAUGGCCACUUCCUCCAUGGAUAUAGAAGGACUAAAUGAAAUAGCAGAUAUAAACUAAUAAAAUCAUGUCUGGCUAGAGCUGCCACUCAGCAAAUAUCUGUUUUCUUUUAUUGUCUGCAUGUCCAUUAAUACAGAGCUCUUUAAAACCCACUUGGCUGAUACUAGGCUUGUUCCUGGGCCCAGGGCUGGGCCAAGGAACAGAUUGCAGACAGCAAUGGUGCCUGAAGGGUACUUGCCAGCUCACCUACAAGGAAAGCUUUUGCUCUCUUCUUUUAAUUCUCAGAGAAAUGUGUGGGUAACUGCUUUUAUAUAGUUCUUCCAGUCAGUGAAACUUGAUAUCUUGAAGAUGUAGACGAGUGUUCACUUUAGGAACACUAGUUGGCAAUUGCAAAAAUUGUGUAUUUUUAAAAUAAAUGUGCUUAUCAUCUAUUACUUUUGAGAGUCCUUCAUGAACUUUGUUAAUAUCUGGAGAACUAAUGGAAAUGAGUUUAUAAAUAUGCUAAAAUUUCAAAGCCUACCUCAUAUUUCAUAACAAUCAAGGCAUAUGUGCUAAUGAUCUGAAAUAGCCUGUCUCUGGUCAAGUCAUGGAUGGUCUACAGCAUCUUCUUCAUUAGAAGCAUGGACUCACUCCUGACUAAAGAGUUUAAUGAUCAUUACUUUUAAAAAGUUUUCCUUUAUUUUAUUAAUAUGGUAAGUUACAUUAAUUUUUAAUAGUUUUAUUAAAGAUAAUUAAUAUAUAAAACUGCAUUUUAAUACAUUCAGUUUGACAAAUUUGGAUGUAAACCAUAAAAGUCUGUUGGGUUUUUAGCUGUUGACUAUGCUUAAAACUGUAACUAUAUAAACUUUUUGUGCUUAAAAAUUUUCAUGACACAAAUAGCCUAUGGUCACUAGAAAAAUUACAUUAAAACUAGAAGUACAAAUGAAGUAAAACCACCCAUGAUUCCAGAGCUAAGCAUGGUUAAAUUUUAAUGUAUAUCCUUCCAAGUUAUUUUUUAUGCAUGUUUGGUUACAGUACAGAAAUGGAUCAUUUUCUAAAUACAGUUUUAUAACCCAGCGAUGUAUUAUAAACAUCUUUAAAUCUACAUCUACAUCAUUAUCUGCAGUAGCCUCAUCAUAUUCCAUUGCAUUUUUAUCAUAUUUCAUUACAUUUUUAUGUGCUAUUAAUUUAGAAAAAUCCUUUCUUAUUUGGUAUUAAAUUUUUCACAUUUUUCCCUAUUAUGAACAAUGCUUUGAUCCUCAUCCUUGUACAUCCAUCUGUGUGUCCUUUUGUCAUGCUGAUUCAAAGGGCAUGCAUGUUUAUCAGGCUUUAGAUACAUUUGCCAAGUACCUGUCUAGAAAUAUUGUACUGAUUAUAUUCCCACUGACAGUCAAUGAGUGCUCCAACAUUGGGUGUUAGUUUUAUUUUUAAUAUACCAUCUGAUAGACAAAAAGGGCAUCAUCUUACUUUAUUUUGUAUUUAUUUGCUUACUAGUGAUAUUGAUUUUUUUCAUAUGUUAAGUUAAAUUUUUAAUUCAUUCAUUUUUUUGUGGCUUUUUGUCUCUCUUUCCUGGGACAUAUUUAUUUUUCUUACUGAUUUUUAUGAGUUCUUCAUGUAUGUAACUCUGUCUAUAUUUUACCAGUUUGUAUUGUAUCCUUAACAUUUUUUGAUAUAUAGAAACUUUUAUCUUAAAAUUAAUUAAAUCUCUGUGUUCUUCCUUCAUGCACUCAGUAAAGUAUUAGCAUAUGUAAUACUCAGAGCAUCUUUACCUUCAGAGAAAUAAAAUACUCAAAUAUGUUUUCUCAGACUACUUCCAUGGCUUCAUUUUUCAUAUUUAAAUCUUAAAUUAAACUGGAAUUCAUGUUGGCAUGAUAGGGAGAUAGGUCUUGGGGUUUAUUCCUCCAAGUGAUAAUCAAGUUGUUUCAGUACAAUGAUUGAUCAACCUAUGCUCUAUAUAUUGAUUUUGAAUGAAUCACCUCUAUCAAGUACAAAAUUCUUAUAUAUAGCUGUGACUCUGGUAUUUUGUUUGGUUCCACUGGAUUCUCUUUUACUCUGCUGCCAGGAUCAUCUAUUUAUUUAUUGCGAAAGUUCUUCCUUAAUUAUUGUUGUUUUUCAGAAAAUUUGUAAGUUUAUUUGAUAUUUAUUUAUUUGAUGUCUUAAAAUAGGCAAUCAGGGGGGAGUUGAAGGGGGACAUACCUUUGGAGGUGGAUAGGGUGAGACUGGAGAAAGGCUGAUAUUGUCAAAGCUAGGUGAGGGGAUGUGAGGCUCCUGAUCCUUUUCUCUGCCUUUACUGUAAAUAUGAGUAAAUAGAUAAAUGAUUUGCAUUGGAAUUGCACAUGAUGUCAACUGCACCUGCUUUCCUCUACAGAGAUGUGUUAUUAUUAUUUUUUUUCUGUUUGUUGCCAUAGGUAUGUUUUAUUUUCAUUAAUCAUACAAAUACUUUUCUAUAAUGUUCUAGGGAAAACCUGAGAAUUUGGCCAUCUAAUUAGGGGUCUCUUUAGAGAUCCACAGGCCAUUGGCAUAAGCACGUUGUGCCUGGGUUCACAGAGCAGCUUGUGGCUCCUGCCCAUCCCGGACAUGGCUCUUCCUCUACAUCAGGACUAGGAUCUCAAAGAUGAUGAGGGUGGGGAAUCCUCUAGGCUCUUAGAAGAUUUCACUCUGAUUCUGCUGAAGGGUUUUGAUUACCAGGGUCUUUGCCUGCAUCUCUGUUUUCUUAAGCUUGGCUUAACCCAAAUGGUGAUUUCCACCACAUCUGGCUCAUCUGCCAUUUUCUUACAGCAGUCAGGAGCAUCACCCUCUGAACAAAGUGGGGUUCCUGUGCUCCCACUCAUAUGGUGGUUAUUUCUCUUUGUCUUGUUUUAUGUACUUCAGUUAGGUUUUUAAAUUCAUUUGUUCACAAAGACCCUGUAGCCUUCUCUUAAAAAGUCAACAAAGAAGAAAACAAAAAAACUAAUUGAUCUUCUUUAUGCCUUGAAUCUGGUGUGUGUGUGUGUGUGUGUGUGUGUGUGUGUGUGUGUAGCUAUUGCAUUACUAAUUGUUGGAAUAGAGGAAAACAUUGCUUUGUGAUUAACUGUCUUACUUAACUUAAAAAUGUUUUUUUCUGUUUUACUUUAUUUUCUUUCUUUCAAGUAGAGAGUUCUAUGAUUUUCAAACUAUGAUAGACUUGCCUCCUUCAAUAUGUAUGAUUCUCUUUUAUUGAAUUUAUAACUAGCACUUUAUACACAUUAUGAACUGUGUUAACUGAAGGUGGUGACAGUGGGUAUCCUGCUGCUGUUCCUGAUUUUAGUGGAAAUGUAUCUAAUCUCUCAUCACAAUAACACUGGUGAUUUGAGGAAGGUAUACUUUAUUGUUCCAUUUGGUAGAAUCUUAAAAAUAAGUAUUCAGUGUUGAGUUGUUCCACAUACUUGACAUUAUUAGGAAGAAUUAUUUGUUUUUCUUCUCCUUAGACCAUAGGUUUCUUUCUAUUAAAGUCUUCUCAUAUUCCAAAGUGAGUGGACUCAUGGAUAGUCAGGAUUUUGUGGAGUCCUACAGAAAUUCCCUAAAUUGAUGGCCCUAUUCCACAGUUUUCCUAUUGUUGUAUUUUCCCUGUUGCUUCAAAGUGAAUUUGUGUAAAAGAAGAGUGAAAUAAAUGGACUGAAAUUUCUAUCUUAACAUUGGAAGUUUGGUAUAUUUUAUUGACUGUUAUCUACGGGUCAAAAUUUAUUCACUCCAAUUAAGGUGUGGAAAAAAAUGUCUUUUUAAAAAAAUUUUCCUAUAAGCAAUCUGGUAGCUCUAGAACCAUUGCUACAGUUGAUAAGAAAAAUCUUCCCAAACUUUAUUUCUUUUAGAGAUUAGUAUAAAAUAGCUGCUUUGGUAGAAAUAUUCAAUUAAUGCAAAGUUUUGCUGUACAUCACAAUUGUUUUUCUACUCUUUAAUUAGUUCCAACUGCCACUUCCUCCCCCCCCCCCAAAAAAAAAAGCUUCUGCUUGCAGGAGUAAACAUGCAUAUCCUGAUUCUUACUCACUAACAUGUGCUUCAAUGCUGGUUAUAUAAUCUUUCUGAGCAUCCAUUUCUUUAUCUGCAAAUUCGAUAUUAAAAAAUGGCUAUUUUGGGCUGGGGGAUGGAUAUAGCUCAGUUGGUAGAGUGCUUACCUUGCAUGUACAAGGCCCUGGGUCCUAAUCCCCAGCACACCCCCCUACACACACACAAAUGUGGCUGUUUUAUAUUUUAUAGAAUUUUGUGGGUAUUGAAUUAAUAAAUACAUUUUAAGUGACUAGAACAAUUCCUCACACACAUUAAAUGUUGAGUAAAUGCCUUUAAUUAUUAUACUAAAAUCAUUGUUCUUCUAGCAUUGGGAGUACCAUUUGUGUGCCAUUUUUCCAUUGAAUGCUUUUGGAAUGGUUUGGUCUCUUUCUCUUUUACCUACUCUACUUUUAAGGGACAUGAAGCUGUUUUAAUAUUCCUUUGUUUUAUUCUUUUGGCAUAAGCAAAGAAUAGUAAUUACUUUUAGGUAUUUCAAUCAUCUUUGGUGUCUAGCUCCUGCUGGGGCUGUGUCUAGCUCCUGCUGAGGCUAUGUAUUCUAUCUCCCUAGUAAUUUUUAAUUGUAGGACAUCAAUAGCACUCCUUUGACAUGGUAUAUGAUAACAUCUUCAUGGUGGUGGGAUUUUAGGUAAGUUGGAAAUGGAAAGACCCUUUAGCCAUAAGUUUCUUUCCUUCUGAUGCUUAGAUUUCAGACAAUAAAUUUGGUUUUAUUUUUCAUCUUAUAUGUUUUAACUUAUGUUACUUCUUCAGUGAAUCAUAUUACUUCUUCAGUGAGUUAUAAAACUAAAAUUCUGGCUUUUCAAGUAUCAUGGAUCCUUUGAAAAACUGAGCUAAUAAGCCAUUGGGUGAUACAUGGUAACCAGAUAUUUAGGAAAGAAUAACUUCCAUUUUCCAUUUUCACUAAGAAAUUCAUUGAUUAGCAAAAUAAUCCUUAUAGGAUUUUGUCAUUGUGGAAUUCUACAUUCAUCCCUCAUCACCAUUAUGAAUGAAGAGGGCGCAAAGUCUAAUUUUAGGUGCCAGAUGGGUACCACAUGAGUAUCCAUGAUUCAGCAAGGGUUAUCAUAUGGCUCAUGCUGAACCCCAGUGAGUUAUCUUCUGUGUGUCAGUUUUCCACUUGUCUUUCAGCUAUACUGAGGCUGUUAAAUGUGCUGAGAAAUUUGGUAGCUUCUUGGGGCUAGCAGUUAAGAGUGGGUGUUAUAAUUUACUUUUUGUUGAAAAAGGGAUAGGAUUCAUUUUGAGGCUAUUCAACAAAGCAUGAAGAAAGAAAUAUCAGAGUGAGAAGGGUUUCGGGCCUUCAGAUAUGAGGUUUGAAACAUUUAUGUGACCUUACUGAUGGCUGUGGAGAAGUCUAGGCCUGGACACAGACACUGAAGAUUAAUCUUGCACACAUUUGAGUGUACUGAGAAUUUGGGUGGCACCUCUCAUUUUGUAUCUGUGGAAUAGCAGAAUAAUCCUGGGUAGAGCACAUGGUAACUAAGUGUUUUUAUAGCACUAGUAAAAUCCAAGUCUCCCAAAACAUCUGAUACUUACUUAUUCUAGGUUGAGGAAGGUGAACAUAUUUCAUGGCUCUUAACUCUGUCAUCAGUAUAUAAUAUACCCUAAAGUAAAUUUUGGGUCCCCAUCCUCCAAUUUAAAGGAUUAAUUAAAACCAUAUUUUGCCUUGAUUCUUAGAGCUCAUUGAGCUCCUUGGUAUAAAAAGAUGCUUCAGAGGACAGAGUAACAUGAAGAUGAUAUUUAAGGAUCCCUUUCUUUGAGCUGAGUACAGUGAUGUUAUGUGGCGACGAAUAAGUUCAUCCUUUAGUCUGUGCAGGAGUUCUGUGGUGUAGGUUUAAAUGCCACAUUUAUGUGGACCAUGAAAUUGACAUUUGAAAGGGAUAAUUCUUCAAGACCACAACAUUGGGAAAUGGCCCAAACAGAAUAUGAAUUCAAUUAUGACUGAUUCCAAAACUCAUAAUAUUCCACUAAUCAACUUCAUUCUUCUCUUCUUACUUCCCAAGUCAACAUUUCACAUGUAAGUUGCCCAUUUUUAGGGAAUAUCUUGCAUCCCUUCUUCAGAAUAGAGUGAGCUUCAUAAGAACAAAAAGCAUUCUUCUUAAGAAUGAAAGAUGUUUGAAAAGAGUGCCCUACUGAAGGGCUUGACUGGAUUGUGUUGACCACCUAUGCCUUGAAAAGGAAAGAAAAAGAGUAUCUUGACAAUGAGCAUAAAUUUAUAUUAUAAUUUCUGCCUUACUAAAUCUUGACUUUGUUGUUUGGUACCGUUAAUUCCCAUAAAACUUUGUUAAAAUAGUUAAAGUCAUUAAAAGAAAGACAAAAAAAUCCAUUUCUUAGUCCAACUUAUUUUCUGUUGUUAUUUUAUUUUCAACAUUAAAAAAACAAAGCAACCCACUGAUUAGAACUUUCCUACAACUAUAAGCAAGCCUGUGUGCACUUUUUCAGUCUGUCUGGGUCUUAAUGACUCUACCACAGUAGGCUCAUUCCCUUGCAAGGAUGCUAAUGGGUUGUUGCUGCCCAAGAGGCAGAGAAUUGAUAUGUUUGGAUUUCUACUCCUAGUCUUUGGUUUCUUGGUUGUGAUAUUUUCCUUGUUGAUAUUUCUUUUAAUUAGCAUUGAAUUUCUCCAUUUUCUGUCUUGCUUUUCUUCUUUUUGUGUAGUCUGCAGGCAAAGACUCCUUCAAUAGCAAUUGUUAUCAGGGAGAGACAAUCGCUUGAGGGUUCAGAGUUACUUGGUGCUAGGGUGAAAGUUGUUCUUCUGCAGCCUCCGUUAGAUCAGCUUUUAUGCACCUAUCUUAAGUAAGAUCUACAUGAUGCUCUGUCAACUCCCCUUGUCUCUUUAUCUUUAACUCAGUUAUUUUCUUCACAUUCUUAUCCCGUCCCAGAUGAUAUUCACCAAUAGUAGUAGAUUUUGCAGGAAAACGAAAAUUAGGAGUCAUUGCUGAUUGAUAAAUGGAAGCAACUACAGAGCAUGUUGGUUAAAAAUGAACUUUUGGAAAGGUCUGGCUGGCCAUUAUUUAGAGAUGAUAAUUUUGUUUCUAUAGUUUGAACUGAGAAAGCUACAUAUAAUUGAAUUCAGGAUCUAUGAUGUGGAUCUCUGUCUCUCUGCUCUAUUCAUCCAUCCAUCGGUCUAUCUGAAACUGUCCAUGUGUCAUUUGUUUUUCUUGCUCCAGCUAGAGAGGCAGAACAGUUCAUGUUUGAGAACCAAGCUGAUUUCAAAAAGGAAAGUCCUGAUUAUGGUUUGUAAUUAAUGACUUGUUGGCUGCAGUCUGUGCACACAUUCCACAGUGUGCCUUCUUCACAAUACCACUCUAAAGCUUCUCAAAUCUGAAAGUGUUCGAUGAGCAGAUUUGACUGUAAUCUGGUCCGAGACAGAAAAUUAUUGUAAAAGAGAAAGGCCUCAGUGCUUGGAUGAACUCCACCCUUCUUUGUAUGUGGCAGCAGCAUGAACCAGACAUUCUGCAGAGAUCAUCUUGAUGUCAUUUUGUUUUCCCUCUGGGAGACUCAAGGAUUUUUAUCCUGAGACUCUCAAUUGAUCUGUUCUAACUUAGCUGGUGAUGACACAUCCCAGAGGCUCCUACCAUAUUGGGCCUGAGGUCAGCAGACUGUGCACCAUGCUGUCCUAUGAUUCAUAGGACAGAACUGCUCUGGUCCCCUCCCACUACACAGGCCUGGAAGGCCACCAUAAUGAGGCAGUGGGAAGGAGUGUGGCUAGGAAAGCUGUUGAAAGGAAGCUUUUGUUGUAACUUUCUUCCCUGCAGCAGGAAGCUAAAGCCAAAGCAAAGUAUUAUCAAGCAACAGACCCUACAUUUGAGAGAGAUGAACUAGAAGGGUCCCUGGCCUUGUAUUUAGGGUAAGCGUUGUAUUUUAGAAGGCUGCAAUUAUUUCAGAUGGGGGGAAAGGCCAUACAGCAUAGAAUCCUGGAAGGAAAUGUUAUUGAUUUGCUGCUAAAUGACUCAGCUGGAUCAUUUUGAAAUACUGGUCAAGGUGAGUAUUGAAAGAGUGAAUACUUUGGCAUUUCCACACCCUUGGAAGUGAAGAAUUGGACUUCCUUGGGAGCCAAAUGAUGUACUUUGAUUUUCCAAAAUGUUGAUUAUUUUAUAGUAAAUUUGUACUGAAAUCAACAGUAGCAUAUGUUCUCUUAUGUAAGCAUGGCACAUUAUUCAUUCAAUGGUCAUUUGCAGCACACUUCUGGGGUAUGGAGUUCUAUAGCCACUUCCUCUUCAGGGACAGAGGUCUGACCAGGCGUGCAACAUAGAUAAAAGUAACUUUGAAUCUCUACUUUCAUGUUCCUUUCCUUCUACAUGUGGGAAAACAUCAGUAUAUGAAAUGGCAUUUGAGUAACUUAAAGCCAAGUGUUCACAAGAGCAGAAUAACUCAGAACAGCCUUUGAAGCCAUUAGGUAUAUGAAUCACUUACUGCUGCCUGGGGGUCCCACACCAGCUAUUCCAAGCUGUCGGAGCACUUAGUGCAUUGUACUAUUUGUCUCUCUUCCUCACCAGUCUCCAAGUUCCUUGUGGAGAGAGAUAUUAUAUUUAUCUUUGCAUCCCUGGACACUAGCACAGUUCAUUGCAUACCACAAGUGCCUAGUAAAUGUCUAGUGAAUGAAUUAGUAAGAAGAAUCACUGUUAUCAUUUUGGGAGAAGGGAAGGGAUUAGAAUGAUGGCUUUGUAUGGGCAUAAACUACAAAGGAAGAGAUUCAUUUUUUAAAGUCUAGAAACAAAAUGUGCUUCCUUCUCAUAAUUCUAGUCAAGGGAAGCGGUUCAAUUCAGCAGAGUUCAGUAAACAUUUAUUGAACAUAUUUUAUGUGGUGACUGCAUGUCUGAGCAUGGAAUGUUUUAUGCCCUCAAAGGACUUAGAGUACAGGGUGAGAUGGCAAUGCUGUACAGGUAAAAGGACCAUUUCAACAUCAUUUGGCAAAUAUGCUGUUGGAGUAUUCAACUGAGAGAAGGAGAGGAAAGGGGCUUGACUUUGGGCCCCGAGGGGUGGGGCUGGGAUGUUGAGAGAACCAGGAAACUCUUCCAGGAAGAGACAAAAUAUGGGUUGAGUCUUGAGGCAAGAGAAACCAAGUAAAUAAGGAAGGAUGUGGAUAUGGGGAUGAGGAAGAGGGAAGAUAAUUAAGAACAAGGGCAUGGAGUGGGACACAAUAGGGAGUGUGCAGAAAGCUCCAGGUGUUCACCAUGACAAACGAGUAAAACCUGGUGUAUGAAGGCACAAGGGAUGGCACUGCAAGCAGAAGACUUAGUGACAUCUAUUCACUGUGUGAAGGAGAGGGAUUUGAACUUCAUGAUGUAGAUGGUCAGCAGCUAUUGGUUUAAGGAUGGACUUAAAGUGAGACAGUGUUGGUGACAAGAAGACCUACAAGCAUGUCCCCGAAAUAGUGUAGACACAAGUCUGGAAGAAAGCAGUGGGGGUAGACUUUAAAGACAGAAGAGAGCUAAGAAAAAGUGCAUGGUAUUCCAGCAAGACUAGAUCAUGGAUUGAGUACCUAUGAUAAGAAAGUGAGAGGACUAAGGAUUUGGGCUGGAGUGACUGGGUAGUUGUUAGUAUGGUGGCGUGUGGCGGGGAGAGGGAGAGAGAGAGAGAGAAGGUGGGAAAUAGAGAAUAAUAGAAGGAAUAUAUUUGGGGGUGAAGAAAAACGUUGAGUUCAUCUAUGGAGAUGGUAUGUUUGGAUAUUUUAAGUGGGGAUGCCUGGCAGGUAUAUGAAUCUAAAGCUCAGGAAAAGUCAGGGUCUAAGAUAUUUAUGUGGGAAUGACAAGCAUGCACAUGGCAACAAUAAAAAGGAAAAUUAAUGGAUUGUCCAUGAAUAUAGUGUAGAAUAGAGGUUCAUGAGUACCAUUUAAAAGCCUGGUGCUCUGCAAUCUUCCUGAUUAUUAUCUGGGGAAUUGGUCAAAAGCAGAUUCCUGGCUACCUCUCUUGGAAGUUCUGAUUCAUUGUGUAGAGUGAUCUGUACUUUGUAGCUUUCCUUGGCUAAUUUUAAUUUGCAAUCAUAUUUAGGAAACACUGAUAAAGAGUAAGAAUAAUGGAAUCACCUUUACUUUAGGGGUAAAUAUAAGAAGAUUAUUUUAUGAAGUAGAAAGAAAACAAACUAUCAGGUGGAGAACCAACAGAGAGUGAGAACAUAGAAGACAGAGGGAAGAGAGUUUCUGCAAGAAACAACAAUGUUACAAUAGAGAAACCUAGUCAGAGAUUUUGUGAAGUUUUUGCUAGAUUUGAAUAUAUAGAGGUUUAGUAUCUUUAAAUGUAGCCAGGCAUAAUGGAGGCAUGCCUGUAAUCCCAGCGACUAGGGAAACGGAGAUAGGAGAAUUGCAAGUUUGAGGUCAGCCUCACCAACUUAGUGAGGCUUCAGCAACUUAGCAAGAUCCUGUCUCAAAAUAAAAACAAUUAAAAAAAAAAAAACCUGGGGAUAUAACUGAGUGGUAAAGCACCCUGGGUUAAAUUUAAGUGUAGAAGGAGAAUUAAAACUAGGUUGCACUGAACUGAAGGAUAGAGGAUAGGAAUAAGGAAGAGGAGAAAGUGAAUAGAUUUUUUUUUUCAAAUAACUUGAUUGUGAAGAGAAUGAGAAAAUGAUACCUGCAGUAGACAGCACAUAGUGUUAUAAGGAUGAUUUUCUUUUAAGGGGAGAGACUCUCAAGAAAAUACUUAUAUUUUAUAUUUCAAUUUAUUUCCUGAGUUAUUAUAUAAAAGUAUAAAAUAGCAUUAAAGUUUUUGGUCUUUAUUAGCAGCUGGGAUCAGAGCAGAUUAUGGGAGGGAAGGUGGGAGUAGGUGGAAGAAGAGAAACUCCUCAUCCUUGAUGGGAGGAGAAGAGAGAGGGGAAGUUCAGCUGGUGUAAGGCAGGAAGCUGAAGUGCUAUUUUGUUUGUUCUUUUGUUUUUCCUAUCAGGUGCUUAACUUCUGUGCCACAUCCCCAGCCCUUUUUUAUCUUUUAUUUUAAGACAGGGUCUUGCCAAGUGGCUUAAGGCCUUGCUGAAUUGCUGAGGUGGGUCUCAAAUGUGCAAUCCUUUUCUCUCAGACUACCAAGACACUGGGACUGCAGGUGUGUGCCCCCACACCAGGGAUAGAAUAUUUUGGAUGGAAUAUUCAGGGAGAUUUUAAGAGGCUCAAACAGUUCAAGGGUACAAAGCUUGUUGAUAUCAAAUGCUUGUGAAUGUCAAACCUUGGGGAAGAGCUCUAUUGUUAAUUAAUAUAUUGUUUUCUGAAUGUUUCUUACUUUUCCUUUGACAUUGCAUUUUCUCCAAUGGUAAGAAAAUAUUUUGUAGAGCAAGCCCUGUGGUCCUUUAAAACCCAGAUCUCUCGCUUGCUGAUCCAGUUCUGUAUUUGCAUUUGCCUCUGUGUUCCAUGCUGUUUACACCCCCAGAAACUAGCACUGGGAAGGACCCCCAAAACUUCAAUUUUCUUGGUGAAGUAGAACCUGGAGAUCUUCUUUUUGUAGUCACCAUUAUUAGAUCCAAAAGAAAAAGGAAAGUUGCCCUUUGGUUGACACUCAGUGGAGAAUGGGAAAAGCAGGGUUGGGGAGAGAGUAUUUCUUUCCAGUUAAGUCUUUUCCAAGACUGUGGAUUCCUAAAGGUUUAACUACAUAUGUGAAAUACCAAACUUGUACACCUGAAAGCAAAUGAAUAAAUGAAACAUCUCACAACCUCCAGAAUAAUUACAUGAGCAAAAGCUAGUACUUUUAGUUAUGCUCUGAAGUAGGAAGAGAUGGUUAGUGAGUUGUUUUCUCUUCAAUCAAGUAUCUGAAUCAACAAUCUGACAACCCCCCAGAACUAUCAUAUAAAUCAAGCAAGAGCUUUUAGUUAUACUCUAAAGCAGGAAGAGAUGAUUAGUGACUUUUAUAUUCACUCCUAUACUUUCUUUUUCCCAAGUGUUGAUAAUUUGAGAAAGCAAAGAAAUACAGAAGCAAGAACAGAAUCAACCAUAAUACUACCUAAUUAAAGUAUUAAUAUUUUACUAUAAAACUUUUCAGUCUUUUCUCUGUGUGUAACUUCUUAUAGGAGCAUACUUCAUAUAUGACUUUAAUCAUGCUUUUUUUCUUUAACAUUUAAUACAGAAAUUUUCUCAUAUAAUUAAAAUAUUGUGUAAAAUAUAUAUUUUAUCUGCAUCAUACAACAGGUUUUUUUUCACAUUUUACUUAGAAAUUCCCUUAUAAUUGGAUGCCUAAUUUUUUUCCAAAAUUUUCAUUAUUAUAAGUAUUACUGCCAAGAAUGCCUUUGUAUACCAAGUACUUUUUAUAUUUCAAUUUAUUUCCUGAAUUAUUAUAUAAAAGUAUAAAAUAGCAUUAAAGUUUUUGGUCUUUAUUAGCAAAUUCCUUUCAAAGGAUUUAUAUCAUUUUGAAAGCUUAUUGGCAAUAUAUGAAACACUUAUUUAAUCAUAUUCAUACCAUUAUUCAGUAUUUUAUUUUUAAAAAUUUUACUAACAUGUAGGAAUGAUAGAAACAAGAUUUUAAUUUUCACUUCUUUCAUAAACAGUGAAAUUUAAUAUUUUCCACAUUUUGCUACAAUUUUAUUUCUGAUUUUGCAAAAUCUGUACUUUUUAAUUACAAAGCUCAUAUGUAUCUUAUGGAUUUGUGCCUUUAAUUUUUUAACAUACUAUGUGGUUACUGUAUUAAACACUAUGGAAAGGGCAAAAGAGUGAUAACUCUUUUCAACCUUAAGGAACUUGUAUUUUGUAAUCAUACAACUUGCUUAUUGAAGAGGCCUUACAAUGUACCGUGUUCAACUCUCAGUUGAGGAAGCAGACAUCAAAACCACAAAACAGUGAAAAAAAAAUGAGCAAGACUAAAUGAUUUUGUGGAACUACUAGGGUUAUAAGGAUGAUUUUCUUUUAAGGGGAGAGAUUUCUUGGUUGUUGGAAUUCAGGAGAACUAGAAACCUGUGUGACUUGGAGCACCAGGGGAAAUUGUCAUUAGAAGAAAGGGCUUUUGUUGGGCUCUGAAGAAUGGAAAGAAUUUAAAAAGGUGAAAUGAAAAAUUUAAGAGCAUGAAUUUAGGAUCACCAAGUAGGAAUAAACAUGUCAUAGGGGUUGGAGAGAUUAGACAAGUCUAAGUAGGCUGGGGAUGGUGCUGGGCAAUAGCCUGUGAGAUAUGGCCAGAUUAAACCUGUGAAUCAUGGAUCACUGGACUCCUCCCCUUGACAGGCCUCACUCCAGUCUCUGCAAGUGCCCUGCAGAGAAGGGUGCCUAGAGAGCAUGACCCCCAAGGAGGAUAUUCAGGCUCACCCUUGUGCUGCAGGUAGACUGCUCUGACUUCAGCAAGAGCCAAUUUGUCAAACUCUGCUGAGCAGACUGCACAGUGAUCUGGGUUGAUCUAAAGAGCUGGUUUUAGGAAAAUCAAAACAAAGUAUGAUAUCAUCAGUUGGAGAGGUACUGGUGUGGAGUAUAGGGGCCUCAGUCUACUUCCUGUGUUGUCCAAGUAAGCUCUAUGACUUUAGGUAGAUUUCUUAUGUUCCCUAUAGCUGGAUUAUAUUGUAUACUGAGCUCUCGGGAGGUCUCAGCCUCUGUAACCUCUAACAGGAACUCAGCUAAGGAUCACCUGUACAGGGCACCCUGGAGAAAAGAGAGUAUGUAAAUAGCAAGAAACCUCUGUUUUCUUCUUCAGAUCUGGACUAAGGUGUCCUUUCUCUUAAUUUUCUAGUUUGAAGGGUGUGAGUCAAUAUCUGGUACUUUCUUCCUUUGUCUCUGCCACACAUGUAACAGGGCACCAGUGGAAGCAAAUGCCCAAGUUAUCUAAUGUCUUUCUGUGUGGGGAGGUCAUUUUAGUAGGCAUUGAUGAGAUAAAGGUAAUAAUUUAAGCUUUCUUGUGAAAACUCUGUGUUUCCCCUCGUAUGCUUCUUUUCUUCCUUUUAUUUUGGGCAGGGGGUGGGGAGGGGGUGUUACCAGGGAUUGAACUCAUGGACUUUGACCACUGAGGCACAUCCUCAGCCUUAUUUUGUAUUUUUUUUUUUUUUAAUUUAGAGACAGGGUCUCACUGAAUUGCUUAGUAUUUCACUUUUGGCUGACCAAUAGCUUUUCUAGUAUUUGUGGUUUUGAACUCAAAAUCCUCCUGCCUUAGCCUCCUGAGCUGCUGGGAUUACAGGCAUGUGCCACAGCACUGGGCUGGCUUCUUUUCAAAUAUUAGCUGUUGCAUAGCCUCUUACUAAUUUCUUGCCUGCACUUACUUCAUUGUGUAAACCUUGGUAACUUGACCCUGAUUUUACUGUAUCUCUUUGGUGAUGUCUUUUACAGUGAUGAUAUUUCCUUUAUUAAUGUACCAUAGCUAGUUUCUUUUUUGUUUAUUUUAUUUCAUUUUUGGUUGGUACUGAGAAUUUAAUGGAAGGGUACUUUACCACUGAUCUACAUCCCCAUCCCUUUUUAUUUUUUAUUUUGAGACAGGGUCUUGCUAAGUUGUGGAGGGCCUUGCUAAGUGUCUGAGGCUGGCUCUGAACUUGCAAUCCUCCUGCCUCAGCCUUAUGAGUUGCUGGUAUUAUAGGUAUGAGCCAUAAUGCCUGGAUAGUUAGUUAUUUUUUAUUGAGAUUAGAAUCUAAUUAAGGAGGCUGAGGAUAUAGAUAAUGCAUAACAAAAACAAGCAAACAAAAACUCCAACAAAUAUAAUAUCUAACAAAAGGGAGAGGUUGUCAAUUUGUUUUCACUUUGAUGUCUAUUUUAUGCAGCAUUGAAAACUAUAUCUUUUGAUGAAGUGAAGAAGACACUAAGUUGGAGACAGAGCUAAUAAAUUACGCCUUGAUCGUUAGGCAACUACACCCCAAACACUUUUUCUCCCCUGAAUCUAGAAAAUUCGAUGUUAGUAUUUUAGUUUAAUUUAGUACCUGGCAUGUGGGUGCUCAAUAAUUUUUUUCAAAUUAAUUCAUUAGAGUGGCUUUAUGAUCCAGCAGCCACUAUAUAAUUGAAUUAGUUAAUAGAAGAAAACAAUAAAAUUUGGAAAGAAGGGAAGCAUAGGAAAUUCUUCUGAAAUAUACAAAACAUAACCAAUAGCUUUUCUAAUAUUUGAGGAUGAUUUGAAUCCUUUUUGAUUCUUAUUCUUGAAUAUCAUUAGGCAUUGGCACAUUCUCUGUUUAAAUGAUUAAAUUUUUAUUUGCAGGGAAACUUACGGUUUCCAGAAAACUUUUGAGAUAUUAUCUAAUUAAUUCCAGUAACAACUUGUGAGGUGGGUUGUACAGAUAUUGUUAUCUCCACUUUUCAGAAAAGCAAGCAACUGGUAAAGGCGAAAAGAGAAGGGAUUUUCCUAAUAUCAUACAGCUUGUGUAUAUGAAAUAGUGAUGAAAGCAGAACUCAUUUCUUCUGAUGACCAGUUCAGGGCUUUUUCAGAUGUAUAAAUCCUUAAUCUCUAGGAAAGAAGCUGUCUGAACUCCCUUAUCCUCGCAUCGAAGCUGAACAAUUUAUACAAGUGCUAUGGCUCAGAUUCCUUCUCAGAAUGUUCCAGCAUCGUCCAUCUUAACUGCCUCUUCCCUCCAUUUUUAUUUCUGAAGUAUUUUCCCUUCAGGAGCAGACUCUUCUUUCUCCCUAAUUAACUUUUAUGUGGAAACUUCUAUCAUAAUGAAAUCACAUGUGCCCAUGUUCGCUUGCCUGGUUUUCUUUUUAGUGCACCUGGAGGGAGAAGCAUUUUCUGCUGUCUCACUGCAUUAUCUUGCUGAGGGGAGGAAUAUGUAGGAACUCAGAUAACUACCUUCCUGAGAGUCAACCUUUUUUUUUAUCAAACAUUCUUUGGUAUAGGCACAGCUUUGAUAUUAGCAGAAGUUGCCCCUUGUUGAUAAUUAAAAUGCAUUGGUUCAUGAUGUUGGCAGCAAAGCAGCCUGGCAACAUAAACACAAACAUGGACUGUGGAGGCAGAUCAGGUUUGAAUCCUGGUGCUGCUACUUACUGGGCAAUUUAGCUCACUUUCUGCAGCUGAUUUCCUCUUCUGCGCAGUGGGGAUAAUAUAUUAGCGUUAUCUACCUUGCAGGGUUGUUGAGAGUGUUGAAGAUAAAUCAUGGGUACUUUGCUUAGGGUGAAGGAGGUCACAGAAAAAUACCAUCCUCUUGCUAGACUACAGAUCAAAUUUGUGUGGCACAUCUUCCAUUUCCCCUGAAACUCCUGUACCCUCCCUGCCCUAGCCUAGGAGACUUCCUGCCCUAGAAGGCUGACCAGCGAGAAACCCAUCAGCAGCUUCCUUUGCCCUCUGGCCCAGUGGAAUUUGGCUAUUGGAGGGUCCUGGCAGGAGAUCAGAGGCAGGGAGGAAAAUGAGAUCCUGUGCCUUUCCUCAUCUCUUUCCUUUCAGGAUUACCUGGGGCUAACUAUGUCCCAGAGAGUAACUUCCCUCUUGGAGGCAACCUGUUCUGGCUGAGGUGACUCUUUAUUCCUAGGUAUUGACAACCCAUCCCCUCUGUGUACACCCCCAACCCCAACCCCAACCCUGGGAAUAGUGGAGUAAACACUCCAUCACUGCUAGCUCCAGAGACUGCACUUCUUAUCCACAUCAUCUUCAGUAGUCUUUACUAAACCCUCUUAAAUGAUCCUAGUAUUAAUAUGCUGCCUCUUUACCCUGGGACCCUAACUGAUACAUUAUUCAUUAUUUUUUAGUUGAAAAUGUUUGCCUAGGAAUGUUUUAAAUAACGGAGAUUAGCACUUUGAGGAGAAAACAUAAAAUUGGUUCUUUUCAUUGUUUCUUGACAUUUGGUACUAAGAGAAGAAAAAGAUGAUGAUGAUGAUGAUGAUGAUGAUGAUGAUGAUGAUGAUGAUAGCCAUAGCUAAGCAUCUCUUAGGUGCUAUCUCUUAGCCUACUUCAUAUACAUUUUCUCAUUUGAGCUAAAAACUCACAUGUAUAUUAUUAUUACCACCCUUUUUCUCAGAGAGGUUAAGUGAUUUACCUAAAGGUAAUGCAGAACACUCGGGAAGAGCUGAAAUUCCAAUCUGUACCUAUUUGGUUCUGAGGUCCACACUCUUUUAUGGAGGACAUGCUUCCUAGGUACCAGGCUGAGAAGGGCCCUUCUGUCAGCAGUCAGUUUUCAAUUAACUGCAUUUGUCUAUUCAAAUUGCUAUAGGUUCUAAAUUCCUAUAGGAAAGCACCUCUUAACCAUGGCCUUUAAAGCUCUCAAAGUAAACUUUUUAAAAAUUUGAUUGAUUCAGCAAAACUUAUCAGGUCUAAUCCAUUUUUUGUCUAAUUUGUUAAUUUAAAAUCUUUGAAUCACUUGCUCACUAUGGGCAACUAUUUCAUGGUUGCCUAUAAAGGUACUCAUUAAUAUAGAAUAUAUAAUUAAAUUAAAUAUAUUCUCUGAUAAUGUGUAAGCUUCCUGCAGCACUUAAUUUUUUCUUUCCUUCCUCAGUGUAGUGUAUUUAGUUUAUGGCUUCUGUUAUUUUGAUCCACUUCUUAAACUAAAUGAAUCACAUAAUUUCAUAGUUUCCUAGAACCUAUAAAGGGCUCAGCAUCAUGACUACUCUGUAAAGGUGACUAUGCUCCUGGAGGUGCACGAGUUGAGAAAUUUCUCUUUGUGGAUUAGCUCCUCCCUCCAAGCUCUGCGCUCUUAAAAUAAAAGUCCAAAGACACUCAAAGAAACAGCCUUUUUUUUUUUUUCUAGCAAACUUACAUUUGACUGUGCAUUUUUUUCUCUAAUCUUUAGGCAAGUAUUUUCAUUAAGUUCAGAAGAAAGCUUUUUCCCUCAGUACUCUUUGGGUUCCCAAGUUGCAGCUAGGGAACUCUUAGCAAUAAUAUACUCCAUUUCUUUGUUUUUAACUCCAUCUUUUGUUUGGCCCCCUAAAGCUAUCUGCCUUUUAUUAUCAGAAGUCUUGAGGGGUGACUUACAUAUGUUCAAAGCAUGUUUUAUCAGCCUUGAGAGAAUGGCAGUGCAGGAUGUUGAAGAGCCUGGUGAAGGUCCCUCUCCACUGGUGGUCCUGGGUUCUCUAAAGCUGAUGGAUGGCUUCAUACUGGGGCCCACACGGACACUGUUCCCUGAAAUCUUGCCCAUUUUUUUUUCAAUCAUUUUAGUAAAACUAGAUCAUUUAGAGCUUGAUUAGUAUUACUCUGUUCCCUAAACCUUAGGCACAGGUGUCCUUUCAUUCUUCGUUUUUUUCCCCUGAGAACCUUAGGACAAUGCAAAUAAUGGAACUAUAUGCUGCUGCUAGCAUUGACCUACACCUACAAUGUCAGCUUACAUCUGUAUUGUAAGAGUUUUUGUGUUUUGGUGAUGCUUGUUUGCCUCAUACCCUUUCCCAUAGAGUAAGUUCUUUCCCCAAUUGCUCUUUAGCCCACAUGCAAACAUAUCCUAUGUAUAUGCAAAUCGUGGUCAGAUAUAGUAGACAUGAAGACAACACAUACAGCUAUUAAAUUUGCUCUUUCCACCAAACACAGAAUCUUCAUCCUAGUCUCUAGUGGAAAGUGAAGUUCAGGAAAUAAGGCCAUCAAUAUCAUUUUCAUGACAACUCUUUUGAAAUGUUCUUUGAAUUACAGCUAUUGCUUAUCUAGGUAAAGUGCCUUCAAUUUUCUCAAGCAUUCCUUGCAACCUCUUUGAACUAAAGGAAUAAAGAACUCACUAAGUUUACUGAAGAGCCACUGGGACGGCAUCAGUGUCUUGUGGAUUAUUGCUCAGGAAAUCAGAACCAUGACCCAGCUCCCAGGCUCUUUCCUUCAGAUGUAGGAAGAUUCCCCAAGUGGUGGACAAGGCUCAGUUGAUGAUCUCUUGGUUGAAAGUUAAGGGUCCAAAAUUGUCCCAGUAAGAAUCAACACAUAGGGGCUGGGGUGGUGGCUCAGGGGUAGAGCGUUUGUCUAGCACAUGCAAGGCCCUGGGUUCGAUCCUGAUCACCACAUAAAAAUAAAUAAAAGUAUUGUGUCCAACUACAACUAAAAGUAAUAUUUAAAAAAAGAAUCAACACAUAAUACAAUUCAGCUACAUAUUCAUUUCUUAUAGUAACAUUAGGUUGUGGUUACCAUACCUAUUUUUUUCAGCCACUGAAAAAGUAGACUUGAAUAUUUAAUGGAAAACAGAUGGUGCUUGAAAUCUCUAACUUACAUUUUAAAAAAGCUGUUUUGGAAAUGUUGUUUGUAUGUACUUUUGCUGUUUUAAACACAUCACCAUUUUAGCCUGUUUUGAUGAAUUAUUUAAGAGUUAUGUUCCUAGGCCAAAAUAGCAUUUUGAAGUGCACGUGUUAAUCAUAUACUUGAUUAAACAUUUCCUUGCUUUUUUUUUUCCAGCAUUCCAGUUGGCUUUUGAGUGGAUAAUUGUGGCAGUGAGAGCACUGACGUUGGAAACAACUAGUGCCCGUUUGGAUUACUUAAAACACAACCAUGAAAAGAAAUACGUGUGAUUUGCUUUCUCGGAGCAAGAGUGUAAGUACCUUUUAUUUUCGUUUAUUUUCUUAAAGUGUGUAUUUAUAACUUGUACUGUAUUCUUUGGAUUUUAAUGCUGCAUGUUUAUGAUUGGGCUUCUGGGAAACCUUUGUUUAUCUUUCAGUACACUAAUUGUAUGCAGCUUAUUAACAAAUGAAGACUUGUUUGUCAAUGUGGCCUGCCUGACAUUUGAUGGGAAUUCUCAUUCUGUGGGUUUAUAAGCCUUUCCAUUCAUUCAUAUUAGCCUACAUGAAUGAAGGUAUAAUAUGGAAUACCCUAGUUUUUAAAUGCAAGCAGCAAAUAUAUAGUUAAAUUGAAAAUGAAGAAGUUAACAUUUAAAUAUCAAAAUUUCUGGGCAAAUCUAAAAGCACAAAUUGAAAUAUGUCAACAGUACUUAAACUGAUCAUAUUCUGAAAGUUCUUUCCUUGCAUGAACUCUCUACUUGGACGUAGGUUUCUGAUCUCUCCUUUUGGUCUUUCUUUUUAACAUUUUAAAGUGAGCAUUCUCAGGACCCAGAAGAAGUUUAGAUCUUCUUUCUAAUUAUUUAGUGUUCUUCGGAUACCAAAUUCAUGAUAGCUUUUGGUUUUCUAUCAGCUUAUGAAAAAAGCUUCAAGAAAUAGAGCAACUCAAAGGAAGCUUCAUGAGGCAAGGAUGAAAGCAGACUGUUAAUUUCCAUCAGGAGAGCACGAAGAACAUGGCCCUUUGUUCAUUUACCCAGGGGGGAAAAGGCAUCCAAACAGAUGUGGUUGUGACGUAGGAGCAUUCAUUUGAAGGCACCAGAAAAACCACAAAUGCAAACACAUUUCUCUAGUAUGGGGUCUCUUUGUGUUACAUCCACUGAUUCUAUUGUGAUGGCCCAAGGCCAUCUUUCAUUCUUUCUAUAGAAUUACUAUGUAGUUUUUAAGAGUGAAGCAAGAGUAUGCAGAGAAGAAAGUACAGUAUGCCUAAUAGGGUUUCUUUAAAAAUGAGGAUAGACUGAGAGAUAUGCCCAUCUUUUUUACUGAGUACUGUGUUUAAUAACCAACCAAAUAAAUUCAACAAACUCUGAAGGAAUGUUCAGAUUCAUUUGUUUUACUAGUUGGUGUUUGGUUGUAUGGGUUUUGUAUAAAAUAAAGGGCCAGAGCUUUGAGCCUAGAAUUCCUUUUAUCAUCAUACGGAAUUCCUCAUUGUAACAGGAGGUGAGCUGCAUACCAAACUGCAAACACAUCCCUUUGCUUCUCAGUGUUCCUAUUAUAAAUUAAAUAUGAAAGCAAACCAUUAACAUAAUGCUUUCUUCUUUAAUUUUAGAGACAUGUGAUAGGAGAAAAGUGUAUAAAAGCAAAGAGGAGAAUAUUUUGGAUAAUUAAUAUAUCAUUUAAACAUUUCCCUGGUGCUUGGAGGAAAACAUUUUUAUUGUAAUUUGUUAUAUAUGACAGCAGAAUACGUUACAAUUCAUAUUAUGUAUAUAGAGCACAAUUUUUCAUAUCUCUGGCUGUUUAUAAAGUAUAUUCACACCAUUCGUGUAUUCAUACAUGUACUUAGGGUAAUGAUGUCCAUCCAUCUCAUUUCAUCAUCUUUUUUAUCCCCAUUCUCCCUCCCUUCCCUUCCUACCCCUCUGCCCUAUCUAGAGUUCAUCUAAUCCUCCCAAGCUCCCCCCUCUCAACCCCACUAUGAAUCAGCCUCCUUAUAUCAGAGAAAACAUUCAGCAUUUGGUUUUUUGGGAUUGGCUAACUUCACUUAGUAUUAUAUUCUCCAACUCCAUCCAUUUACUUGCAAAUGCCAUGAUUUUAUUCUCUUUUAUCACUGAGUAAUAUUCCAUUGUGCAUAUAUGCCACAUUUUUUUUAUCCAUUCAUCUACUGAAAGACAUCUAGGUUGGUUCCACAGUUUAGCUACUGUGAAUUGUGCUGCUAUAAACAUGGUUGUGGCUGUGGCCCUGUAGUAUGCUGUUUUAAAGCAAAUGAUUAACUUAGUCAUAACUUUAAGGAACUGUGAAUACUUAAUGAUGCUAGAAGAUUUCCUAUUAUUUGUUUAAGGUGAAAUCUCUCAUUGUGGAAAGGCUCAACCUUCUUAGACUAAGAGAAUCUCAGCUGCCUACAUUUGGCCAAAUGUAAACAGCAGAGCUCUAAUUUCACUCCUUCCCAGCUCUUUCAGAAUCCACUGGCAUAAGGAAAGUAUCUCCACUUAAUUAAAUGACUCUAAGCAGGAGAUUCGUCUUUAACAGAGAAAAGAGCCCAUUUCUUUCCUGGUUAGAAGUUGUCAUUUUAGGCCUUCAAAUAUUUAUUUUGUACUGGUCUAUUAAUGUAACCUCCUCCCACCAGCACUUAUGUCUUUUUUUUUUAAUUCUAUUUGUUUUAAUUGGUUAUACAUGAGAGUAGAAUAUAUUUAUGCACUUUGAUAUAUCAUAUGUAGAUAGGAUAUAAUUUUCAUUUUUCUGAGUAUAUGUGUUGCAGAAUCACACUGGUCAUGCAGUCAUGUAUAUAUAUAAAGUAAUGAUGUCUGUUCUAUUCUACUAUCCUUCCUAUCCCUACGUCCUCUCCCCUCCCCUCCCUUCACUCCCCUCUAUCUAAUCUAAGGUAACUCUAUUCUUCUCUAGUGCCCUGCCCCUAUUAAUGUGAAUUAGUUUCCACAUAAUAGAGAAAACAUUCAGCCUUUGUUUUUUUGGGGGGAUUGGCUUACUUUGCUUAGCAAAAUGAUCUCCAACUCCAUCCAUUUACUGGCAACUGCCAUAAUUUCAUUCCUCUUUAAGCUGAGUAAUAUUCCAUAUAUAUACACCACAUUUUCUUUAUCCAUUCAUCUUUUGAAGGACAUCUAGGUUGAUUCCAUAAUUUAGCUAUUGUGAAUUGAGCUGCUAUAAACAUUGAAGUGGCUACAUCACUGUCGUAUGCUGCUUUUUUUUUUUUUUUUUUUUUGGCAAACUUUUCAUUUUCAAGCUGGGAUUUCAAUCUUGUUUAUAAUUGCUUUUUUUUUUUUUUUUUUUUUUUUUUUUUUGGCAAACUUUUCAUUUUCAAGCUGGGAUUUCAAUCUUGUUUAUAAUUGCUUUGUGAAGUUUUAUUUUGUAUUUAUAAAUACAUAUUUAUGUCUAUUGUAUAUUGCAAACAUUUUCCUGAUUUUUUUGUUAUUUUUUUGCAUUACAAUUCUUAUUACACAUAUAAAGCACAAUUUUUAAUAUCUCUGGUUGUAUACAAAAUAUAUUCACACCAAUUUGGGUCUUCAUACACAUACUUUGGAUAAUGCCUAUCACAUUCCACCAUCAUUUCUAACCCCAUGCUCCCUCCCUUCUCCUCCAACCCUCUGCCCUAUCUAGAGUUCAUCUAUUCCUCUCAUGCUCCUUCUCCCUAUCCCACUAUGAAUCAGCAUCCUUACAUCAGAGAAAAUAUUUGGCAUUUGUUUUUUUUUUGGGGGGGGGAUUGGCUAACUUCACUUAACAUUUUCUUCUCAAACUCCAUCAAUUUACCUGCAAAUGCCAUGAUUUUAUUCUCUUUUAUUGCUGAAUAUAUUCCAUUGUAUAUAUAUGCUACAUUAUUUUUAUCCAUUUAUCCAUUGAAGGGCAUCUAGGUUGGUUCCACAGUUUAUCUAUCUUGAAUUGUGCUGCUAUAAACAUUGAUGUGGCUGUGUCCCUGUAGUAUGCUGUUUUUAAGUCCUUUGGGUGUAGACAGAGGAGAGGGAUAGCUGGGUCAAAUGGUGGUUCCAUUCCUAGAUUUCCAAGGAAUCUCCAUACUGCUUUCCAUAGUGGUUGUUCCGAUUUGCAGUCCCACCAGCAAUGUAUGACUGUAACUUUUCCCCCACAUCCUUGCCAACAUUUAUUGUUGCUUAUAUUUUUGAUGAUUGCCAUUCUGACUAAGGUGAAAUCUUAGUGUAGUUUUGAUUUGCAUUUCUCUAAUUGCCAGAGAUGUUGAACACCUUUUCAUAUAUUUGUUGAUUGAUUGUAUUUCUUUUUCUAUGAAGUGUUUGUUCAGAUCCUUAGCCCAUUUAUUGAUUGGGUUAUUUGGUUAUUUUGGUGUUAAGUUUUUUGAGUUCUUUAUAUAUCCUAGAAAUUAAUGCUUUAUCAGAGGUGCAUGUGAAGAUAAUCAGUUAUCUCAUACUAACAAAGGUGCCAAAACAUUCACUGGAGAAAAGAUAGUCUAUUCAACAAAUGGUACUGACGAAACUGGAAAUCCAUAUGUAGCAAAAUGAAAUCAAAUCUCUAUCUCUCACCCUGCAUGAAACCAAUUCAAAGUGGAUCAAAAACUUAGGCACUAGGACAGAGACCCUGCACCUAAUAGAAGAAAAAAAUAUGCCCAUAUCAGCACUAAUGUCUUUGUCAUAACAAAAUCCAAAAUUGUACCCUUCGAAGUAGAUGUUUCCUGUUUUGUGGAAAAAGUUUUAAAUAAUUAAUUUGAUUUAGAAUCUAAGAAUGUUUUUCUUUGCCAUUUUGACAUUUGAAAACCCAGGGAAGAUUUUAAAUGUUAAAGCAGUUUCUGUUCCUCCUUCCAUACAUGUGGCUUUGUGGGUCUUGUAUCUGUCACUGUGAAUUAAGGCAUAUAAAAGAGGAGGGAAAAUACUAUCUUUAACCAAUCACCUUUUAAGCGGGCUCCCCUUCACAGAGGGGCAUAGCUUACAAGACUAUUUAGUCAGUCUCCAUGUUGUAUGAAAGAUGUGGGCAUAAGGUGGGAAGUUUUGUGGGUGAGUUCUGUUCAUCAUUACUUCCUAGUUUCUGAGAUUUCAAGUCAUGUGUGGUCAUUUAUAAAUUGAAUUGAACAUUAUUUCCCAAGUAAAUAUAUAAUCAAGGAAUUGGGGCAAAGAAAGAACAUUAGUCAGCUCUAGGUGUCACAACAAAAUGCCAUAGACAUAGAUGGUUUCAACAGGAACAUAUUUUCUCCAUGUUCUGGAGGUUGGGAAGUUCAAGAACAAUAUACCAGCUGACUCAGGUCUCAGUGAGGACCCUUGUCCUUGCUGAUGUUCUGAAGAUGGCCAAGUUCUUGCUGGCACCUCACAUGGCAGAGAUAGAGCUCUCCAAAGUCUCUUCCUAUUAGGUCACAAUUCCCAUCAUGUGGGUCCGAUCUUCAUGAUCUCACCCAACACUGAUUACCUCCCAGAGACCCCACCUCCACAUACCAUCCUACUGGGAAAUAUAAAUUUAAUAUAUGUGUUUAAGUGAGACACAAAUAUUUAGUCCAUAGCAGAGAGUUUGGUAUUUUGAGGAGAUGAUUUCAAUGUCUCUAUGAUGCGUACGCCCAAAGGAUGGCUAAUAUGGAGAAUCAAUAUAUUCUCUCAACUGGGUAACACUGAAAAUGACUUGGUCAACAUAUUUCUUUUUUAUUUCAUAAGGUUUAUUUUAGGGGAACUCUUCAUGAUAAUUUUUGAGUUUCUGAUAAUCUCCUCAUAGUCUUAGAGGCAAAUUUUAUUCAAAACUAGUUUUCCUUUCCUUUGCUAUUCUUGUUUUGCUUAUUUUAUAUUUGGUUUUGAUAUCCAGUCCAAUGACACAGGUCUCUAAAGUCCCUUGUCCUGUUAAUGGAUUUACCAGUUGAGCUAAUAUUUCAGAGGUUUGUAAAUUUCAGACUUGAUGAUCUGAGUCACCCCCAUUUCCUUCUACCAAAGCUCACUGUCCCACUGUAUUUUAGCCAAACAAGACAGGACAGGGGGACUGAACACAAACAUUUCCAUAGUAAGAGUAUAUUUUAAAGUUAGGGAUUAUUUAAAAGAAUUGUAGAGCAUUGUUCCUUAUGAUAUCUCUACUUUUAUACUCUCUGAACUCAUGAAUUUUUAUAAAUCUCAUCUGGUGAAUGAACUGGAUAGAUUCUAAUUCUCCUUUAUUAAUCAAUUCUCUUGUGUAUUGAAUUCUAAAAUAUCCUCAAGGAUUUUUACAUUAACUUCCUAAUUUGCUAGUAUCCUGAAUCAUUUUCUUCCUACCAGUUUGGAGAAAUUCAAGAUAUCAGAUGCUCAAUUGUAUUUAUUAUUUUCUUGAUGAAAUUGCCCUUUGUUUGACUUAGGAUUCUUUUGGAUGUUUUACAUUUGAAUAAAUUUGUCACUCACCAGAUGUCUUUAAUUGAUGUCCCCUGUUCUGUUUGAUAGAAUUGUUCUUUUUUAGUGAUUAUUCAAAACUGGAAGCAAGUCUUGGCUGUUUUCAGGGACAGGGUAUCUGGAAAGUUCUUUGCACACUGAAUUAAAGCCUAUACAAACAAGCUGUCAGUUUUGAAUCCAGAGUUUGGAACCCAUCUGGUAAUAUAUGCCCAGUAGGCCUUCUAGAAUUGCUUCUUCUCACAACAGACUUUAAAAAAUGUUAUCCAAAUUUAUUUGAUGCUUCAAAAAACAAAAGUAAACCUUUUGCAGUUGAACCUUUACCUUUCUCAUUUUUGGAGACAGUCAGUCUUCUAAUGACCCGAGGUCAGUAAUUUAUGCCUCAUCAUCUGUAUUACCUUCCAUUGAUGCCUAGUAGACAGGUCAGACCAAACAAAUUUUUGGAAAGGAUGAUACAUUUUAUUAUGGAACUUCAGAGCUAUCUACAUUUAUUAUUCCUCACAAUUACUCUGUCCAGUAGACUACUUUUGGUUUUUAUGGUUAAAGUAAAAACACUUCAUCCCUUCCAAGGCUGGCCUUCCUUUCUCUACUAUAUUCAUCACCACCUAAGAUGUGGGACUGACAGUUGUCAUAGAUUAGAAUCCUGACAAAGUAGUGUAGAAAAUACUUUUUUCUUAGAGUCCAAAGAAGGCCAGGGAAGAUACAGUAGGUAAAAAUGCUUUGGAAAAGGCAAAAUACAAAGCAAAAAUUAAAAUAAUAUUGUUGUUUGGGUCUUUAUCAGCAACAAACUGAAAUAAGAACUUGUAGAUUUAGAGAUUUCAUUUCUUGAGCCAUUAUUCCUCUCUUCCAGUGUGUGAUUUUUAUUUUACAAAUUCAACAAAUAUUUACUCAGGGGUUUUUAUGUGGUAGUGUCUGGAUAUCCAAUAUGAAUAAAAUCCUUGUCUCUACUCUUGAAGAGCAUACCUGAUAACUGAAUUUAUAGUUUGUAUUGUUUGUGAAAAUUCCUUCACUGCAACCCUGCUCAGCUGUGUCUGUGCCAUUGUGUUCUUUCCUUCUUCACUGGGAAGCUAAAGUCCUGUCUGUAAUCUCCAUGCACUUGCUCUUCAGCACAUUGUGGAUACCCUAUUUGGUGGAGAUAUUUUGAGCUGUGAAUAAUGUGCCCUAAUUGUCAAUUAUGCUCAUUGUUGCAGAAACAUAGAGUAUCUUAAAAUAGUUAAAAAGAAUCUUUCUCAGAUAAUCAACAAUAGUAUAAGAAUAGCUGAGAGUACAAAUGAAUGUGAGGAUGGCAAGAAAGGUCUGUAAGAAUAGGGACUGAUCAGCAACCAUUAGCUGUAUAAUCAAUCACGGCACAUGAUGGUUCCAGCAGCCAAAGCUAAUCAUUAAGUUUUUGUCUUAGAAAAACCUUUACUUUUUGCUGAUAUGUGUUUGCUUUUUCAUUCUGGGGCAAUUGCAAGUGGAAAUUUAAUUUUGAAUGAUUAUGUGCAAGAAAUAAUUGCAUAUAUUGUACUUAGCAAAUCAAAGAUGUAUAAAAAUGUAGAGGAGUCUUGUUGAUUGAUGAUGAAUAUUAAAGAAUCUUUCUUACCAGCAGGAUCUCUAUAACAAAGUGAAACUUUAAAGAAUUGCAUACUAAUUUGUUGGAGUUUUCAAUUAAUAUUAUUUUGCCCCAGAAAAAAAAUUUCUAAUAAAUCUUAUUUUUAAACAAAGCCAAUUCUUCAUCUUUAAAAUUUAGUUCACCAUCAUCUUUAAGAUUUUUAAAAUUUGGUCAUUAGUAAGCAAGAGUUUUGAAUGCUAAAAACAACAACAACAACAACACUUAAAAUUAUCAAUAUGUUUACUUUCUUUCUCAAUACUUUCAAGUGUAACAUGGGGAUCAUCCCUAACUUUUAGUUUAGGCUUUAUAUAUGUGUGUUUUGAUGGAGGAAGUGGGGAUAAGAGAACUUUAAUUAGAUUUAUUAUCAAAUGGCCCCCAAAUUUAGUUUUUUUUUUUUUUAAUCAGGGGUAAAAUGAAAAAAAAAAUACUGUGAAAGCACAUUGCAAAGUAAAAGCAAACAAACAAAAAACCCAAACCAACCGGACAUGGUAGUGCUCAGAAGGCUGAGGCAGAAGGAUUUCAAAUUCAAAGGUAGCCUUAGUAAUUUAGCAAAGCCCUGAGCAACUCAGCAAGACCCUGUUUCUAAAUAAAAUAUUUUUUAAAAGGCUGGGAAUGUGGCUCAGUGGUUAAGUAUCACUGGGUUCAAUCCUAGUAUCAAGAAAAAACAAACAAAACAAAACAAAAACCCACAAAUCAACCAGACAAUAAAAAUGUUAUAAGAUAUUCAGUUGUAUUAUAUGCUUCCAUAUGAAACUUUUUAAUUCUUAAGGAUUUUAAAAAUGGAAUUGAUUGUUCAAUAAAUACUGAUUCCAUAAAAAGUUAAAAAAUUAAAAUGGAAUUGAUCCAUCAAAAAUGAAAUCAUCAACAACAAAAAAUUUACUUUUGUUGUUGAAAAAACUCACUCUUGUCAGUUCACAGACUCCUCUAAGUUAUGCAAAUGAAAAGUCAUGAUGCCAAAGCCAAGGAUGUAUCAUGAUUAUAUGCUACAGCCCCCCACCUUGCUUUCCAGCUCCUUUUUUCACCAAAGUUGUGUCUCAUGUCUCAUACCUGAAACUGGGUAUACAGUCCCAUCUAUAGGACUGGGAAAAGACAUUUAGUUUAAAAUCUCUUAUAGUCAUAUCCCUACCCUAUGGUAGCAGUCUGGAUUUAUGUUUUGGCAAUAUUGCUUCUGUGUUAGGAAUUUGGCCAUGCCGUUAGCCUCCAACAUGCCUUGUCAACAAUAUUUAUUAAAACCUCACCAACUAUUUGACUACACUGUAACAGGUACAUUCCAUGGAGGCGCUUACCAAAUGGUACCUAAGAGACCUGGAGAUCACAAUUCACAUAUCAGUUUGGAAUUUAAGCUUUGUGAGAAUUUGGCUCAUUAAACAUUAAAAACCAAAUGUAUUAAAACUACUGAAGACAAGUGAUAACACCACAGUGCCACAAAAAAAAAAUCAAUCCUUUCUAGAAACUAAUUUAAAAUAGGAACCACAAAUUUUAAAGGUCCUUAACUCUGCUUUGUGUAAGUACUUUAAAAUAUUAUUAAAUGCUCAGCUUGUGUUUUUCUAGAAGAGGCCAUUACACAGUGUUAAUUUGCCCAUGGGGUUCCAUUUCAACACUAUAUGAAUCAUACCGAAAGAGACCUACAUGUUGCUCGGAAACAAUAGUCUCUGAAGGGAUAUUCCAAAAUAAACAAAGGAUUUGAGGAGAAGAUGGGUGAUUUUCAGAAUGUAUGCCUAUGAGGACUGAACAAGCAAAUGAUUUUUUUUAAGUUACUCAUCUAGGGAUUCACAGCAUGUAUUCCCUCAUCCAAAGCAAAUGAAAUAACUGCAGAGUAGUCAAAGAAAAGCAAGCACAACCUUGUGUGGAUAGUAGUGUCUGUUUAGUAAGCAUUUGUAUGUUCUGAUUUCCUGAAACAAUACUCAAAAAUGUCCUAAUACAAGAAGGAAGAAAUCUAAAACAGCAAAAAUAGGAACUGAAUGUUGGAUGAUUCAAAAUAGUUGUAGCUUAAAACUUUCCUACAGGGCUUUCUAGCAUUAGCCCAGUAUUUUUGAGGAAAUUUUGAAAGAGUCUUAAACCAAGAUAUUUCCAAGUUGUUGUUAACACCAUACUCUGAAUUAUAAGAAAUUUGAAUCUUUUAGUUCAUAGUUUUAAAAUCCUUGGUAUUAUAUUUAUACAUGUGUAUAUAAUAUAUGUAUAAGCAGACAUAAGUGAGGAACAUUAACAAAUAUGUUCAUUGAUAUCUGCUCAUUUGAAACCAAUAUCAUACUUUAUUUGAAAUAAUAUACAUCAUUUAUUAAACUAUCCUGUUCCUUAAUUUUAUAAAGUCUCCCCAAUAUGAAAAUUACCUUGCUGGUCUCUAUUUUACCUAUAUGUAAAAUGAAGGAAAUAGACUCAUUAAAAAGGAAGAUUUCUUUGAACUUUGAGUCUAUGAUUAUAUAUUUUCAAGAUUAUAUAUUUUUCAGAACAGGUUCAACAAAAAUUUUUCAAUUAUGAUACUUACAGCAAAGUAUCCAUUUUUAUUAACCCAAACAAUGGCUACCCUCCCACCCAAAGUAUAAGCAAGAUCCUGAUUCACAGAUUGAGCUCACUGAAUCUGCUCACUAUGCUUCUAUAGGUUGGGCCCUUUCUUCGAGUAUACAUAAUAACUUCAGAGGUACAACUCUGCCCACAGCAAAACCUUCUUCUAUAGUUUUAUGUAGAGCAGUUUAAACUGGAACAUCUACAUUCCAGGCAGGAACCUUAUCCUGAUCUUUGUCAAACCAAAGAAGCAACCUUUCCUUAGAGCUGGAAGAAAACUUUUUCCUUUAAAGGCACACUUACUGCCUGGCUCCCAUUCCCUGGUUCUACGAACACUAUAUAAGAUCAUUCUCAUUCUACUAAAAAUAAUGGAAAGCAUGAAAUUAUCCAUGAAUCAAAAAAAAAAAAAAUCACCAUUCUUACCCAGUCCUAAUCAUUUCUGUUUUUCCCAGAAGAUAAUCUCAAUGUCUUAAUUUCAGAGUAUUGAGGAAUACUGGCAUGAACUGCUCAGCUUCUGGUUUGAGCUCAGAACUGCACACAGCUGCAGAGUGGGCCCCUCCCAUUCUCACUAUAAGAAAAAAAAAAACUAUAUAAACUGCACAUUCAUGACUUUUAAAAAUCUAUCAAAGAAUUAAGACUGUAAGGUCACCAACUACCAUAAAAUCUGGGAAGACAGUCAACUGAGAGGAGAAAGACAAUGCCUUCCUUUGUUUACAUUUGCCAGAUGCCAUGAGAUAUCAUAUAAAUCAGUGAGAAGAUUCAAUUAAAAUUUUUCAAGAAUUUCCAAAGAAUGAGUACAAGCUAGCUUCAGAAUGUGGACAGGUAUAGGAGGUACAUCCUGUAGCAUAUUUUCCUCCAUAAAUCCCACCAGGAGAUUACAUGGAAGAUCAAGGAGAAUGGCAGCAGUGGCUGAAACUAGACUCAUCUCCAAAAUGGAAUUUAAGAGUUAAGUGACAAGAGUAGAACAAUUAAGAGUUGUUUUCUUAGGGUACUGGAGGUGACUCACUAUGGUGGGAGUAGGGGAAUGGUGAUGGUGAAGGAAACAGGAAAUGACAGUGCUCUAUCUCUGGGGACUACAGUUGGAGAAGGGGCAAGAGCAUUUGUGAAGUCUACAUCCCUGGAGACCCAGUGACACACACUGCCUACCUAAGACUAAGGCCUGAUUAGAACAUCAAGGACCAUCCUUACUUCCUGGCCCUCUAUCAAUAUCUUAAAAAACUGUGAGUAAAAAUAACAGUGGAAUUUGACUGCAAGAAUCAAGAGACAGAUUCUAUUUGGGGCCCAACAAUAAGAGAGGACCCCCCAAAAGGGGAAGCAGAUAUCAAGAAAAUAGCCACUGGUGAGCCAUUCUACAAUGUAAUCACAAGGGAUCACCAGAAAAAUUUGAAGCCUAUAUUUACUAUGGCCAAUUAUAGCAAUGACAUACCUCAAGUCCGGCCUAAUUCCUAUCUAGAUUAGCUCAGAUUUUCACACAGAAGACAUAGCAAAAAGGAAAUCAUGCUCAUCUUUAAGCAUAGGAAAGUAUUUACCUCAGUAUCUAUGAUCCACGCAAGAUAUCCACCUUUAUGAAAAUGCAAAUGAAAAUACUCUGAAGUGACAAAAUAAAGAAACCUCCCAUAUAAGGAAUAUAUGUGGAAUUAUUAAGCAGGGAAUUUAAAUUAACUACAAUCAAUACGUUAAAGGCUCUUAUACAAAAGGUUGGCAACAUGUGAGAGAAGUUAGCUAAUUUCAGCAGAGAGAUGGAAACUGAGAAAGGAAUCUAAUGGAAAUGGUAGAAAUAAAAACAUAGUAACAGAUAAAAAGUCUUUGGGUUCAUUAGUAGAAUUGACACAGCUAACAAAAGAAUCAGUGAACUUGAAGAUAAGCCAGUAGAAAUUAUGCCAACUGGAAUACAAAGGGAAAAAUCAGGGGAGGGAAGAACAGAGCUAUGGUACAUUAUAUAGUGGUAUAAUGUAUGUGUAAUUAAAAUCACAGAAGAAAGAGAAAAUGAUGAAGAAGAAAUGUUUGGAGAAAUAAUCGCUGAAAAAAUUUCCAAAAGUGAUGACAGACUAAAAAUCUCAAAGUACAUCAAACAAGAUGCAUAUGAACACACACGUGUAUGUGCACACAGAGGCACACACACAAACAGAAAGAGAGGGAAAGAGGAAGAGAGGCAAAUCAGACUUAAAUUUCUGAAACCCAAAGACUGUUAAAGUCACCCAGGGAGCGGCGUGGGGGUGGGGGGAAGCAAAUUACCUACAGAAGAACAGAAUUACAGUGAACUUUUCUGUGCAAACAAGAAGACAAAAGAAUACUAUCUGUAAAGUACCAAAAGGAAAACAACAACAAAAGCCCUGUUAACCCAGAAUUCUAUACCCAGUAAGAACAUACUUAACAUCUAAAGUGAAAAACUUUCUUUGAGUGAAAUUUUCAAAUCUGAUGUCUGCAAAGUAAUGUGUACCCAAGCCCCCUUUUCUCUUGUUGCCAUUGCUUUCCUUCAAGACUGAAAAGAGAGGGAUUUUUCUUAUUGAAGACUAACUCCUCUAUUGCCUCAGAGGACUUAGUUUCUUCGUUUCUUCUCUUUUUUACAUGUCAACUGCAGUAUUGCUAAUCUCUCUCUCUCUCUCUCUCUCUCUCUCUCUCUCUCUCUCUCUCUCUCUCUCUCUCUCUUUUAACCUUGGUUUUUGAAUGAGACCUCCCAGUUACUUUUGUUACUCCUGUGCAUUUGUAUCUCUUUAGGUAAUUCUGGUAACCCUAUUUUCUGGGCUAUAUGCUCCUUAAAUAAUGCUAUUCCCUAAUAUUCUAUCCUUGGUCCAGGAUUUUAAGGUAACAAGAUAUUUCCGUUUCUGUCUUUAACCAUAUUCUAUCUGACUAUCUCUUGAUUUUCAUGUCCAGCUAAGAUUUCUGGUCUUAGUCUCAGAAUUAUAUCCUGAUGAAUAUUGGACAUUUCUGACAUCCAUACAAUAUUUCAUACACUGGGUUCAUUCACUGUCCUUCUUCAUCUCCAAAAUAGGCUGCUAAGUAUUCUCCAUUGAAUUUAUUGCUCCAGUCUUCAACACAUUGCCCAAGUCAGAGCCCCAGAAAUCUCUCUCAACUUCUCACUCAUCAUUGCUUCCAAUAUCUAAACAAGCAAUGCAUGUCAGCUCAUGUCUCUGCAGGCUACAUAUUUACAAGUUCUCAUCUCAUCUCAUGUACUUAUUACUCUGAUGCCCUGGGGAUUACUUUGUUCUUCCUUCUGAAGCUGGGUCUCAUUAAAAUACGCCACUGUAGUAAGAAGUAGUACAAUUAUGUAAAUAUUGUGUAUGGAAGAUAGUGACACUUGAAUUACUAUUUCUGUGACAACCUUUACUUUUUCCUACUAGCUGCGUACUAAGUGUUACUUCAAAUCUUUUCACAAUUGCUUUUGAUUGAAUUUAAUUCAGCUCUUAAAGGCUAAAUUCACAAUGAAGUGGAAGCUGAUUUCAUGUGUGUGUACAUGCAUGCAUGUGUUUGUAAUUUAUAUUACAUCCAUUAUUCAUAAUUCAUUGUUUUGCAUAAAGUAAUUAUAGCAAAGCCUAAUUAUGCAUAUAUGAUUGUGUAUAUAAAUUGAUUUAAUGAAAUGUUACAUUAUUAAACCAGAUGUCAAGUGGAAUUAAGGACUAAUACAUAUGCAUGCUAAUGUGACUAAUAAUAACAAUAAUGAUAAAUUAUUUUGUACAAUGCAAGUUUCAGCAUACCAUUGAAACAUUUAUUUUUCCUCACAAAGACUUAGAAAUAGGAAAGGCAAUUUUUUUAGCAUUCAAUAUAUUUUAUUUAUUUAUUUUUAAUUGUUUUAUUUAAUUAUACAUGACAGUAGAAUGUACUUUGAUACACCAUAUAUAAUGGAGUAUAAUUUCUCGUUCUUCUGGUUGUACAUAUUAUGGAAUCACACUGGUCAUAUAGUUAUAUGUGUCCAUAGGGUAACAAUGUCUGAUUCAUUCUACUAUCCUUCCUAUCCCCAUACUCCCUCCCCUCUUUCCACUCCCUUCUACCUAAUCUAAACUACUUCUAUUCUUCCCUAGCCCCCACCUCACAUUGUGAAUUAGCAUCUGCCUAUCAGAGAAACAUUUGGCUUUUGGUUUGGGGGGACUGGCUUAUUUCGCUUAGAAUCAUAUUCUCCAGCUCCAUCCAUUUACCAGCAAAUGUCAUAAUUUCAUUCUUAUUUAAGGCUGAGUUAAAUUCCAUUGUGUAUAUAUACCAUAUUUUUAUAUCCAUCCAUCUGUUGAAGGGCCCCAAGUUGGUUCUGUAGUUUAAGUAUUGUGAAUUGAGCAGCUAUAAACAUUGAUGUGCUUUCAUCACUGUAGUAUGCUGACUUCAAGUCCUUUAUUUUUAAUUGUUUUAAUUAAUUAUAUAUGACAGUAGAACCAAGAAGUGGGAUAACUGAGUUAUAUGGUUGUUCCAUUCCAAAUUUUCUGAAGAAUCUUCAUAUCUCUUUCCAUAAUGGUUACAACAAUUUGCAGUCCCAUCAGCAAUGUAUGAGUGUACCUUUUUUCCUACAUUCUCGCCAACAUUUAUUGUUGUUUGUAUUCUUGGUAAUUGCCAUUUUGACUGGGGUGAGAUGAAAUCUUAGAGUAGUUUUGAUUUGCAUUUCUCUAAUUUCUAAAGAUGUUGAACAUUUUUUUCAUAUGUUUGUUGAUUAAUGGUACUUCUUCUGUGAAGUAUCUGUUUAGUUCCGUCGCCCAUUUAUUGAUUUGGUUAUUUGUGUUUUUUUUAGUGUUAAGUUUUUUUAGUUCUUUAUAUAUCCUGGAGAUUAAUGCUUUAUCAGAGGUACAUGUGGCAAAGAUUUUCUCCCAUUCUGUAGGCUCUCUCUUCAUGCUAUUGAUUGUUUCCUUUGAUGAAAGGAAGCUUUUCUACGAUGAAAAUUAUAGAACACUAAAGAAAAAAAAUGGAAGAAUAUGUUAGAAGAUGGAAAGGCCUCCCAUGCUCCUGGAUAGGCAGAGUUAAUGUUGUCAAAAUGGCCAUACUACCAAAAGCAUUAUACAGAUUUAAUGCAAUUCCAAUUAAAAUCCCAACAAUAUUCUUCACAGAACUAGAAAAAGUAAUCAUAAAUUCAUUUGGAAAAAUAAAAAACCCAGAAUAGCCAAAAAAAAAAAAAGAUCCUUAGCAAGAAGAGUGAAGCAGGAGACAUCACAAUACCAGACCUUAAGCUAUACUACAGAGUCAUGGUAACAAAAACAGCAUGGCAUUGGCACCAAAACAGAUAUGUAGAGCAAUGGUACAAAAUAGAAGACACAGAGACAAACCCACAUAAAUAUAGUUAUCUCAUACAAAGGCACCAAAAACAUUCACUGGAGAAAAGAUAGCCUAUUCAAUAAAUGAUGCUGGGGAAAUUGGAAAUCCAUAUUUAACAAAAUGAAAUUAAACCCCUAUCUCUCACCCUGCAAGAAAUUUAACUCAAAGUGGAUCAAAUACUUAGGCACUAGAACAGAGAUCCUGUGCCUAAUAGAAGGAAAAGUAUUCCCAAGUCUUCAUCAUGUCGGCUUAGGACCUGACUUCCUUAACAAGUGCAAGAAGUAAAAUCAAGAAUCAGAAAAUGGGAUGGCUUCAAACUAAAAGGAAUAACUUUUAUCUUCAUUUCAGGGAAACUCAAAAUACAUCUUAGUUAGGUUAAGGGAGUUAGUCAAGAUUAUACAACUAGUAAUGAGAGAAGCCUAUAUCUACUUCAGGUUGCCUAAUUUCAAAUUUCCUUGAGGUCAUUACACCAUGGAGCCUCACUCAUAUGACUAUAGGCAUCACUGGUAUGCUGAUAUAUCUAUUAUACCAUGCAUCUACUGAAAAUAAACUGUAACAUAUUUAGAGUCAAAUACACACACACAUAUACAUAUAUAUGUAUAUAUACAUAUAUAUUUAUAGUUAGAUAACAAUUGCAUCGUAAACUCCAGAUGUGUUUGCAUUACAUAGAGAGACAAAUGGUAUGUCAAGGGAGACUUUUAAAUUGUGAGUGGAGGCUACCCAGGUUUGUUGGGAAGAGGGGAUAAAUAAAAAGAAUGACUAUUUGCAUAAUGAGGUAUUAGGAAUUUUAAAACAUUUUGCUCCUGACUGUGUGUGUGUGUGUGUGUGUGUGUGUGUGUGAGAGAGAGAGAGAGAGAGAGAGAGAGAGAGAGAGAGAGAGAGAGAGAGAGAGAGAGAUUGAUUGAUUUUGGGGAGAGGCUGUGGAGGCUCUGCUAUGGAGCGAAAGCCUUUCCAGGGAUGGAGCCUUCACAGCAGGCAGAGCUUACAAGUGAUUUCCAAUUGUCCCUAUAUCAGAGAGGGCUCCUCUAAAGCCACAUUAGAAAUAAUGAGGUCUUAGGACUAGUUUUAAAGGUGUUGUUUGUUCUAUUUCCUUUUUUCAAACCUUUCCUUAAAUUUUCUGUAAUUACAGAUGUAUUGUCACAAUGUUGCCACAGGGAGUAAGAAAGUCUUGCUUUAGACAAAGAGAAGGGAGCAGGGAAGAGGGGAGAAGAGCAGUGAUGGUUGUAGAAUUGGAAUAUUGGCUCAGGGGAGCUGUAACAAAUCUAACCAGGUAUGUGACAGGAUGUUUCCUUUGGGUGUGCCCCAGAAAUACUGGAAAGGGGUCUGAAUGUUUCAUAGUUAUCUGAGGAGUGGGCUUUGCUUAUUUUUAUUUGUCCACCAAAGUCUGAAUCUUUGGGGCAUUCAAGUUCAUUAUUCCUCUCUUAGCUUUCGGUGAUUUGUAAUGGAUAUAUGAUUUACAUCCAUAAAUCAGCCCAGGUCAAUCCUGGUUUGAAAAUAUUAAAUGGAAAAUCCAGAAAUAAAGAAUUCUUAGUUUUAAAUUAUGUGCCUUUCUGAAUAACUUAUAAAUCCUUGUGUCCUCCUAAUCCAUCCUGCCUGCACAUGAAUUAUCCCUUCGUCUAGCAUAUACAUGCUGCCAUUUCCUACCCACCUUUUAGUCAUAUAGUCCAACAUUCAUCUUUGUUGUCGGUUUGAUUGUGGAGGUUUGCAAUACUUGAUUUCACACAACCCUCAUACAGGAGCUUAAAGCAACCUCAAAACACCUGCUGCACUCACCUCCUUCACCUUAUCAUAUAGCCAUAGUUUCAUCUCACAUAUCACAAGUAAAAGAAGGGUGAGAACAGUAAAUAAGGCAUUUUGAGAUAGACUGAGAGAUCACAUUCACAUAACUUUUAAUAUAGUAUAAUUAUUCUACUUUAUUGUUGGUUAUUAUUAAUCUCUUACUAGACCUAUUUUAUAACCAAACUUCAUUAUAGGAACAUACAUAUAUGAUAAUACAUAUUUAUGGGGUUUAGCAGUAUUUGUGGUUUAACAUAUCCAAUGGGGGUUAUGAAAUGUUCCACAUAUGGAGAGGGGAACUACUGUAUUUUGUGUAUGACUAUAUGUAAAUAUAGGUAUAUUUAUGUAUUGGGGGUACAUAACACAGGCAAUUAUAUUUUAAGUCAUUUAAUAAAGUAAUUUUAUGUUAGUGUUUUGUGAUCAAACUUUAUUAAGUGACUAUCAAAUGCCAACAUUUUAUGUAUAUACAUUCUUUAUUUAAUUUUUUAAAAAACUAUUCUAUGAUGCUAGUACUAUUAUUUUCUUUAUUUGGUGGAUGAAUGAACAGGUACAAAGAGGAGGUGAUAAUUAUACCUAAAUGCCUCUAAAAUACACAUUUGAAAUAGUAGCAUAGAAUAUGAGGAAAAGCCCCUUAAUUUUAUGUAGAUUUUACUAAUGAAACUGAAUAGUCAUGCUAUUUUAGAACCUUAAAGUUACAUAUAUAUGCAUUUUGAUCAAAAAUAAAUUUUAAGCCUCCUAUCUGGAUGUGAGCAUAUAACACUUUUUUUCAGUUUCUACUUUAUAAUCUCAAAUAGAUUGUAAGAAGGCUCCUAUGCAAAUAGCAAUUUCACCAAAGUAAUUGGCCAUCUAGUCUGUAUGACCGUUUGAACAUGUUUUCUCAAAUGCUUCAUCUAAUUAGAGGGGGGACAUUCAAAUUUGACUGUGUUAAAGUGACUAGAUGGGUUUUCAUCCUUCAUGGAAAAGAGAUUUAUAAAGCAUAUGUGAGUUUUGGAAUAAAAGAGCUUUUAUUCAAAUCUCUCCUUGGAUGAGUUAACCCUUCCUUCUACUUCAUAUCAAUGCAUUUUGCUUAUUUAAGUUUUAUAAUACCCCCGGUUAUUUUGCUGCAGCCGGACUGCGGCAUAAUACGUUUAAAUUAUUUUUUCUUCUUUAUGCAUCUUUAUUUGUUCUUUUUAGUUAUAUAUGACAGAAUGUACAUACAUGCAUGGAAUAUAACUUCCCAUUCUUGUGGUUGUACAUGAUGUGGGAGUUAUAUUGGUUAUGUAUUCAUAUAUGGACACAGGAAAGUUAUGUCUGAUUCAUUCUGCUGUCUUUCCCAUUCCCAUCCCCCAUCCCUUUCCUUCAUUCCUUUUUGUAUAAUCCAAUGUAAAUUAAUUUUCAAUUUAAAAACUAAAACUCAAUUUAAAAUUAAAUUUGAUCAAUCUCCAUUUUGUCUCUAUGUGCUACUUCAGUGGACAUUCAGAUUUGACUGUGUUGAAGUGACUAGAUGGGUUUUCAUCCUUCAGGGAAAAGAAGGAUAAAAAGCCUAAUUCUGAAAACUUCACAACAGUCUUCUUUAAUAUUCCUUCUCUGUGAAGAAUGUUUCUCUCUGUGCAUUUUCUUUUUUUUCCCCAGAGCUUUUGUAUUUGCAUUUAUUUUUCCUUUAAUUUUUUAUUACAAUGCUCUUUUUAUUGAUUUAAAAAAUGAUAGUGGAAUGUAUUACAAUUCUUAUUACACAUAUAUAGCACAAUUUUUCAUUUCUCUGUUUGUAUAUAAAGUAUGUUGACACCAAUUCGUGUCUUCAUACAUGUACUUUGGAUAAUGAUGUCUAUCACAUUCCACCAUCCUUACUAAUCCCCUGCCCCCUCCCUUUUUCUCUCACCCCUCUGCCCUAUCUAGAAUUCAUCUAUUCCUCCCAUGUUCCCCCUCCCUAUCCCACUAUGAGUCAGCCUCCUUCUAUCAGAGAAACAUUCAGCAUUUGUUUUUUGGGGAUUGGCUAACUUCACUUAACAUUAUCUUCUCCAGUGCCAUCCAUUUACCUGCAAAUGCCAUGAUUUUUAUUCUCUUUUGUUCCUGAGUAAAAUUCCAUUGGGUAUAUAUGCCAUAUUUUUUUUAUCCAUUCAUCCACUGAAGGGCAUCUAGGUUGGCUCCACAGUUUAGCUAUUGUGAAUUGUGCUGCUAUAAACAUCGAUGUGGUUGUGUCCCUAUAGUAUGCUGUUUUUAAGUCCUUCGGGUAUCGUCCAAGGAGAAGGGAUAGCUGGGUCAAAUGGUGGUUCCAUUCCCAGAUUUCCAAGGAAUCUCCAUACUGCUUUCCAUAUUGGCUGCACCAGUUUACAGUCUCACCACCAAUGUAUGAGUUUCUGUGGAAAUCAGCUGUAUAGGGGUCCUCUUACACUUUCUGAGAUGCAGUAUUCCGACUAGGUGAGACCUGGGUCAGGGAACAACACAGGAUGCUGCCUCCCUCUGGCCUGCCCUUGGAAUCCUCUGUGUGCAUUUUCUACACAAGAUAAUUUCAGGAAUCAAUUAUAUCUACCAAGGGAUAUGGUGUUUCUCUCUUAAAAAAAAUUGCAAUUCCUUGCAUAGUUUAUUACCUUACCCUUACAAAGAAGCUGCCAGGUUUGAUUCAUGUAUACUAUUUUGCUUCAUCUUUCUAUCCAGCUGAUGUACACAUUGACAAAUGACAAAGUCCAUUACAUUUUGUACAGAUGAACUAUCUUUAGUUCCAAAUUCCACUGCAGUUUAAUUUCUGAAGGUAGACUGAUUUUGUAAUAUAAAAAAUAAUUUUUUCCAUGUUUUUUAUUGGUGCAAUGUAAUUAUACGUAAGAUGGGUUUUGUUGUUACAUAUUCAUACAUGCACACAAUGUAACAAAAUAAUUUGGCAAUAUCAUUCUUCAGUAUUUCCACUUUUCCUCUCUUCUGCCUCCUGUCCCCCAUCCCUUUAUAUGUAACUAUAUAUAUAGUUAUAUAUAGGCACAUUAUCUUCAUUUUCUUUAUUUAUUUUUAUGUGGUGCUGAGGAUCAAACCCAGGGUUUCCACACGUGCAAGGCGAGUGCUCUACCGCUGAGCCACAACCCCAACCCCCCCAUCCCUUUCUUAUACUCUACUUAUCGCUCUUGAUUUUUAUGAGAUCUCUGCCCCCACCUUUAUUUUCCUUUUUCCUCUCUAGCUUCUACAUAUGAGAGAGAACAUAUGACCCUUAACCUUCUGGGUUUGGCUUAUUUAACUUAGCAUACUAUUCUAAAGUUCCAUCCAUUUUCUUGAAAAUAACAAAAUUACUCCUCCUCCUCCUCCUCCUCCUCCUCCUCCUCCUCCUCCUAUCUUAAUACAACUCCAUUGUAUAUAUGCACCACAGUUUUUUUUUUUUUAUCCAUUCCUCUGUUGAUGGCCACCUGGGCUGGUUCCAUAGUUGGGCUAUUGUAAAUUGUGCUGUUAUACACAUGGACAUGAAUGAAUCACUAUAGUAUAAUGACUUUAAUAGAAAAUAGUUUCCUUACUUCAGCAAUCAUGACCCUAACAUAUGCUGACAGAUACAUAUUUUAAUCCCCAAACUUGAAAUAUUUCCAUAGUUAUGUUAUUGCACUUUCUGCCAGCUUCCAUGGCUUUCUGUUUUUACGUAUGCUUUCCUAGUUUUUUUCUGCUCUUUAAAAUUAAACUCCCGAGAGUGUUUUCUUUUAUUACUUCCUUGAUCAAUACAAAAAACUGAAGAGUCAGAGAUAAAUGUACUCUCAGAAUUACAUAAACACUGUUAUAAUUUAGGAGAUGUUCUCUUCUGUUAUUUCAUCUAUUAUGUUAUUAUAUAUCAUCUAUCUCAUCUCUUUUCUCUCCAUGUUCUUUCGAAGCACUGUAAUUCUCUUAUCCAGUGUUCUUUGUGUGUAUAUUUGUCUGGAGAUCUCAUUAUGAUAACUGAUUUACAAAAAUUUAUGUGUUCUUUUUCAGUUUACAAAGUGAUUUUCACAAAUGUUACUUUAUUGGAUACUUGCAAUGACCUUUUAAAUUAGGGUAUGUUAUUAUCAUUUUAUUUUUUGCAUUUAAGAAAACACUCUGAUCAGAUAACAGAGAAGGUAUUUGAACUGAAGACUUUAAGUCCAAACUCUGAGGUCUGUUCACUCUUCCUCCAUUUUCCCCCUUUAUUCCCAAUCACAGUUCAUACUUGAAAUUAUGUUGAUCAGUGUUAAAAGGGCAGCAUAUCAAUUGCUAGUCAUUACUUCACUAAGCUGAGCCUUAAUGGAGUCAUGCAAAAUAGUACAGAUUAUAAUAACUACCUCACAGGAUUGUUAUAAGAAUUAAAUUGAUUAAAUAUGACAGUGUCCAACAUAGCAACAUCUUACCCAUAGUGGUUAUAUAAUAUGCUAGAUUUCCUUUUCUCAUAGAUAACCUGAAUUAUUUCUCUUUAAAAGUUUUUAACUUUUUAUGGAUCUCUCUGCCCCAAGAUUAGACUUGGAAAAUCAUGAUCAGUAUAAUUUAUAAGGUAAAAUUUGCAGGAGAAAAGAGGGUGGGAACAGAGUUAGAGUCAAAAAUCGUGAGCAGUUUUAUAUGAAAACAAUGUAAAAUUGAGUCUCUUAGGUUUUCACACAGGAUAAUGCAAACUAAAAAUAAGUGGAAGUUCCAUGAAAAAUUAAGUGAUGUAAAAUUGUGCUACAAUCAAGAGGAAAGGAAGCUAAUGGAAUAAGCUAUUUUAUUCUUGCUUAAAAAUGCACUCUCUCAAUUGCUUUAGAAUUUUUCUUCAGUAAUGAAGAGGAACAGAGGGAGAGGGGAGAUAUCAAAAUAGUUUAUUUGGAAUUGAAACUUAUUAUGCUUAUAUCUCACUCAACAGGAUUGUACCUGAUCUAAAGAGGACUUGUUGAAAAAAAUAUAUUAUUGUUAACUGACAGUGAACUAAUAAAUGAAUCAAAUAAGAUGGAGUUAGAAAAUGUUCCAUUUCCUCAUCUCAAAUAAGAUGGAGUUAGAAACUGUCCCAUUUCCUCAUCUCUUGUUUUGAUUCAACUUUUCCCUUUCUCAAUCUGCAGUAUGAAUGGAUCUUAUUAAGUAAAUAGAUUAGGAAACUAACCCAGCAAAGAAUUUCUUAUGCAGUUUGAAAGGGAAGGGGUUGGAUUAGGGCAGUAAUUAAAUUCUUCAGUUUGGAAAAAAAUGAGUUAAUUAAUUUAAGAUAUUUUGGGAACUUCUAAAUAUUGUAUAAAACUAUGAUACUGUUAAAAAUUACCAGUGAGAUAGAGGUACAUAUUCUGUGUUGUAAAAAUGUAAUUGAUCUUUUUCUUCAUUUUUGUAUUCUGCUUAGGAAGGGUUUUUUGCUCCAAGAUUAUGGAUAAUUUCUGCCAUGAAAUUUUUUAAUGCUUAUGGUUUUUCAUUUUCCUCCCAUGCUUGACAAACAAAUCCAUUUACUUUCAAAUGCACCAAAACUGAAAGGAUAACAUUUGAAACAGUUUCAGAAGAUGAAUUAUGCCCCAUAGUGAGCUAUUUUAUCCAUAGUCCAAUAGAUUUUCUUACAGAUGAGGGAUAGAAGACAUAUUUCUUAGUAAUUACAAGCAUAUCAUAAAAACAUACUGAGAAAAGAGAGUGUUCUUUCCUUUUUUUGAAUCAUCAUGUUGCAGGAGGUAUAGUAAUAUUAGUAACUAAGUACAAACAUAAAUACACAUACAUGUGGUCAUGCAGUGGUCUAUCUGGAGGGAGUUUAGCAAAGAGCCAAUGAGUUUUUCUUUUUUUCCUCCAGGGAAACACAGGAAUGAUGCAGUUGGAAAAACCGAGUCAUUAAAGUCUUCGUCUUAAAAUUACCAUGCCAAAAAACUCUGCUCCAAACCUCCAACCAGAAAAACAUUCUUCUUCAUAGGGUUUUGGUUUUAACUUUGAUAAAUAUUGGUGAUUAGCUCUUUUUGAGUUUUCAGUUGCUCCUUGGCUUUGUCCACACCUUACUUCAAUCUUUCCAGUUGAUCUUGAUGUAACCAGGGUGCUCUGCAGUCUGAAAUAAAGAAAAUCUAUGUCCCAGAGCUCUUGGUCUAAUUGCACACCCUUCAGAGAUGAGCACCCUUGGAACAUGCAAUGACUCCUCCUGACAGUCAGUGAGUUGGUUUAGCCCAGACUUCUGUCAAACAACUUAGGUCCUCCUAUAAUUUCUUAGGAAUCCUAGCAUGAUAUAAGUGGGACAAGAUUCCCGUCACAUUUUCCUUGACUGUCAGUUCCCCAGUGACUACAUCAUUCUAUGAGCACAGUUUCAGUCUGUGUCUUCAUUUAGCAUUUUUAAGUCACCCUAUAAUUAAGGUCUAAGGAGUGAUAGACAUUCAUCUCCUAUUUUUCCAAAGUGAUAUCUUUUUGUUGCUGCAAUAUUUACUGGAUGGUCCAUCUUUAUUCAUGGAAGUAGAAACUUUUUGAUCGCUUAAAUAGAAUGGAAGGAGAAAAGGAAAAAUAAUUAACUUUCAAAUUUUACUAGGUUUGGGGGUUUGGCACAUAAUGCAGAUUCCACUAGCCUCCAGGAAAGUUCCAGGUUUAAGUGACAAACAGUGUCUCUAGAUAUUUGUAAAUAAAAUAUUUCUUUUGACUAUCUUGCAUCCUUAGUUUUACUCUUCAUUUGACUUUGAGUAUUACCAUUUGUAAUUUAGGAAUAAAUUUAUUGGCGCACUCUUGAAUCCAUUGCUUGAUUCAUCUUUAUAUUAAGAGUUUGGGAAGAAUUGUUUCUAUUAAAUGAUGAUUUUCCUUGAAAACAAAGUAUUGAAGAUUAAUGGAACAAAUGAAUGACUAAAUUGCUAUUUGGAAAAUAAAGGGUAUUAAAGACAUAUUUGUGGCAUUUUGUGGUUAAUUAAAUGAUGCAUUCAUUUCUAGGAAAGAGUUUCCAACCGAUAGAUCUGUC
Molecule: long non-coding RNA, 104247 nt
Filed under: Marmota monax (woodchuck)
Lineage: Eukaryota; Metazoa; Chordata; Mammalia; Rodentia; Sciuridae
Source: RNAcentral